AAAAAAAGAACUUAGCCUAGCACCGAGUGAACUUUACAAUGAGAGGUGUUAACUUCUCAUGAGGAAGAUUUACCAUUGGUUUCCCAUAUAGUGUUGGAUUCCCUUGGAGGAAGAUCCACCAUUAGAUUCCCAUAAGGUGUGACUUCCUUUGGAGUAAUAUUCACCUAUGGUUCCACAUGAGGUGGUGGCUUUCCUUGAGGUUUUUCUCAUUAAAUAAGGGUUCAAUUCCAUUUCUGGAAGGUCAUGUAUAUCUCUUAGUUCCAUAAACUAUGAUUUCCACAUAGGAUGUAGCAAGUGAAUUCACUUAGUAUGCUAGGAUGUAUGUAAAUGUUCUACCUUGGCUAGGUGAGAACACCUUCCUUUGGUGUAAGUCUCUACAACACCAAAUUCUAUGUUUAGAAUCCAUGGUCCUAAUAUCGGUUAAGGCUAUGUUUUUGUUAAAUAAAAUAGACAAUGGAAGUAAAUGACUAAGACCCUAACUAGGAUGACCUAAGGGAGGUUACUUAGGAUAGGAGGAAGUAAUGAACCCACCUAGACAUUUCACAAGUUGCUUCUUAGGGAGUUCUAGGAAGAUGAUCUAAGUUGUAUGGUUAUGGUUAUGUCUUUAUGCAUGGCAUGGUAGUAUUUGUCUACUUGUUAUGAAGAUGUGCAUGUCAUCAGUCUAUAUGACGUGGUGUUAUUCUUAUAUUCACUAUGUGGUUCUUAAUGACAAUAUGAUGAAGGUUUUUGAAAUGAAUGAAGUUGUCUUCAAUUAUUUGUUGAUAUAUGAUUCGGAUGGUAAGGCUUGUGGUCUCAUUAUAGGGCUACUAAGUAUGUGGGAGACUAUUGGGCUUCACAUGUACAUUGCACUAGUAGAUUUAGAUUGGGAUUAUGACUAAGGUCUCAUAAGGUUCUAUGUAAAGUAAAAAAAGUAUAUGUGCAUAAUGACUAAGAUUUUACUGUAAUUCCUUAUGGUCUUGACUUGAAUGUGUCUUGAUAUGUGCUAUACUUCUAUGAUGGUAUAUGUUGGCUUAUGAAAGGUGUAUGUAUGGUUUUCCUUGUGACCUUAAGGUGAUGCAUUGCAUGAAGUAUCACUAGAGGGUUACAAGGGAGGUUAAUGAGUUAAAAAAAGAACUACACUGUAAAAGGAAAGUAGUUCACUAUAAAGUGAAAAGAGCUCAUUGUAAAGUGACCUCAAAUAUGGCUUAAAUUCUAUAUGUGAUUUGAUAUGAUGUUCGGAUUUUGAAUAUGUCAAUAUGAAGUAUGUGAAUUACAUAAAUGCUAUUAUAUAAAGGUUUUAUGUAGAUACUCUCAAAAAUUCAUGAAGUAUGAUUUUCAAGAAAAUGUCCCUUUUAACUGUAGGUUUUUGCAUGGUUGUAAUACUUAUGUAUUCUUGUACUAUUUCCAUUCUUCUCUACUUUUUAUACGAAGUGUAGGUUAUGGAUCUUAAGCUAUGUCUUUAAUGGUAAGGAGCUUGAUAUGUGAUUCCCAAGCUCAAGACAUGGGUCCUUAAGUUCCAAGGAUUUCCUAUUUAUGGUUUACUAUAAAAUCUUGUAAUUAUAUAGUUAGGUAUUUUUUUGUAAGGGUCAUGUCCCUAAGGUACUCUUAUGAUGUUGAGUCUAGGAUGGCAAGCGAGACUAGAGUCUUUAACUAUGUAUGAAAUAUUUUAUAUAUAUGAAAUAAUGUUCUAUAAUAUGAUGUGCUAAGAAAGUUUUGAAUUUUCCGCUAAAAUUCCCAAUGACAAUGCGAUGAAUGAUAAUUGUGGGCUUGUAUAAGACAUCUGAGAGGUCAAGUACGCCAUGUCACUUCUAGGGGGUGAUCCGCGGAUGUGACAGAAUGCCUAGCCUUCAGGGACACGAUCAAGUUUCAUGGGUUUGAGAGGUUCACUCGAACUCGACCUCCUUAUGUCUAGGCCUAUGUAUGAGAGUUUUAUGUGGAGUAUACAAAGGCCUUUUUCAAGAAGAGAAAGGCACAAUUUUUAACAUGUUGCAUGACAUUGAGGUUUGUGGUAAGAUGGUACCAUGUUGCGCAUGCAAGAUAACUUUAAAAUUGGGCACUAAAGGCGAAAAAAAUUAAUUUCUACAUGCUCAGAACGAAACAUGGCCUAAAAGCACCCAAGGGGUAGGUGACGCCCCAGCACCCAAGGGGUGGGUGACGCUCCUCAUUUUAGACAUGACUCGUCCAUGGAUGGUUUAUGGAGGGAGGAUAGAUAAGAAGGAUAUGAACAUCACCUCGCAUAUUGGUUCGACUUUAUUAGCACAAACUUAUGCCAUCCCAAAUUGAGUCCUAACUAUGGCAUGCGCCGUCUUAUUUGGCAGCAUCAUUGAUCAGAGUAAGGUAGAUGUUGGUCUCAUUAUUGUUGAGGAGAAGCUAAUGAUAGCUCAUCAGGAGAAAACUUCCCUCCCAUUUCCAGUCUUGAUCAGAUAGUUGUGUGAGGCUGCGGGUGCCCCUAUUAGCGGCAGGCAUCAACUCAACUUAGUAGAAAUGAAGAAUAUUUAAUUUUAAUAUUUGAAAAACAUAAUAUAUAUAUAUAUAUAUAUGUGUGUGUGUGUGUGCGUGCGUGCGUGUGCGUGUGCGUGUGCAUGCGUGUGCGCGUGCGUGCGUGCUUGCUUGCUUGCGUGCGCGCGUGUGCGUGUGUGUGUGUGUGUGUGUGUGUGUGUAUGUGUGUGUGUGAAAAGAACUAAUCUGAAAUAAAUAAACAAAAAUACAUAAUAAGAAUAAGUCACCAAUAGGAUCGUGAUGGAGUGGUAAGUACUCCUUUUCAAUGUGAAUUCGUACAUAAUCAGAAUCAAAUAUAUAUAUCGGAAGUAGAUGAUAUAAAAAUAAUAAUAAGACACUAAAAGAGCAUGGAUAUGUAUAGUGUAUAUUUGCUGAAUUCAAUUAUUAUAACUCUAAUAAUAUUAAAUUGAAAAACUAUAAAAACUCAAACGUUAAAUUAUUAAGUUUGAAUACUAACUUGAUAUUAAAUAGCUUGGUGAAAGAAUUAUCAUUACUCACUAUUCAGGAUAGAAGAAGAGGAAAUGUUCGUUUACCUUCAACUUUUAUGUAAAAUCAUAUGUUAAUAUUAAUAAAUUCACUACCCCUGAUAUAAAUAUAUGUAAUUAUCCUAACAUUAAAUAAUGCAAAAUAUUAUCAAUUUGAGACACAAAUUAAAAUAUUUAAAAUCAUUGGAUAGUCCGACAAGAUCUUUUGUGUUUGUCCUCAUAAACAAACAAGAUAUAUAAUUGGAGAGACAAAACAAAUCAUUAAUCUAGCGUUUAGGAGGUUGUAAAUUAUAUCCAGCUCUCAAUAAGUUUUUAGCUAAUUUAGAACUAGAGGAUUGGAACCUCCAAAAAAUUUUGUGUGAAGCAUUAGCAUCAUUACUGCAAAAAAGUAUGGCAAAUAAAAAAGUAGAAAGACAACUCUUUCUUAAGAGUUCCAGUUUAAUAGAAAAAAAGUUAUUCCUUCUUACUCUAACUUAGAUUGAGAAAAACCUGAUGAAAAAAUUGAAAAUAUGUAAAAAGUACUUAUAGAGAAAAAAUAUGGAGAUAGAGUCAAUCAGCAGACUACGAAAAAUAAGGAUAAGACUGUUAGAACAAAAAUAUUCAAGAAACUGAUUUGAAAAAUAAAAAUAAAGUGAACUUAUGAAAUUUUUUCUCUAUAUUAAUCUGCAGAAAGUCUGAAUUUUAUACAAGGAAAAACAUAAACAUUAAAACUCAAUAAGAAUAUGUGUCACUAACUACCACAAAAGGGGCUACUAACAGCCAUAAAUGGGGCCACUAACUUCAGAAGGUUGAGAAAUUAAAGUUUAUUAAGUCUAGCGAGAAAAUAGGAAACACUAAACUGAAAUAAGUACACACAGUAAAAAUAAUAAUAAGCUAGAAAAAAUGUCAAUUGUCUAACACUCCUCCUCGGCAUUUUUGUGGCAAACACCAAUUCUUUGCCUCAGAUCUUCAAACCUUUCCUUUGGCAAUGACAUGGUGAAAAUGUCAACUACCUGGUUCUCACAUGAACAAUGAACAAGCAAAACUUCAUUAGAUUGUUGGGCUUCUCUAAUAAAAUGAAAAUUGAUCUUGAUAUGCUUAGUUCGAUCAUGAAACACUGGAUUUUUUUAGAUUGAAACUGCUGAACUGUUAUCAGACAUGAUCUUGGUAGCUUAUGUUUGUUCAUGGCCUAAGUCCUUCAUCAUCUUCCUUAGCCAUAUAGAUUGAUUCACAGCAGAUGCAGCAGCUACGUAUUCAGCUUCUGUUGUUGAUUGAGUUGUAGUUUCUUGUUUUCUAGAGCUCCAACUAAAACAAGUUGUCCCAAAACAGAAAGGAUAUCCAGAGAUGCUUAUGGAAUCAUCAAAUCCACCACCCCAACCACAAUCAGAGUACCCAAUCAUGUUUAUAGUUACUUCGGCAGAUGUUGAGAAAAAAAUUCCAAAUUUGUUGGUUCCUUUAAUAUACCUUAACACUCUUUUAGCCGCUGUGAGGCGUGUGUAUCUAGGUGAAUGCAUGAAUUUAGAGAGCAUACUAACAACAAAUAGAAUAUUUGACCUUCUUGUGGUUAGAUAUAAAAGACUAUCAAUUAAGCUUCUAUACAUACUAUCGUCCACUUUUUUGAAAUCCUCAUCCUUGUCAAGCUUCACACCAGUAGAUAUUGGAGUACUCAUAGGUUUGAAAUGUUGCAUUUUGAAGCUGUUUAGAAUAUCCGAAAUGUAAUUCUGGUGGCAUUUGAAAAUUCCAUCACUAGACUGCAACUCUUCCAUGCCAAGAAAGUACUUCAUGACUCCAAGAUCAUUCAUUUCAAAGAUUUUAUCCAUCUCAUCCUUGAACCUAUGGAUUAGUUUAAUUUUGCUUCCUGCCACAAGCAUGUCAUCCACAUAAAUUUAGACAAUUAAGGACCCACCUGCAGCAGUGACUUUCACAUACAAAGUAGCUUCACUUUGAAUUCUACUAAAUCCAAGUUAGAUGAGGCGAUUGUCCAACCUCUCAUACCAUGCCCUUGGGCUUGUUUUAGGCCAUACAAGGUCUUCAUUAAGAGAUAAACUUGAUCCUCUUUUCCGACAUUUGAGAAAACAUCAGGUUGCUACACAUAGAUCUCUUCAACAAGAAAAACGUUCAAGAAAACCAAUUUGAAAUCAAGUUGAUGAAUCUGCCAGGAACUAUGAGAUACAAAUGCAAAAAUAAUCUUGAUUGUGUCAUACCUUGCUACAAGAGCAAAUAUUUCCUGGUAAUCUGCACCAUAUUGUUGUGUGUUUCCCUUCACCAACAAUCUACCCUUAUGUUUGCAAAUUGUUCCAUCACGAUUGAGUUUUGUCUUGAAAAUCCAUUUUACACCAAUCACCUUACGAUUUCUAGGUCUGUCAACAAGAUUCCAGGUUUCGUUCUUCUAGAUCAUGUCUAGUUCAUCUUGCAUAGCUCUCCUCCAAGCCUAAGAGUCUUUUUCUUCAGCAAAGCUUGUUGGUUUAGAGGUUACCAAGUUACACUGCUGAUAGACAUCUUUUAAGUAUCGAGUUCCCCUCACUGGUACAUCAUCCACUAGUUCAUCUUCUGAAUGUUGAGGCUGCUCUAUUGAAAAUAAAUAAGAAUAAGAGGUAUUCUGAUUUUUCAAAUCCCAACCAGCUAUUUCAUUAAACUUCACUUCUCACUUAUCUGAUUUCAAACAGAAAAUCUUGUAACCUUUGGAUGAACUAUAGCCCAUAAAAAUUUCUUUAAAAGCCUUGUUAUCCAACUUACUCCUCUUUGUUUCUCUAACUUGAUAAUAAUAUAUACACCCAAAGAUUCCAACUUACUCCUCUUUGUUUCUGUAACUUGAUAAUAACAUAUACACCCAAAGAUUCUAAGAUAGUGUACUGAUGGUUUGUUCCCACACCAAGAUUAAUAUGGAGUCAUGUCCUGCAAGGCCUUGGUAGGCAAUCUUUUCAGAAAAUAUACAGAGGUAUUGACUGCCUCAGUCCAAAACUAAUUUGUUGUGGAGUGUAUGGCAAUGUAAAUUGGCGUUCAAUACCUGUGCUAUUACAAAACUCCACAAAUUGAGAAGAAGUAUAUUCUCCUCCAUUGUCAGACUUUAAAGCCUUAAUAGUAAGAUUACAUUGAUUUUCUACUAAAGCAUUAAAGUGUUUAAAAACAUCAAAUCCUUCACUAUUCAGUCUUAUGAAAUAAAACCAACACAUUCUGGUGUAUUAAUCAAUAAAGAGUAGAAUGUAUUUGUUACCAUUCAUUGAAUUUGUUUUCAUUUGGCUGCAAACAUCCGUAUGAAUGAGCUGAAGUUUCUGUUUAGCUCUCCACACUUGAUUUGGUUAAAAUGGCAAUUUUGUUUGCUUUCUCUGUUUGUAAAUUUCACAAACUUAAGCAUUAGAAAGAAAUACAGGCAUAUUUUCCACUAGUUCCUUCUUUUUCAUCUCCGCGAUGCUUCUCAGAUUGAAGUGACCAAACCUUUUGUGUCAUAGGUUUAGACAUGUUUGUGAAGUAAUAGUCUAAGCCCACUUAGUUAUUUUCUCAACUGAAAAACAUUAUGUUGCUCAUCUUGACGUAAAAUAACUAUACUCCAGAAGGGUCAGACACAACAUAUUCACGAUUCUUAAAAUGCAGAGAAUAAUUAUUUUCAAGCAUUUUUACAACAUUCAACAAAUUUUGACUACAUAUUAGGUGUGUACAAAACAUCAGGAAUAGUUUUGAUACCUGAUACUAUUGAGAUAGACAUUGUACCUCUGUCAUUGACUUAUACUGCCUCACUGUUUCCCACUUUUACUUUAGAUUUGUACGUAUCAUCGAGGAACUUGAGUAGUUUAGCAUCAUUAAACAAGUAUAUGUGCAACCACUGUCAAGAAUCAUGAAUCAUAGGAUUCACUGAUUGAAAAGUAUGAAACUGCAAAGAGUUGUUGCUCAUGUGCAUCGGCACCUUCUACUAUUUGUGCUUGCAAAGCAUCAGAGGCCUUUGCUCUUGAUUUUCAGACCUUGGAUAUGUGUUUCGUCUGCUUAGAGUUGCUGCAUAUAGCAUCUUCUCUCUAUCAACAAUAUUUCUCCAGAUGUGUUUCUUUUACAAUGUUUGCAAGGAGGGAACUCCUGCUUCACAUCUCCACUAUUGUUUCCUCCAUCAUACUUGCCCUUAUUCUUUGGUGGAAUUGUUGCUUUCCUUUUUGCUUUGUACACAGAAAGCUCCUUCACUGAACUCUUCCAAUAUUAUAGUCCUCCUUUGCUCUUGUGCUUGAAGAGAACUCAUUAGUUCACCUAAUGAAAGUUUGCCCAGGUUCUUGGAUUCUUCAAGAGAGGAAAUUUUAGAUUCAAACCUCUCAGGAAGAGUCACAAGAACUUUUUCCAAAAUUCGUCUGUCUGUAAAUUCUUCACCAAGAAGUCUAAUGUUAAUAACAAUUAAGGGAUUCGAUCAGCAUACUUACUGAUAGUUUCAUCCUCCUGCAUAUUCAAGGACUAAAACUCUCUUUUCAAGUUCAACACUUGCAUUCGACGUUUUUUAUCGCUGACUUGAUAUUCUUGUUUCAACCUAUCCCAAGCCUCUUUUGCAGUUUUGCAAGCCAUGAUUCUAUAAAACACAGAACCUGCCACAACAUUCUGCAUAAGCGACUUGGAUUUAGAUUUCUUUGCCUUCUCUUCUUUGUUAGAUUUGAUCUGAGCCAAGGUAGAAUUUGUUGUAGAGCAGUAAAUGGUUUAUCUUUCGUCACAAUUUCCCAAAGUUCAUAAGAUUCCAUAAAAGCUUGCAUCUUCACAGACCAGAUUUAGUAAUUUUUAUCGGUGAAAGUGAAUGGUGGAUUUAAAUGUAGGUUGUUGGACGCCAUUUGUGUUGCAGGUAAAAACUUUUUAGUCCUGUAAGAUCAAUUAGAGGCUCUGAUUCCACUGUUAGAACAAAAAUACUCAAGAAACUGAUUGGAAAAAUAAAAAUAGAGUGAACUUAUGAAAUUCCUUCACUAUAUUAAUCUGCAGAAAGUUUGAAUCUAUACAAGGAAAAAUAUAAACCUUAAAACUAAAUAAGAACAUGUGUCACUAACUACCAUAAAAGGAGCCACUAACAGCCAUAAAUGGGGCCAGUAACUUCAGAAAGUUGAGAAACUAAAGUUGACUAAGUCUAGCUUGAAAAUAGGAAGCACUAAACUGAAAUAAGUAAAAACAGUUAGAAUAAUAAUAAGCUAGAAAAAAUGUCAAUUUUUAACAAAGACUUAUUAUAAAAUUUAGGCAAAUAUAGUCAACCAAAAGAAUCGUAAAAAUAAGGUUGAUGUUGUUAUAUAAAAUUUAAGAACUAAAACUUAAUCUAAGAUUUAUCUAUUUUGUAUAGGUGUAAUUAAGCUCAAUAAAUAGAGGAGUGUUUUUAAGAUAAUCAAUAGUUCGAAGAUAAAACUAAUAGUUCACAUCAAGUUUGAAUGUUUUCUCGAUGAUUUUCUCAAAGAAAAUCAUCAAGUAUGUGUGGUAAAGAAAGAGUAAAAUACACGUGCUUAAUAGGAAAAGGAAAAGAUAGGCCCAACUUAAUAGUACACUUCUCUCAAUUUAUUGUACAAUUUGUUUAAUUAAGUUCUUACACCUUAACUAUCACUUCUAAGGUGUAAGACCUCCUGAACCACCACUUAACGUCACUCGUGCAUAUGAUUAAAAGUUUUUUUUCAAUUAUGGGAAAAGACCUAAAUAUGCCAUAGAAUUUGAGAAAAGAUUUAUUCAUGUGAUUGUUAAAAAUUUGGUUUAUCCAUGUGAUUUUCAUUUGAGAAAAUGCUCAUUAUGUCAUUAUUUGUUAAUCAAAAUGUCAUAAAUGAGUCAGUCUUUAACAAAUGACAUAGAUGAAUCUUUCAAAACUAGUUUUUCUGCUACUUCUCAUGAGAUAAGGGUAAAGUUUGCAUAUAGUACUCUACCGUCUCUAGACGAUAUAUAUGUGUGAAAUAACAUUGAAUAUAUUAUUAUAUAUUAUCAUCGCACUACAUAAAAAAAUUAUCUAUAGCAGUAACUAAUUAACACCAAUAUCUUAAUUUUAUUAAAUAUGUAUUUCUAAGCAGCAAUUAACACUUUUUAUGUAUGUCUAUAUAGUUUUUAGCCACAUUGUAUCUAAUGACACUUAAGUAAUGUCGGUAAAAACUUUAACACUCUUUAGUAAUGUAUAUUUUUAUUGCAUUUAGAAGUUUUUUUCUAAUAUUGUCGUCAUUGUACUAUGUAUUUGUAUAUAGUAUACAUUUUUUUCUACUAAUUAGUGAUUUGAAAUAUAAAUAUAGAUAAAUAAAAAACAUGUAGGAACUAUUUUAGGUGCACAUGCAAAUUUGGUCAAACCUUCCAUGCCAAGAAAACAAAGAGGUUCAAAGAAUUCAAGAAAAUCUACCAUUGUUUAUGACAACAUACUAUAGAUGACAUAUUCGAAUAGUGGAAGAAUCUACUAAUGUUGUAUUAGGAUAAGCUAUCGAGAUGACACUCCUUGAAAUACAACUCUUUAUCAUAAUAUAACGUGUAAAUAUUUGUGUCUUCAAAUAGUAAAAUAAGCAUAUGGACUAAACAUCAGAAUUCAAAAUGAAUAUUAUUUGUAAAUUAUGAAAUAGUGUUUGCACCGAUCUUCUAGGCUGGACACCUAAAGUUGUAUUAUAUGAUCAUUACUUCUUACAAACAUUAUUGAGUAAUUCCUGCUAAUUUAUUUUUUUCCAAGAGAUAGGAGGCAUAUGAAUUGCUGAACUUGGACACUAUUUUGGUGUCUACUGUCAAUAUAUAUAUAUAUAUAUAUAUAUAUAUAUAUAUAUAUAUAUAUACACACAUUAAAAUGUGAUUCAAACAAUAAUUAUUGAAUCUGAAUGUUUACAUAUUUGUAUUGUUUUUGUUUACCAUACAAAUUGUUAUUAUUAAUAUUAAAGUGUGGAUAAAUUUCAAGUAACAUUUGUAAAUUGCAUAACAUUGAAAAAGGAUUGAAGACCAAAACAUUUUCUUAUAUAAAUUUAAAUGCUAACUAGUCUUGACAUAAAUUCAUGAAAAGUUUCAAGCUCAGUCAUUUCCUCUUAGCCGGAGAAAUUUUUGACUUCUAGUUACACGUAUAUAAGUCCUUUACUUGUCAACAUUUCAUUUAUUAAGGAGCUGUAAACACUUGGGUAAUUUGAUAUAUAAUAAGAACUCACUCGAAAGAUAGUUGCAUUCAAUAUUAAGAGUCAUCAAUUUAAUUUAGAUGGAAAUGAAGAAAAUUUUAUUCAAGGUUUGACAAUAAUCAUCUCCGGUGACAUUCGGAAGAUUGAGGCGGAUUACUUUAGGGAAGAUGCGGCUUAGAGGAAGCUUCCACUAGUACACAAUAUUUAUGGGGUAGACCCGAUUGUCCAUGUGGCCGAUGUUUCUCACCCUACUCCUUAUGUGGAGCCAUCAGGUACCCCUCAACCCUUCUUUUGUUCCUUCUACUUCUACAGCUACUACACCUACCCCCCCUCUUGACCUCCCUUGAAUCAGGCCAUGACAUACCAAAUGGUCAACUUUGCCCAGUCUGUGGAUGUGAGAACAUCAAGGGUAGAGAGUGAGUUGUCCGAGUUUAUUGAGAUGCCCAUUGAUGAUGCAUUUCUCUUGGUUAGAUGUCAAAUGGUGCAAUAUCAAAAUACUUUGGCAUAGUAUAGGAAGAGGUUAGCUAACCUCAUGGAUAGGAUGGAGGCUAGCGAGCAGAUUGAAGGUAGCUUAGCCGACUUGAGUUCUAUGAGGGAUGAUAUUACAACUCUUAUGGCUGAUGUGGACCAGGUGAGGUCCAUAAAUAUUUCUAUGCUUUGGAGUGAGAUUCGCUUGCCCGAUGUGCCCUAGUCUUUGCCUACCUGCGAGUUGAGAGUUGAGGUACUUAGUGGAGUAGGUCAGCAACCUGGGGCUAUUGAUGAUGAUAAGGUAGAUGUCAAGAAUGAAGAGGAUAUGGAUGAGGAGGACACAAGUAAGAAGUAGUUCUAUAAAGAGAAUGAUCAAUGGAUUAUUGUGACUUUGACGGAGUUGCAUGAUAUGAGAAGAUGAUGGUGCUGGCUACAAUAGAAAGAACUCAAGUGAAGACCUCCACAAUUGGUCCUACUGGUGACAUUAGACCCUACUAUUCAUACUUCAUAUAUUUCAUGCAUUGAUGCCUUGGCUAAUGAUACAUUGUUGACUAUUCCUCCUACUUAUGGGAAAUGAUGCCCAGGAUAAUGUUGUCCCCUCUAACACGCCAUAUUUGAAAACUAUAUGGGCAUAGCCAAUCACAAAGACUUUUAUAUCUCCCCUCCCAUUUUUACUUUCCAUAGCAUUGAGAACACUACUUGCUUUAGUAUUGUGGGGUGAGAGCACUUCUACCAAUAUUCGUCUUCUUUAAUUGUAGUCUGUUAUUUUCAGCUUUAGUUUGAGAUAUUUGUUGUAUGUUUUGUUUUACGAUAAUUGAUGUUUAGAUCAUAUUUUUGAUGUUUAGAUCAUUUUAUUUCUCUUUAUUUAUUACCCAUAAGUCUAGAAGUUUUUUAAAUGCUUGAGUUUUCAUUGUUCAUAUUUGAGGAUCGAUUGUGUUCAAUAUCGAUGUCUUGAAUAAUACUUAUGAUAACAAAUGUGUUUUCUUCUAAUAAUUGUAAGAAGAAAUAACUGUGACUACAUUUUCAAAUGAAUAUUUUGAUUAUUGUAUUGACUAGCUUCGUUUUGAUGUGAGUCUAGCAAUGAACAUUAUACGUAAGCUUUUGAUCUUGUAGGGUGUGCUAAAUGAGUGUUUGAAGUUCCUUAUUUGAUAUGGUUUUACUUGAAAUCAUGCUUGUUGAAUUCUAGAAUUUUCCUUGUGAGUACAUGUAACACCCGCAAAACUUGUAGACUAAACUAGAGCCUUAAGUUGGGGUUUUAGAGUUAAAUAUGAAGGUUAGGGUCAUAGAUAAUACAUCUUGUACUUAGAAUGAAUAUUUUAGGGGUAUAACGUCAAGGUACGACUCCCCAAUGACCAACCAAGGGUCUAUGAGGAGGACCCUAAGUCAAACCCCCAAUCUGUCCAAGAAUAGCCUACCCACGAGGGGCACACACGGAUCGUGAAUGGAUGUACACCCAUGAGAAAGGUUCGGGGGUAAAGGCCCCAUCUUGACCUAUUAUUUUGAGCCUUAUAACCCACUGGCGAAGGACCAUUAUGGUCCGUGAGUUUAUCCAUACCCCAUGGGUGUGGGUAGUGGGUGGGGUCCUGCAUGCCGUCCUAUUUUGGCAAAAGGAAGGGUAGUUAGGUAAAUUUUUUAGUAUAAUUUCCCCCAAAUAUUUAUCUCUCUAAAACUUCAUAAAAGAAAAAGAAGUGUAACAACCCUAAAAAUGGCUAUGCUAAAUAAUGCUUAAUGUGUCUAGAAUGCCUACGAUUAGACCGGGUUCAUACGAAUUGAUGCGCGUGGAACCAGACCUUUGAACCCUUGCUACAGCCAAUCCAACUAACUUAGGGAGUUAUUUGAUCUAAAAAGGUUGGGUCCAGCCACGUGGGGCUCUCGAAUACGAAGAUUUACUCGGAUUAGUCAUUACCGGACUUAAAAAGAGAAAUCUUAAGUUUGGAGGAUCUAGGCGUAAAAUGGUCUUUUCGAGGCUAAGGGUAGAAUCAUAAUUACCCUAAAUUUGUAAUUAACUAUUUAAUUAAUAAGGUGGAGGGGUAUUUUGGGGAGAGAGGGCCAAAAUUACCCUUUUAGCAAAAUCCUGCUCCACCCUGGUUUAAACCUAGGUGGGAGCAAUGAUUUUAAUUGUUUUAUUUAAAUUGGUAAAUAAAUUUAAUUAAUUAAUGUUUAUUAGAUGAUUUAAGAAAAAUUAAAAAUCAUAUUUUUUUUAAAGUUUGAAAAAUUAACACUCUCUCACGUUCAUCUCUCUCACGUCUCUCCACUCUCUUUCUCUUUCACAAUUAUCUCUGCCUAACCAACGUAUAAGAACAAAAAAACUACAAAAUUCUUUACACUUCAAGAAGUCACAUAAAAAAUAUAAUCAAAACAUAAGCAAAAACGUUAGGAAAAAAGGGAAGCUUUUCCGUCGUGUUUGGUGUUGAAUUUUUGGACUUGAACGUGAUCUGGAGAGGGUGUUGGACAUCAGGUCAUGCGUUGAAUAAACGUCAAAAUAAGGUAUGGGUUUUCUUCUAUGUCGGUUAUGGUUAAAGUAAAGAAAGAAUGAGGCCAGCCUCAAAUGAUGUACAUAAUGAAAUGAACGAUACCAGAGGUGUUAGGAUAGGAUGAUCAGGAGGUGAGCUAGACUCAAGUAAUGACUCUAGGAUAUUAUUGGUCAUUUCAUAGAAAACCCGAUGAGAGUGUUAAACAACAUCCUAGGCAUGACUAGUGAUUUCACUAGUAUUUGAAUGAAUGAAAAUGAAGUACAUAUGAAUGAAUGAAGCAUACUCUCUAUUUGCUAAAGAAGGUCCCCUAGUUGAGGUCCCAUAUGUUGAGCCCUCAUUUUGGGAAGUCGUAAUGUCAAGAACAUGAUUCUAAGGUCUUAUGGUAUAAGAAAGAAUGAUAUUAACUAUGUGAUAUGAUGUGCAAUAUGUUAUGUGUUUCUUGCAAAAUGAUAAGUAUGAUGAUGCAUGUUACUCUCAUGUCAUGAAUUUACUAAUCCAAAUUUGGCAAGUCCACAGAUUUUCCUAAUCCAAAUUUGGCAAGUCAACUGACUUGACUUUCUAUAAAUCAUGUUGUUAGGAAAGUGCUAUUCUUACUCAUGUAUAUCCUUGGUGUGUACUUGCAUAUACCCAUACUUAGUACAAGUGUGUACUAAUAUAGGUGUAGGCACAAGUGGACGUUAGGGCUUACAGUACGAUGUUGAAGUUAUCCAAACGUUGACCUUUCAUCCAAAUUGGUAGGCCCUUUUUCUUAGAUGAUGUCGAGUGUUAUUAUCUAGCUUAGAUUAAGGCUUUAUCUAGUGGAGCAUAUUUCACUAGUGUUUCAUUUCUCAUUUCAUUUCAGACUUUGUAUUAGUGCCAUUUUGGCUAGAAUAUGUUAAUGCGGUUAUAAACUACUUCUUUCAUUUGAUUAUUUCUAUAUUAGAGGUAUAUUUGUAAACGCCUAUGAUGUUAAGUAUAAUAUGUUUCACAUGAAAUAAGAAAACAAAAAAUUCAAAUUUUCCGCUAAAAUUAACCUAGAUGAAGUAACGAUGACGUAUGUAGGCUUGUCUGCAAACUCUGAGAGGUCACUGAUGCCAGUCUCGUCUGGUGUCUAGAUUGCGGUCAUGACAAAAUUUUUAUCAUAGCACUAGGUUUAAAUUUCAAGGAUAAUAAGUUUAUAUCAACCACAUUGAGUAGUUUCUAAGUCAUGGUAGUGAAUUGCACCACUAUCUUGAAUUAGAGACUGUAUGAUGCGUAGAAAAAAUUUCCUUCUUUUGAUCUUAUCGUACCUUUCCUAAUGUAUGAAUUCUUGGGGUUAUGAGCGUGUCUAACAUCAAUCCUUAUUGUAUUCUGAAAAUGAAAACUAGAAGGAUCGCUAGUCAGAGGAGAGGAGGAGCAGCUGCUGGGGGUAACCAAGUUCCACCCCAGGCUCCAGUUGAAGGAGUGGCUAUGCUGGUUAACCCAGCUGGGUUGAUUGAUGUGAAGGUGUGGGCAUAUCUGGCCCAAAUGGCACAGGCCAUCACUAUGCAGGCCCAGGCCAUGAUUGCCCAGGUCAAUCGACAGAAUGUUGAGAGGGAGAACCAACUGGUACAUAGCAUGGCUGACAGGCUAUGAGACUUCACGAUGAUAAAUCCUCCUAUUCUCAAUGGGUCAAAGACUUAAGAGGAUACCCAGGAUUUCAUGGAUGAGGUACACAAGAUUUUGGUGGCCAUGGAGUCCACAGAUACUGAGAAGGCUAAGUCGGCUUCCUAUCAGCUAAAGGAUGUUGCAUAGACUUUGUGCAAGAUGUGGUAGGAUAGCAAAGAUUUUGGCGGAGUUUUGGUCACUUGGGAACUGUUUAAGAAAGCCUUCAGAUGAGGGAGGUCAAGGUUGAGGAAUUUAUCAACCUUAAGCAGGGAUUUAUAAAAGUCAGGGAGUAUUCCCUGAAGUUUGUUAAACUUUCAAGGUAUGUCGCUUCCCUUGUGUCUAACAGCAGGGAUGAGUUGAGCAGGUUUCUCACAGGAAUCACCGGAGAUCUGGAGGAGGAGUGUCGGGCUGCGAUGAUCCACGAUAACAUGGAUCUCUCCAUGUUGAUGAUGCAUGUCCAGCAGCAAGAGGAAAGCCGGAAUAAGAGGGGCGUCCGUGAUGCUAGGAAGCCUUAGCCUUCUAAUCAUGAAGGUCCUAGCAAUGGUGGCAACAGGAACAACUCCGGCGUCCGUGAGCAGCCCAAAUUUAAAAAGGGGCAACAAAGUUGAGGUAACUCUAACUUUCAGAGGAGUAUAGCUCUAGAGAAGGUAGACCUGAGCCCAAGAAGGGCAAUGUAGGUGAGAUGCAGCGUCUCAAAAAGGACUGUGCUAAGUGAAGUUGUUCUCACAAUGGAGAGUGUAGACAGGGAACUAAUGCCUUCUUCGGUUACGGUAAGAUCAGGCACAUGGUUAAGGACUGCCCACAAAAUAGGGGUCGGGCUGGAGGUAUUGCUCAACCUAGGCCUAAUUCACAGGGUGUAGCAGUAGCCGAGCUUGUUAAGAAAAACAGGUUUUACGCUCUAAAGGGAAGGAGGAGCAUGAGAAGUCUGUUGAAGUGGUCACAGGUAUGCUGCAAAUAUUCUCAACUUCUGUAUAUGCUUUACUUGAUCCAGGGUCUAUGCUUUCCUUUGCAACUCCUUUACUUGCUCUCACUUUUGAGAUAUUGCUUGAAGUUCUGCAUGAUCCUAUAGUGGUUAGUACACCUUUAGGAUAAAGUGUAAGAACUGUAGAGUAUAUAAGGAUUGAUCAAUAGUUGUAUGUUGUAAGACUAAGUGUGAAGAGUGCGGACUUGGUUGAGUUACCAAUGCAUCAUUUUGAUGUUAUUCUUGGCAUGGACGGGCUUCAUAGUUGUAUACUUGUAUGGAUUGUCGUAGUAGGGUUGUGAGAUUUUGUUUCCUUAAUGAAGAAGAACUAGUCUGGGAGGGGUACAACUCGAUUCGUCCUAAUCACUUGAUUUCAAACCUUAAGGCCAAUAAAAUGAUGUCCAAGGGGUUAUUGUGUCAUCUUGUGAGUGUUAACUAUUUAGAUCAUCACAUUCCUUCCAUAGACUUAGUGCCUGUAGCGAAUGAGUUCCAAGAUGUAUUUCCUGAUGAUUUACCUGGAGUUCCUUCUCCUCAAGAGAUUGACUUUUGUAUCGACAUAGAACCCGAUACUAAACCAAUUUCAAUUCCUCCUUAUAGAAUGGCUCUAGUUGAACUCAAAGAGUUGAAGCUGCAGUUAAAAGAUAUCACUGAUAAGGGUUUCAUUCAACCAAGCAUAUCCCCUUCGGGCGCUCCAGUGUUGUUUGUGAAAAAUAAUAAUGGAACUCUUAGAGUGUGUAUCGAUUAUCGGCAACUCAACAAAGUCACUAUCAAGAAUAAGUAUCCACUUCCCAAUAUAUAACUUGUUCACCAACUCCAAGGGUCUAGUUUCAUCUCAAAGAUUGAUCUUCGUUCAGGGUACCAUCAACUUAGGGUUAGGCCUGAAGAUGUUCCAAAGACAGCCUUUCAUACCCGUUAUGGUCUCACUAAUUUUCGCAACCGGAGUCUAGACCCCAGACAAGACCGGUGUUGCUGACCUCUCAGAGGUUGCAGACAAGCCUACUUACGUCAUUCUUUGUUCACUAUCAACCAUCUAACAUUAAGAUCAUCAAAUGAAAGAAAUAGUUUAAUAUAGCAUUAAAUGUAUACUUGCCAAAAUGGCACCAAUACAAUGUCUGAACAAAAACGGAAAGAAACGCUAGUGGAACAUACUCUACUAGCUCAAUCUUAUAACUGAGCUAGAAUAUAAUGGGCAAGCAUCCUCGAAAGCAUGAGGACCUACCAAGUCCGGAUGAACGGUCCACGUCCAGAUAAUUUCAGCGUCAACCUGUAGCUAUAGUGUCCACUUGUGUCUGCACCUAAAAUUGUAGAGUUGUAUAGGGUUAGUACACACAUGUACUGAGUAUGGGUAUAUUUAAGCAACACCAAGUACAUGUUGAGUAUGAAUAUCUCUUUCCUAACAACAUGAUUAUGGAAAGUUAAGUCAUUGGACUUGCCAAAUUGGGAUUAGGAAAGUUGGUGAACUUUCCAAAUUUGGAUUAGGAAAGUGUGAGAACUUCCCAAAUUUUUAUUAGGAAAGCCAUUUCAUGAAUUUAACAUGCAUCAUCAUGCUUAUCAUAUUGUACACAGCACAUAACAUCUAGCACAUAGCACAUAACAUUUUUCAUAUUAUUCGUUCAUAUGCCAUGAGACCUUGGAAUCAUGAACUUGACAUCAAGACUUCCCAAAAAUGAGGGAUCAACAUAUGGGACCUCAACUAGGGAGCCUUCUUUAGCAAACACAGAGUCUACGUCAUUCAUUCAUACGUACUUCAUUUCAUUUCAUUCAUAGGCUAGUGUAAAUACCAGCUAUAUCUAGGAUGUAAUUUAAGACUUUCAUCAGGUUCAAUGUGCAAUGAUCAAGAAUGACCUAGUGUCAUUACUUAAAUCUAGAUCACCUCUUGAUUAUCCUAUCCUAAUACCUUUAGUAUUGUUCAUUUCAUUAUGUGCAUCAUUUGAGGCUGGCUGCAUUCAUUCAUGGGUAACUUUAACUUUAACCGACAUAGAUCACGUGAGCAUCAUGAAAUCCAGUGUCUCCCCCACACCAAUAAGCAAUGGAAUCACCGGCCAAAGUGACCAAAACAUGCUAGCGUACAUGGGAAUUAAACCCUACCACAUCCCUAUAUUGGCAGUAUAGGUUUGAAAACUAGGAGAUAUAAGGAGACCCAUACUUGGCAUGUCAGACAGUCUCAUCUCAUCAGAUUUACUGAACCUUUACCCAUCUCGAAAGAAGGCAACACCGCUCAUAGCUACUCUAUCGGUGCUCAGUAUAAAGUUCCAUUAUAUUUAACUCAUACGUCAUAGAAGCUAGCUUCUAGUAUGAGGACGUCAUAGCUCAAUAGAUGAUUUCUCAUCUCAUCAUUAGUAUUAAGUAUACAUUAAUCUCAAUACUUUCAUUAGAUUGUUCAUAGAGGCUAAUCUCUUUAUUAACUUUACACUCUCAUAGGUGAGUACAUUUUGGUAACAUUUAUUUAGGCUUAUUUGAGAUUGCUCUCAUUUUUUUUCAUGAGCCUCAUUAUGUCGUCACCACAUUCAUUAACAUUAGCACAUUUGUUCUUCAUAAUUACUCACCCCUUUUUACGUGAAUGUUCAUUUCAUCAUAUGCCAAUGUACUUGGCCAUUAGUGUUUCACACUCUUACGUAACCCUUCUAGGGUUUCAUCAUUUCAUUGUUCAUUUCAUCAUUUCUUUUUUCAUUUCAUCAUUUCAUUGUUCAUUUAUCAUUUCAUUGUUCAUUUCAUAAUAUUCCAAUGCACUUGGUCAUUUAGUGUGUCUUACACUCUUACUUAACCCUUGUAGGGUUACAUCAUUUAAUUACAUACAUCUUAUGUUCACUUAUAUUUAAACGUAUGCUAGACUUAUGGGUCUAUGCAUACAAGCCAUGAGGAUUCAUUCAUCGUCCGUUUAUGAUUCAUAUCUUCAUAUGAUUAUGUGGUACAAGUCUUAUGCAUCUUGUAUGUAUGCCAAGAACUAGAUUUCGAUCUAAGUAGACAGCAUUAUUCUUGAAUAUUCAAUUCAAUUAUGGCUUAUGUAUCAAUACGGAAUUCGGGCAAGGGAAUCCAAUUUCGAAUCCCAUAGAUAACACUUACAUUUUUUUUAUUUAUUGUAUUUUGGUCCACAUGGCUUGGGGAUCCAAGAUCGAGCCCCAACACCUUCAUUUUAAAUUUUCCCUUAGCUUUUCUCUUCAUUUUUUGCUCAAUGGAAUUAAGAGGAUGUGGGAUCGAACCCCCACAACCUCAUUUUCUUUUAAUCUCUUUUCUUUAAACUCUCUCUCCUUUGGCCGAGGGGUUUUGGGUUCGAACCCCCCUAACCUCUCUUUAACUUCUUUUAAAUGUUCUCCAUUGAAUCUGUCUAGGAGGUCGUGGAUUCGAUUUGCACGCCUCCCAUUUCUUAUUAUUUCAUUUUUCUUUUACUCUCAUUCGCUGCCUAGAGGUCGUCAGUUCAAUUCCACGCCUCACAUUUCUUUUUAUUAAUUUCUUUGUCCUUCACUUUUCAGCCAACACACCCGAGAUCGAAUCCCCUUGACCCCCAUUUCCCAUUUGCGAUUUUAAGGCAUUAUACGGGUGAGGUCGCGGGUUCGAAUCCUUGUGACCUCACCUCAUUUUUCACUCAAUUAAUUUUCCAGAUUUGUUCAUUUACAUUUAGCCUAAACUAAACAUGUAAGUUGCUGAAAUGUGGUCACAUUUCAGCUCACUUUCAUCAAUCUUUUCACUUGAACUCAUAGACUAACUCGUAGACCAUUUAACACGUUUUGGGGUGCAUUUUUGAUAGAUUCAUUUAGCCAAGAGAUUGUUACUUAAAUCAUCCACAUUCCAUCUUUUAUGAACAUCACGGUUUACGUAGGUUUAUGCACGUAAAAUAACAACCAUAACGUUACACAUUUUGUAGCCUCAAGCCGAGACCCUAGUCAUAGUCACAUUCUUGCACACACAUGCACAUAGUUGCGAAAACACAUAGGUUGUCAUUCAUACGAUUUCAAAUACACAAACAUAAACAUAUUCAUCACUAAAACACAACAUACACCUAAAUCUAUAAGCAAUCGUACCCAACCCACGAAUCAUCGGGAGCUAGUGACAGGGACAUGCAACGGGGAACAACCUUAGUUUUCAUACUAAAUAAUCUGAACCUUAAGGGCUCUCUUGGAAAAAGGACCAAGAGAAAAGAGAACUCAUACCUUUUUGACGUUAAAACCUUGACUUGAUGACCAAAAACUUCACCCAAGAUCACGUUCAAGUCCCCUCAGUGUCAACACCACUCGACGAACAAGCUCCCUUUCCCUAACGUGUGAUUAACGUUUGUUUUCUUGUAAUUUCAUAUGAGUUAUUCAAGUGUGAAGAAAUUGGUUAAUUUUUAUAUUCUUGAAAGUUAUUUUGUAAGAUAUAUCGUGAAUGAUAUUGAUAGAGACGUGAAAGAGAGAGAUGAGCGUGGGAGAAAAGAGUUUUCUUAGGCUUAGGAGUCUAGUUUAGGACUUAGUCAAGUAAAGUUUUAUUUAAUUAUUAAAAAUCUGAUUUCCUUUUAUUUUAAAUCAUCUAAUAAAUAAUAAAUAUUAAUUAAUUAUAUUUAUUUACAAAAUUAAAUUAAAAAAAAUUAAUUCAUUUCUUCCACCUAGGUUCGAACCCGGGUGGAGCAACACUUUACUUCAAGAGCCAAUUUUCAGACCUCUCUCCCCAAAAUACCCCUCCAACUUAUUAAUUAAAUAAUUAAUUAUAUAUUAAGGGUAAUUAUGAUAUUACCCUUAGACGGGAAAAAGACUAUUUUACCUCUAGACCCUCCAAACUUAAGAUUUCUCCUUUUUAAGUCUGGUAAAGACUCAUCCGAGUAAAUCUUUAUAUUCGGGAUCCCUACAUGGAUGGACCCAACCUUUCGUAGCUCAAAUAAAUCCCCAAGUAAGUAGGCUUGGAUGUCGUAAGGGUUCAGAGGUCUGUUUCUACACGCAUUAAUCUGUGUGAACCUAGUCUAAUCGUAGGCAUUCUAGGCACAUUAAACAUUAUUUAGCAUAGCAAUUUCUAGGGUUGUUACACUAAUGCACCUGAUGCAUUUAUGGAUCUCAUGAACAGAGUCUUUCGUGAAUACCUUGAAUCUUUCAUCAUAGUAUUCAUUGAUGACAUCCUCAUCUACUCUAAGACCAAGGAAGAGCAUCAACAGCAUUUGAGACUAACCUUGCAGGUACUUAGACAACAUCUGUUGUAUGCCAAAUUUAGUAAGUGUAUAUUCUGGCUUAGAUCAGUGACGUUCCUGGGUCAUGUUGUGUCUAAUAAAGGUGUGGAGGUAGAUCCCAGGAAGACUGAGGUUUCUAAGAACUGGACAAAACCUCUUACUCCCACAGAUAUUCGUAGCUUCUUGGGAUUGGCUAGUCAUUAUCGCAGGUUCGUGGAGGGUUUUUCUUCCAUUACUGCCCCGCUCACAGCUUUGACAAAGAAUAAAGUCAAGUUUGAAUGGGCGGAGACUUGUGAGAAGAGUUUCCAGGAGGUCAAGGACAAACUCACUUCAGCCUUGGUGCUUACUUUGCCUUAGUGUGGUAAGAAUUACACUGUUUAUUUUGAUGCAUCUAGGAUUGGUUUGGGUUGUGUCCUUAUUCAAGGUCGUAAAAUGAUAGCUUAUGCAUCCAGACAACUCAAGGUUCAUGAAAAGAAUUAUCCCACUCGUGACCUGGAGUUGGCAGCUAUGGUGUUUGCACUGAAAUUGUGGAGGCACUACUUGUAUUGAUUGCAUGUGAAUGUGUUCACAGACGACAAAAAGUGUCCAAUACGUGUUCACACAAAGGGAGUUGAAUCUACAUUAGUGAAGGUGGUUGGAGCUAUUGAAGGACUAUGACAUGAAUGUCCACUACCACGCAGGUAAGGCUAAUGUUGUAGCUGAUGCUUUGAGUAGGAUGAGCAUGGGGAGUACAACCCACGUUGAGGAUGAUUAGAAGGAAUUGGUGAAAGAUAUACACAGACUGGCCAGACUAGGUGUGCGGUUAGUUGAGUCUACUAGUGAGGGUAUUUAAGUUCAUCCUAGUUAUGAAUCAUCCUUAGUAGUUGAAGUCAAGAAGGGUCAGCAUCUUGAUCCUUUGUUGAUGGAACUAAAGGAAUCAGUGUUGGUUAAGAUGAAUGGUAUUUUGCUUUGGGAGAUGACGACAUACUUAGGUAGUUAGACAAGCUGUGUGCAACUGAUGUGGAUGUUUUACAGACCAAGAUUAUUGAAGAGGCCCAUGGUUCCAGAUAUUUCAUACAUCUAGGUUCCACCAAUAUGUAUCAGGAUCUUAAAUAGAUCUUUUGGUGGGCAUGAAGAAGGACAUUGCUGAAUAUGUGGCCAAGUGUCCUAAUUGUAAACAGAUUAAGGCAGAACAUAUUAAGCCUGGCGGUCUUACUCAAAUGAUCAAGGUUCUGACGUAGAAGUGGGAGGCCAUUAAUAUGGACUUCAUGGCAAGGGAAACCGAUUUCGAAUACCUUGAACAACACUUAAUAUUAUUUUAAACUUGAUAAUUGCAUUUUUCUGAUUUGGGUGACCCUAGUUCGAUUCCCAUCAACCCCAAAAUAUUUAUUUCUUGUUCUCCUCUCCUUUUUUGUUUUAAGGCAAAGAGGUUGUGAGUUCAAUCCCCCACAAGCUCGUUAUUUUUAUUUUAAUUUAUCCCUUAACUUUCUCAGCUAUCCAAGAGGUUGUGAGUUCAAUCCCCACUCUCCACAUUUAUUUUCUCCUUUAUUUUUCUCCUAACUCUCUCAUCCAGUCAAGAGAUUGUGGGUUCAAUCCCCACUCUCAAUAUUUUAUUUUCUCCUUUAUUUUUCUCCUAACUCUCUCAUCCAUUCAAGAGGUUGUGGGUUCAAUCACCACUCUCCAAAUUUUAUUUUCUCCUUUAUUUUUCUCCUAACUCUCUCAUCCAUUCAAGAGGUUGUGGGUUCAAUCCCCACUCACCACAUCUAUUUUUCAUUUCAUUUUUCUCAUGUAAUUUUUAUGUAAUUUUCAUUUGGUGAGUUCAUGGGUUCAAUCCCAAUGACCUCACAUUUUUUAAAAAAACAUAGCUAAUUUUCGUCAUCCUUGGCCGAGACUCCAAAUUUCCAGCAAGCUGGAAAUUUGAUCUCUUCCAAUCCAUUUUCCUCUCAAUCUUUUCUUCAUCUUUUUGUAGUUUUGAUGUAAUGAUAUCUUAGGUUCAAUCCUUAGUUAUCUCACUUAUUUUACAUUCAUUUUUAAUUGCAUUUUGUACCACUUUGUUUGGCCGAACCCAACCUACCAAAUGCUGGAAAUUUGUUCACUAUUUUCAGCUUAUUUUUAUCAUCAUUCAUACGUUAAUUCUUAAGGCAUUUCGUGGAUCAUUUGGUGCAUCUUUAACUGUAAUUUUUUUAUGAUUAUAUUCAGCCAAGAAUUUCCAUUAAAUCCAGCAACAUUACACAUAUAUGAACAUUACACUUUUAACAUUUACAUAUAUGAAAACACAACAUUUAUAACACACAAAUUUCAGGCAGCAACAUAGUUAAUUUACAGAUCACCCAUGCUCAAACAAUUAACGUAAAACACAUUUUUAGAAUACAUCUUUCAUUACUUACAUAAUUUCCAAAUACACAAUCAAUACAUAAGAACAAGCAGACUUAAAAUUAUCUACCAGAAGACAUACCAACGUAUGCUUUGAAUCUUUCAAAGUAUUUUAUGACAGGGGCAUGCAAUGGGGACAACCUUAAUUUCUCGAUUGGAAUUUAAACUGAACUUAGGGGUCUCUUAGGAAAGGGGAAAAGAGAGAAGAAAACUCAUACAUUAUUUUGAAGUUUAUUCAACGCACAACCUUCUGUCCAACACCCACUCCAAUUCACAUUCAAGUCCGAAAUUUAAACACAAACUCGACGGAAAAACUUCCCUUUUUGCCUAAAAUUUUUUCUUAUGUUUUGAUUAUAUUUUUCGUGUGAGUUAUUCAAGUGUGAAGAAUUUUGUAGUUUUUCUGUUUUUGUGCGUUGGUUAGGCAGAGAGAAUCAUGAAAGAGAAAGAGAGGGGAGAGACGUGAGAGAUAUGAAUGUGAGAGAGUGCUAAACGUGAAAGAGAGUUAAGAAGUUUAGACAUAGUCAACUAGGACUCUUUCAAACUUUAAAAAAGUGUGAUUUUUACUUUUUCUUAAAUCAUCUAAUAAUUAUUAAUUAAUUAAAUUAAUUUACCAAUUUAAAUAAAAUGAAUCACUUAAACAAACUAUCAAUGAAGCCUCAUGGCUUGUAUGUGUGGACUCAUAAGUCUAGCAUACGUUUUAAAGUAAGUGAGCCUAAGAUGUGUGUGAUAAAAUGAUGUAACCCUAGAAGGGUUAAGUAAGAGUGUGAAACACAUUAAAUGGACAAGUACAUUGGCAUAUGAUGAAAUGAAUAUUCACAUGAAGAGGUGAGUAAUUAUGAUAAGCAAAUGUGUUAAAGUUAAUGAAUGAGGUGACAAUAUGAUAAGUGGCUAAUGUGAAAGAUGAGAGCAAUCUCAAAUGAUCCUAAGUAAAUGUUACCAAAAUGUAACUAUGAGAGUGUAAAGCUAAUGAAGAGACUAGUUUCUCUGAAAACUCUAAUGAAUGUAUGAAGUUAAUGUAUACUUAAUACUAAUGAUAACAUGAGAAAUCAUCUAAUGAGUUGUGAUGUCCUCAUACUAGAAGUCAUCUUCCAUAACAUAUAAGUUGAAUGAAAUGGAACUUUAUACUGAGCACCGAUAGGCUAGCUAUGAGCGGUGAUGCCUUCUUUAAGGAAGGGUGGAGGUUCACGUAACUCUCAUGAGAAGAGACUGUCCGGCAUGCCGGGUAUGGGUCCCCUUAUAUCUCCUAGUCAUUGAACCUAUACUGCCAAUAUAGGGAUCUAGAAAUGUUUAAUUCCCUAUACGCUAUCAUGUUUUGGUUCACUUUGGCUGGUGAUUCCACCUUUUUCGGUGUGGGGAUUACACACUGGAUUUCAUGAUGCUCACGUGAUCUAUGUCGAUUAAGGUUAAAGUUCAAAAAGAAAGAAUGAGGCCAGCCUCAAAUGAUGUACAUAAUGAAAUGAACGAUACCAAAGGUGUUAGGAUAGGAUGAUCAGGAGGUGGGCUAGACUCAAGUAAUGGCUCUAGGAUAUUUUUGGUCAUUGCACAGCAAACCUGAAGAGAGUCUUAAACUACAUCCUAGGUAUAACUAGUGAUUUCACUAGUAUCUGAAUGAAUGAAAAUGAAGUAUGUAGGAAUGAAUGAAGCAGACUCUCUGUUUGGUAAAGAAGGUUCCCUAGUUGAGGUCCCAUAUGUUGAGCCCUCAUUUUGGGAACUCCUAAUGUCAAGUCCAUGAUUCCAAGGUAUCAUGGCAUAUGAAAGAAUGAUAUUAACUACGUGAUAUGAUGUACAAUAUGUUAUGUUUUUCUUGCAAAAUGAUAAGUAUGAUGAUCCAUGUUAAUCUCAUGUCAUAAAUUUCCUAAUCUAAAUUUAGCAAGUCCACUGACUUUCCUAAUCCAAAUUUGGCAAGUCCACUGACUUUCCUAAUCCAAAUUUGGCAAGUCCACUGAUUUUUCUAAUCCAAAUUUGGCAAGUCAACUGACUUGACUUUCCAUAAAUCAUGUUGUUUGGAAAGUGCUAUUCUUACUCAUGCAUGUCCUUGGUUUGUACUUGCAUAUACCCAUACUUAGUACAGGUGUGUACUAAUCCCAUACAAAUAUCAUUUUUUAGGUGCAGGCACAGGUGGACGUUAGGGCUUACAGUACGAUGUUGAAGUUAUCCGGACGUGGAGCUUUCAUCUAGAUUUGGUAGGCCCUUUUUCUUAGAGGAUGUCUACUGUUAUUAUCUAGAUUAGAAGUAGGCUUUAGCUAGUGGAGCAUAUCCCACUAGUGUUUCCUUUCCCAUUUCAUUUCAGACUUUGUAUUAGUGCCAAUUUGGCAAGAAUAUGUUAAUGCAACUAUAAACUGCUUCUUUCAUUUGAUUAUUUAUGUAUUAGAUGGUUGAUCUGUGAGCUCCUAUGAUGUUAAGUAUAAUAUGUUUCACAUGAAAUAAGAAAACAAAAAGUUCAAAUUUUCUGCUAAAAUUAACCUAGAUGAAGUAAUAAUGAUGUAUGUAGGCUUGUGUGCGGCCUCUGAGAGGUCAAUGAAGCCGGUCUCGUAUGGGGUCUAGAUUCUGGUCGUGACAAGAAGAAGAAGAAGAAGAAGAAGAAGAAGAAGAAGAAGAAGAAGAAGAAGAAGAAGAAGAAGAAGGAGGAGGAGGAGGAGGAGGAGGAGGAGGAGGAGGAGGAGGAGGAGAGGAGGAGGAGGAGAAGGAAGAGAGGAGGAGGAGGAGGAUGAAUAAGAAGAAGAAUAGGAGGAGAGGAGGAGGAGAAGGAAGAGAGGAGGAGGAGGAGGAUGAAUAAGAAGAAGAAUAGGAGGAGAAGGAGGAGGAGGAGGAAAGAAGAAGAAGAAGAAAAAGAAGAAGAAGAAGAAGAAGAAGAAAAAUAAGAAUUAGAAGAAGAAGAGGAAGACGAAGAAGAAGAUGAAGACAAAGGACGAAGAUGAAGAUGAAGAGGAAAUAAAGAAUAAGAGGAAAAGUAAGAGGAAGAAAAAGAGGAUGAGGAAGAAGAAGAAGAAUGGUGUAGGGUUGAAUGGGAAAUCAGUAUUGAAUUAUGCCAUUAUGAAGUUACUAUGUGUUUUCCAUAGUUAACCCUAGUCUAAUUGAUUAAUUCGAUAAUGGUUGGGUUUAUUCCAUGAAAGGUGAAAGUGAGUAUUCAUAGAUAAUAAUCUAUAUCGAUGAUAUGAUUAAUAAUUGGUUAUGAAUGAAAGUUUGUAAACAUGAAUUGAAUUAGGUUAUAGAUUAUAUGAUGGAUCUUGAUUAGUAAUGCAGAGGGAUAGGGAGGGGGAGAGGAGGAGUAUGAUGUCUCAUGAUGUAUUUUCAUAUGAUUAUGGAUUAUUUCUUAUGAUGACUAACCAUUAUUUUAUGCUCUUAUGAUGUUAUGCUAGCUAACACAUUUAGUAUGUUUUGUACUAAUGCAUACUUUGCCUACAUCUCAUCAAAUGUAGGGUACAGAAAUUUGAGUUUCUUUCAUGAGAAUAGGUUUAUAAAGAGCAAGGAGUUUAAUAUUUGGUUAGUUCACAUAGCUUCGAGGACAAAACCACUAUUUCUUUUAUGUCUGUUAUUUUCAUGUUUUGAGAUUAUUGUAUAGGCUAUGUCCCAAGAGUUUUACUCAAAGUUGUAUUAGAUGGUUUGCGAGAAAGUUCAGUAAGAUUUCGUCUUCUAUUUAUAAAAGACUUCAAUUGUAUGGAUAAAGUUUUUAUAAUUUCCGUACUUUUAACAUAUGUUUAUGAUAUGUUAAGGGUUUAUAUGAGACCCCUUCGAGGUCAAGUAUGCCAUGUUACUUCUUGGGUGUACCCGUGGGUCGUGACAAAGUUGGUAGUAAUAGAACAAGGUUUAGAAUGGUUCUAAAAUUGUCUCAAACCACAUUUAGUAAGGUCUUGUUCAAAAAAUUUGAAGUGUGCUACAUUUAUGAAUAAGAGACUAUUUGAUGCUUAAGAAACUUCACUUCUUCAUUCACUAAGUUGUGCCAUAGAGUUUAACUCUAUUAGGUCUCUCCCCUAAUAUGUGCCCUAUGGUUUUAAGGUUAUGUCUGAUGCAAGGGCAAAUGCUAGGACGAAUGAGGGAGACAAUGUGGAGCAAGAGGUUCUCCAAGCCCUACUCAAGCUCCAAUUGAUCCUUUGGAUAUGUAGAACACGGAGUGAUUAUCGUUUUCAAAGACACUUCCUCCAAUUCAAAGCGUCAACAAUCGUAAGUCAGUAUAAACCCAACUAAAUGAGAUGAGGUCAAAUCCCACAGGGAGCGAUACGUGUUUCAGAUUCUAUUGAGAACUAUGAACAUUUUCAAAUCAGUCAUUUGAAUAAAAGUUAUUCAUUCAAUAUAUUAUUCAAAUUAGGGUGACAUGAAUGUCAAAUGGAAGAUUUUUUAUUUUUAGCAUCAACUACUAACCAUCAGAAACAAUAUGCAUUUAUAAUAAUGCGACAGGUUCAUAGAAUGUGAUCGAUUAUAGGGUGAUAUAGACCAAUGGGUAAUUGCAACUAUUAGUAUAUAUCUAGAUAUUAGUGAGUAGGUUAGGCUAUAGUUGAGAUAAAUUUUCGCUAGAUCAAUUUACCCUAAAUCAAGUGAUUUCUCACGAACAUCACAAGCGUGCAAAGAAUAGAGUACCCACACCUUAAUCCAUUCAUUCACUCGAGCUGAAUUUGUGGAAUUGGGUUUAGGAUUCAUCCUACCGAGUUGAACCCAGGUCAACUCAAUACUCAUAAACCAUCAAUCAACAAUUUUAAUUCUAAAACCUCUCUCUCUCUCUCUCUCUCUCUCUCUCAAGCUAAAACACAAAUAUAGAACUGCAUUUGCAACUACAAUUCUUAAAUUAAACCAUAGUUAGUGAUUAAACUCACUUCUAAAAAGCAUUUAAGCUAACAAUUAGCAAUACCCAUAAACUAAAUCAGCCCAUAUUCACAUAAUCACGCCCCAAGAUUUUGGGUUUUAGCUGGAUAUCAUAAAAAGAUAAAAGAAGUUACCAAAAUAUUUACCCAUCAACUAGGUAAGUGUAGAUUUGUCUUUACAAUGCUCCAAUUCAAAGAAUAUCAAAGACUCACUUCCAAUUUCUCAAAAGUGGAAAACUUUAAUUCUUCAAAGAUAAAGAGAAAACAAGAAAAAAUUAUCUCGGGAUGCUAAAAACUUGAUAACAAAAUCUAAGAUUAUAAAAUCUCCACCAAAUACAUUAAAAUAAAUGUUCAAAAUGGUAUUUAUAUUCACAAAAAAUGUGCUGCAAAAAGUCAUUUGGCGAUGUAAGUUGGGCUCGCCGAACCACUACGCGACCCGCCCUUUGGUCUAUUCUAUCACCCUUUUGCCUUGGUACUCAGCAUCCUCACGGAGGUAACUUUGGGCGAUCCAUCUUGUCUUUAUAAAAUCACUAGACGAUCCGCUAACUUCUCAUUUUCAUGGGCAAAUUGAUUUUUUCCUUCAAGUAUUGGAAGACAGGAACUUUAGGUGGUCAGAUGUGCCACGCGGCGAUACGCCAAGUACUCUUGGGGAUCCUCAUUCUCGCGCAUCUUCAUUUCUUCAGCUUGUUUUGUUCCUUUUUUCCUGUUAGCGUCCUUGCUUUGUCCCUCAAUCCAUGUUCUUGAAAAUCAAGGAUUUAAGUUCAGUUAUUGGCACAAAAUAAGCAUUUGAGGAAAAUAAAUCUAUAUAAAGUAAUCCCUAAUUGAAUACAAAUCUCAUACUCAUCAACACCCCACACUUAGACUUUUGCUUGUCCUCAAGUAAAACCCAAGUUCAACAGUUCAAAAAGGAUGUCUCAAACAGUGCUGCAAAAAACUUAUAUAUGAAUGCAUGCAAGAAGACUGAACUUACUCAUGUAAGGAUCAAUUGUGCACUCAAAGAUUCAAGUUGUGACUCACCAUUAUCAAGGAUUUGCAAGUUCACAAUACUUGCUUCAAAUUCAAAUUCAACCUUAACAAAGGUACUCAAAUGUCCUCACAACAAGGAUGACUCUGUAUUCACACACAUUUUUUAAACAAUUCAUAGCUUUGAAAUAACAUACAACUCUGACACUCUCAAAGAUGAACACAUGCAUGAAUUCACCUAUAUGUUUGCCCUUAUUUUCCAAUCAACACUUGUUUCAUCUUACUCAAAAUCAAAAAGGUCUUUUCAAGGAUUUUCAAGAGGCUGAGUGUAAAGGUAUGGUCAUUUAGGCUCUUUGGCAGCUAUCCUCCUGAAAUUUGGUAUGAACAUCAUUUUCCUUCCUUUUCUUGAACAUUUUCACUCUUGCUCAAAAUUCACCUGUUACUCACUUCCAAUGGAAUACCGUACACCUAAUUUAUUUUGCAACUUUCACAACUUUUUCAUUCUUUUUCUUUUUCCUUUUUCUUUUCUUUCUCUCUUUUUUUAAUAAAGAGAGGUUUUCAUUUUUUUAUAUCCGUAGAUCAAGGGGGAUUUCUUCACACUUUUUGAUUUUCCUCCUUUUUUCACCACACCCCAACUUAAGCUUUUGGCCUAAGUUGUCUAUUCAAACAAACCACACUUAAUAAGGAUUAUGGGUGAAGAUAAACAGAGGUUAUAACUGCAUCAAGUUUCUUCAAGAAAAAGAUAAGGAUCAAAGGGGGUUCAAGCAAGGUUCACAAAUCUCACAAGGUUGGAUGUAAAAGAGGUAUAUUAUCAAAUUGUUUCACUUUUUAAAUUGUUGCCUAAUAUCAUUUCAAGAGCUUACAUAAGUCAGUCAACAGGAUCAAUGGGGAAUAUUCUAGGUUUCAUAACACAACAUUCACGUUAAGCUCAUCACACAAGGCAUUGACACCAAUAUCAAAUGAAACUCCAUGUUUUUGCUCGUAUACAAUGUUCAUCACAAGAGAUUCAUUCGAUAAUCAUCUAGUCAAAAUGAGAUGUAGAAAGUCCACAUACUGUCUAUGCAACUUCAUUAGGCCUCAUCGUAGCUGCGCAUUCAUUUUUGUUUGAUAAAGAGCACUAUUCAAGUCAUCGGUAUUGAUCAUAAUUGAUAUUCAAAUUUGCACAAGAAUAACCACAUUCACAUACAACAAAGGUGGAAAAUAAUUAUUAUAAGGGUCAAAAACCAUUUACAUUCAUCAUAUGGAGACACAAGCUCAAACUUCCACAAUAUAGAAGCCCAUACACAAUUCAACACAAAAACCCAAAUAUACAAAACAUAGUCACAAGAGGUAGGUAAGGAAAUACCUCACCCCAACAUAAAUAAAAAGCUAGUUGUCAUCAAAUGCAACAAAAUAAUAAAAAGUCAAUACAAAUUAUAAAGAGAGAUGUAAACAAAGGUCAUGUCUACACGGUCACUCUAUCUGUCGGGGCAUAAAUGCCUGAGGUCACACUUUAAUCCUGGGCCUCAGCGCCCGAUGUAACAUUAGUAGCACUGGCUCCACUAGAGCAUGCAAUGGAUGUCUCUAUUAGCGUUGUUUGAAUGACUUAUUGUACAAUCGCUUCCUCUAAAUUAGGCAGGUCCCUAUAUAUGGUCGUCUCUUGAUCAUCCAGCUUCUCCUCAUCUGUCUCUACCUCGGAAAUGUCAGCUUCCACAUCCUCCACAUGCACAUGUUUAGCAGUGGCCAAAGGCAUCUCAAAACUAGUCGGAGCAUCUUGAUCCUCAGUUGCCUCCUAGAGUGAGGUAAAGUCUGUAGACUUUAGAUAUCCUAUGUCCUUUUUCAUAUCUGUAACCUUAACUUUCAAAAUUGUCACCACUAAAGUAUCCCUUUAUCGGCUCUCACAAGUCUCUACUCUCAUUGUGAAGAGUUUCAAUAAAUGUUUAGAGAGGUGUCAACGCAGCUAGGAUGGCCCUAUCAAUCAUCCAAGGUACCUCAACUUUUAACCAGGUAGCCCGCAUAUCAGUAAAAAGGGAUAAGUUCCCCAUCUUCAUGAUCAUGGCCUAAGUAAUCCUUGUGGGCUGGGAUUAGUCAAAAAAUCAGGAACAUGGGAGGAAGUGAAAGUGGAAGUACCUGAAGGCUCGAUGGCUGGAGUAGGCAAAAAUGCCUAUGCAAGUAUAGAAUAAACAUGAACCUUUUGGGAUGCAUCCACCGGAUCGCUCUCCUCCUAUCCUUGAGUGUUCUCGAUCUUUAUGUGUCGGAUGUCUAUCAAAGAUAUGGGAGUGACCUAGAUGUCCUUCUUUUCAUCAUUUGAACUCUAGCAUGCCUUCUUAGAUUUAUAAUUAAAAUCAGGAAGGUGACGGGCGUAUGUCAAUGCUUGGUCAUCAUAUCCAUGUCCUUCUAAAUGAUAAGCCCAAUUGGAUCCUAUUGUGUGUGAUGAUGGACCCUAGACAAGCCGCCUAGGGGUGAUGUCACAAAUAAGGGGAGUAAGCCAACCCUUUAGAUCAUCCAGGGCAUGUGCUAUGGCUAGCCCUCGUAUUCAUGCUCAGACCAGUGGCUCUAUCAAGUAUAACAUUGCUUUUAUCGUUGUUGUACCCCAGUUAUUUCCCUCGGACCACUACACACUUCACCAAUCUAAAUGUUUUGGCCUUCUUCUUACCAUAGGAAACUAGCUCAUAAUACGCAAUACAGAAAUCACACACCAAGCUGGGGAUAUAUGGGCCUUGUGGUGCGGUGAAUAUGUCAAAGCGAUGGUAUCGAAGUGUGUCUCUCACCCAACAAUAUAUUCCCUCUAGUCCCUCUAUAAACAACAACUUCUUAUCCAAAAUCAUCCUCAAUCCCUUAACCUUUAGACUAUUAAGUAGCAGCAGAGGAGGACCCUGAAUUGGUGUCUCUAGAACCACUGUUGUGGUAUAGCUGGAACUGUAUCAGUAGGGUAGGGGUGGCCUCUAGGAUCCUAGACAGAUCUUGGCGAUCUCUGGAACGAAUCUCAUCUUGCCGGGAUUGUAGAGGUUAGUUAUCCUCAGGAUUAAAGAAUGCACCCUGGGAAUCAAAGGAAUCCCCCUCGCUGUCGGAGAGGUGCUACGAUACCUCAGAUGCAGGCGAUUUGCCCUAGAAUUAGCCUCCCUUGGAGGUACUCAUUAAUAAACAAUGCUUCGUGCUAUUUUGCGGGCUGGAAUACCACUAUAGUUCAUGCUUGUUCUGCCAUAUCUGUAAAGUAUAACAAAAUAAGUUAGAACAAUUCAAGAAAAAUGAAGAAAUAAAGUAACAAAAAGACUCGCUACACCGAUUGGUAAGUUGCUGAAUCACUUUGGAGAGACAGAUCAAGAUAGAUGAAAGGAUUGGAAAAAAAACUCCUAGAAAUUCUCAGGUCGGCGAUGCUAAGGGCCUUUCAGCGAGCUCAGACUAGUCCACCGAAAGAUACAAUGUCUUAUAGGGUUAGGGGUGAAAAAAGGGCGAUCAAGGGUGACUUUUGGCAAGUCACCGAGCUCAUACUUCUUGUCGAAAGUUACAGACUCAAACUCAAUCGAAACAAGAAAUAAAAGGCGAUAUGGGGGGCUUUGGCAAACCUUAGAGUGGUUCGGCGAGCUCGACCCAGCUCGCUAAACUGCCCAACAUGCCAUUUUUUAACCUCGACUCCCAAAAUAAAAACCGCAGCCCCCAAAAACAAAAUUAAACACCACACUGACUUAAUUAAGCUCAUACCCAUUAGACCUAUUCCACCAGGGUACUCAAACUUCUAUAGUUUUUCAAAAAUUGGUUAUUUGAUGACUUAAGCCCAUAAGAAUAACGCCAAAUCCUCCCUCAUUGGGAAAAUCAUGUCAUUUAGCACAAUUGGGGUUACUCAUACUUCACCCAACUAGACUCAACAAUGAUUUCACACAACCCACAAUAUUACGAUUAUUUUAAAGCAUGAAAAUCACAGAAUCAACAAUUUAGGCAAUUUAGGUGUGAAAUCAAAGUUAAAAUCCGCAAACUAGCAUACAUUUAUUAUUUCACAGAGUCUUAACUAUCACGACCCAAAUCGGGCCGCGACUGGCACCCACACUUACCCUCCUAUGUGAGCGAACCAACCAAUCUAACCCCAAUCGUUUACCAAUAAUAACAAAAACUAAUGCGGAAGACUUAAACUCAUUAAUGAAAAUUAAUUAAAUAACUUCUAAAAACUCAACAACUAUUAUUAUCCCCAAAAAUCUGGAAGUCAUCAUCACAAGAACAUCUAUCCUCAAAUUACUAAAACUAAGAGUAUCUAAGAAACUAAACAUAAAUAAUAGAUAGUCUAUGCCAGAGCUUCAAGGCAUCAAGACAUGAAGGGGAAGAUCCAGUCCAAGCUAGAAGCGUUAGCUCACCCUGAAAUCUGGUGUGCCGAAGACUGGCUAGAGUUGCGGUUGAGUUGAGGAUGACGGUACGUUUGCUGCACUCCACAAUGAACAAAAAGAAAACAGACAAGUAGGGGUCAGUACAAAACACAGGUAUUGAGUAGAUAUCAUCGGCCAACUCAAAAUAGAAAACAGUUUAUAUCAGAUAAUAUCAUAAAAUCAACUACAGUACUUAACAUGCGGCAUUUAUAAUUACCAUAACCCUUGGUCAUAAUACCAAGCUCAUCAAUGAGGACUCACGCCUCCCCAUCAUACUCAUUGGGGAAUUAGGUUCAUUAAAUUGAGUAUAUUAACAUAUUCAAGAUUCAUUCUCUUUGCUAAUCCUGGUGUCGGAACGUGACACUCUGAUCCUCAUCAUACAAUCCUGGUGUCGGAACGUGACACCCGAUCCAUAUUCUAUCCUGGUGUCAGAACGUGACACUCCGAUCCUCAUAUACUAUCCUGGUACCGGAACGUGGCACCCGAUCCAUAUACUAUCCUGGUGUCGGAACGUGACACUCCGAUCCUCAUAUACUAUCCUGGUACCGGAACGUGGCACCCGAUCCAUAUACUAUCCUGGUGUCGAAACGUGACACUCCGAUCCUCAUAUACUAUCCUGGUACUGGAACGUGGCACUCCGAUCCUCAUAUACUAUCCUGGUACCGGAACGUGGCACCCGAUCCAUAUACUAUCCUGGUGUCGGAACGUGACACUCCGAUCCUCAUAUACUAUCUUGGUACCGGAACGUGACACCCGGUCCCCUAAUCUCACUACUUUCGUUCAUCAAGCCUUCUUUUAUACCAAGGCAUCAUCAUUAACAAAGUAUAUUAGGGUUUCUUUUUCAAGAUUUAGGAUUCAAUAGCUUCAUCAUGCUUAUUUUAUCUCAAUCAUAUAAUCACAACAUGCAAACACAUAAUUAAGCAUAAAGAAGGGUUUACAACACUACCCAAUACAUAUCAUUCGCUAUUAAGAGUUUACUACGAAUAGUAUAAAAACCAUAACCUACCUCCACCGAAGAUUAGAAAUCAAGCAAGCAAGUUCCCAAAGCUUUGUUCUUCUUCUCGUUUCUCCUCUUUCUCGUUCGAUUCUCCCUCUCUUUCUGUUCUUUUCUUUUUCUUAUUCAAGCCCUCUUUCUUUUACCCUAAUUAACAUAUAAUUAAGUAUAAAAGAUGAUGAAUUAACCCAUUAAUUAAUUCAAGGUUAUCUCCUUUAACCCUCAAGAAAUUGGAUUAUUAAUAUUCACCCACUAAAUUUAUAAUUAUAGCAGGAAUAGUCCAAAACGCCCCCUUAAAACAUUUAAAGAAAUUCGACUCAGCCUGGGAUUACGCAGUCUGUGACGGGCCGUCGUACCUGCGACGGUCCGUCCUGCUGCUCCGUCACAGAGUUCAGAGACUCAAUUCCCUUAAAGAUCCUGUGACGGUCCAUCACGCCUGUGACGGUCCGUCCUGCCAUUCCGUUACGAAGUUCAGAGAGUCGAUUUCAGUACCCAUUUUUCAGAAUUUCUAAGUGUUUUGAAACCAGACCCCCUCGACGGUCCGUCGUGCCCAUGACGGUCCGUCGUGGGUUCUGUCAUCUCAGCCAGUUUUUUCAGAAAUAAAAUUUGUUGCUCAAAACGACUAAAUAGGUCGUUACAAUAGAUACCAAUUUACCCAUCGUUCGUCCUCGAACGAUCAUAAGAAGAAAAACAAGGGCGAAACGAAGUACCUGAAUCUGUAAACAUGUGUGGGUAUCUUUCUUGCAUAUCAGCCUCUUUCUCCCAAGUGGCUUCUUCAACGGGUCGAUUCUUCCAUUGAACUUUGAUGGAUGCAAUCUCCUUUGACCUCAGCUUGCGAACUUCUCUAUCUAAAAUGGCAACAGGCUCCUCCUCAUAAGACAAAUUUUUCAAAACUAAAUCCCAACUAAUGAUGUAGUUUCCAUCCCCAUGGUAUCUUUUCAACAUAGACACAUGGAAUACCGGAUGCACUCCGGACAGCCCUGGAGGCAAGGCUAACUCAUAAGCCACCUCCCCUACUCUCUUAAGUACUUCUAAGGGACCAAUAUACCUUGGGCUUAAUUUACCCCUUUUACCAAAACGCAUCACCCCUUUCAUGGGUGAAACCUUCAGCAAGACUUGUUCACCCUCCAUGAACUACAAGUCUCUAACCUUUCGAUCUGCAUAUUCCUUUUGCCUACUUUGCGCCGCUAACAGAUUUUCUUGAAUAGAUUUCACUUUCUCCAAUGAAUCCCUCAAAAGGUCAGUACCCCAAGGUCUAACCUCAAAUGCCUCAAACCAACCAAUGGGAGACCUACAUCUCCUCCCAUACAAUGCUUCGAAUGGAGCCAUAUCAAUACUUGAGUGAUAGCUAUUAUUGUAUGAAAACUCUGCUAAGGGUAAGAAGUUAUCCCAAUGGCCUCCAAAUUCUAUCACACAUGCAUGAAGCAUAUCCUCCAACACUUGAAUUGUUCGCUCAGACUGACCAUCAGUCUGAGGGUGAAAUGCAGUACUAAGGUCCAACCUAGUACCUAAUUCAGCAUGCAAUGUUCUCCAAAACUUAGAAGUAAACUACGUACCUCUAUCUGAUAUGAUGGAGAGUGGAACUCCAUGCAAUCAAACAAUUUCUGAGAUAUAAAUUUUGGCACACUUCUCUGCAUUGUAGGUCACCUUGACUGGAAUGAAGUGAUCAGACUUAGUUAACCUAUCAAUGAUUACCCAAAUAGAGUCAUACUUACCCACUGUCUUUGGAAGACCAACCACGAAGUCCAUUGCAAUUCUCUCCCACUUCCAUUCAGGAAUGGGUAUUCUUUAAAGUGUUCCUCCGGGCCUCUGGUGUUCAUACUUUACUUGCUGACAAUUUGGACAUUUGGCAACAAAAUCAACAAUGUCGCGCUUCAUUCUACUCCACCAAAAGUGUUGCUUUAGGUCACGGUACAUCUUGGUUGCACCAGGAUGUAUAGAAUACCUUGAACUAUGAGCCUCUGUAAGAAUGGUGUGGAUCAAAUCAUCAACACGGGGCACACAUACCCUUCCCUUAAUCCUCAAAACACCUUCCUCAUCCAUUAUUGCUUCUUUAGCCUCUCCUCGCAACACUUUAUCUCAGAUCCGGAUCAAUUUCUCAUCAUUAAACUGCUUUCCCUUAAUCUUGUCAAGAAAAGAAGAUCUUGCCUCCACACAAGCCAACAAUCCUCCCUUCUCAUUUACUUCUAACCUCAUAAAGUCGUUAGCCAAAGUCUGAACCUCUCUAGCCAAUGGGCGUCUAGAAACUUGUAAGUGGGCUAAACUGCCCAUGCUCCCUGCUUUUCUACUUAAGGCGUCUGCCACAACAUUAGCCUUUCCUGGGUGAUACAAGAUGGUAACAUCAUAAUCCUUCAGUAUUUCCAUCCACCUCCUCUGUCUCAAAUUCAAAUCCCUCUGCGUAAAGACAUACUGUAGGCUAUGAUGAUCCGUGUAGACUUCACACUUAGCUCCAUAUAAAUAGUGUCUCCAUUGCUUAAAUGCAAACACUACCGCAGCCAACUCCAAAUCAUGGGUCGGAUAAUUACGUUCAUGCACCUUUAAUUGCCUCGAAGCAUAAGCAAUUACAUUCUUCUCUUGCAUUAGUACUGCACCCAAACCCGAAUAGGAUGCAUCACAAUAGACAAUGAAAUUCUUACCUUCCACUGGCAAGGUAAGGAUUGGUGCGGUAGUCAACAAAGUCUUGAGCUUCUGAAAGCUUUCUUCACAUUCAUCCGACCAUACAAAAGGAACAUUCUGCUUAGUCAAGUUUGUCAAUUGGGAAGCAAUGGAAGAGAAUCCCUUGACAAAUCGACGGUAAUAGCUAGCUAAACCAACAAAGCUCCUUAUUUCUGACACAUUAGUAGGUCUUACCCAAUUCUUCACUGUCUCAAUCUUAGAAGGAUCCACCAUCACCCCAUCCUUAGAAACCACAUGCCCCAAGAAGGACACUGCAUCUAGCCAAAACUCACACUUGGAGAAUUUGGCAUAAAGCUUUUUCUCCCUCAACAUUUCCAAUACAAUUCUCAAGUGCUCCUCAUGUUCCUUCUUGCUCUUUGAGUAUACCAGUAUGUCAUCAAUGAAUACAAUGACAAAGAGAUCCAUAUAUGGCUUGAAAAUCCCGUUCAUCAAGCUCAUGAAAGAAGCAGGGGCAUUCGUAAGCCCAAAAGACAUUACUAAGAACUCAUAAUGCUCAUACCUGGUCCGAAAAGCAGUCUUGGGCACAUCUGCUGCUCGUAUUUUCAAUUGAUGAUAACCAGAUCUCAAGUCGAUUUUUGAGAAGGUACAAGCACCUUGUAACUGAUCGAACAAAUCAUCAAUGCGAGGAAGAGGAUACUUAUUCUUAAGCGUUAACUUAUUUAGUUGUCUGCAAUCUAUGCACAUCCUAAAACUUCCAUCCUUCUUCUUCACAAACAAAACAGGAGCACCCCAAGGAGAUGCACUUGGUCUAAUGAAGCCUUUACUCAACAACUCCUGAAGUUGGGCCUUUAACUCUCUUAACUCCGCGGGAGCCAUUCUAUAAGGAGGUAUAGAAAUGGGGCGAGUAUCCGGUUCAAGAUCGAUGCAGAAGUCAAUAUCUCUAUCCGGUGGCAUACCAGGAUAAUGCACGAAACUUAGCCUCAUAUGCAGUGACUGACAUCCUACCUUGCUCUAGGCUCAAGAACUCAUCUCUUUUCCUAUCCCUCAAGGUCCUGGGGAUAUACUUCUCCAUAAACAAGCUAGAGAAUAAUGCCCAAGUCAUAGGUGGUGCCUCUGUUGGUUGACACUCAACAUGUGACCGCCACCACAUUUUGGUGUUCCCUUGAAACUGAUAAGUCACCAAGUCAACACCAAACCGUUCUACUAUACCCAUCUUGUGUAGUAGCUCAUGACAGUCAACCAGAAAAUCAUAGGCAUCCUCAGAUUCAGCACCCUUGAAGACUGGAGGUUUCAACUUUAAGAACUUACUGAAAAGUUCAUGUUGAUCAUUUGUCAUUAUAGGCCCUGUAGUCAGACGAGGAAACGUGCCUAUUUCCAAUGGAACAUCCAUGCGGGGAGCCGCACCAGUUUCCUCUUGUACUUCCAGACCCUGAGGUGCUGGUGCAGAAAACACUGGAGGUGUUUGACCUUGAUCAGAUAACCCACUAAGAUAAGAAAGAACCUGAUUUAUCAUCUCUGGGGUAGGUUGGGGUGGUAGUUCCUCAUUCUGCACUUGCUCAGUUUCCCCUUCCUCACCCUCUCUUACUACUUCUUCAUUCGGUGGAGGAGUCACCGCCCUAGUAUCAGAAGGGCUAGGUGCUCGUCCUCUAACUCUAGAGGACGUCCUCCCACGACCUCUACCACGGCCUCUUGCCGCUACUCUUCCUCGAGCUACAGCCCCAGUGGCUGGCUCAGACGCUUCUUGUCUUGCCGAUGUUGGUGUUGGCGCAGUCGUUGCUCUAGUUUCUAACCAUUUGCAAAAUAAAGUGAAGAUGGUCAGAUACCAAUUUGUAUCACCUAGAUACCAAUUGGAUCCAAGUAAUAGCACGAAAGAAAGAAAGAAUAGAAUUUUUCUAAAGUCUUAUAGCCUCUCAAAGAAAAGUAAAGGCGUCCCCCUACCGUUCCUUAAGACUCUACUAGACUCGUUCUUGUGUGAUGAGACCAACGAACCUAAUGCUCUAAUACCAAGUUUAUCACGACCCAAAUCGGGCCGCGACUGGCACCCACACUUACCCUCCUAUGUGAGCGAACCAACCAAUCUAACCCCAAUCAUUUACCAAUAAUAACAGAAAAUAAUGCGGAAGACUUAAACUCAUUAAUGAAAAUUAAUUAAAUAACUUCUAAAAACUCAACAACUAUUAUUAUCCCCAAAAUCUGGAAGUCAUCAUCACAAGAACAUCUAUCCUCAAAUUACUAAAACUAAGAGUAUCUAAGAAACUAAACAUAAAUAAUAGCUAGUCUAUGCCAGAACUUCAAGGCAUCAAGACAUGAAGGGGAAGAUCCUGUCCAAGCUAGAAGCGUUAGCUCACCCUUAAAUCUGGUGUGACGAAGACUGGCUAGAGUUGCGGUUGAGUUGAGGAUGACGGUACGUUUGCUGCACUCCACAAUGAACAAAAAGAAAACAUACAAGUAGGGGUCAGUACAAAACACAGGUACUGAGUAGAUAUCAUCGGCCAACUCAAAAUAGAAAACAGUUUAUAUCAGAUAAUAUCAUAAAAUCAACUACAGUACUUAACAUGCGGCAUUUACAAUUACCAUAACCCUUGGUCAUAACACCAAGCUCAUCAAUGAGGACUCACGCCUCCCCAUCAUACUCAUUGGGGAAUUAGGUUCAUUAAAUUGAGUAUAUUAACAUAUUCAAGAUUCAUUCUCUUUGCUAAUCCUGGUGUCGGAACGUGACACUCCGAUCCUCAUCAUACUAUCCUGGUGUCGGAACGUGACACCCGAUCCAUAUUCUAUCCUGGUGUCGGAAUGUGACACUCCGAUCCUCAUAUACUAUCCUGGUACUGGAACGUGGCACCCGAUCCAUAUACUAUCCUGGUGUCGGAACGUGACACUCCGAUCCUCAUAUACUAUCCUGGUACCGGAACGUGGCACCUGAUCCAUAUACUAUCCUGGUGUCGGAACGUGACACUCCAAUCCUCAUAUACUAUCCUGGUACUGGAACGUGGCACUCCGAUCCUCAUAUACUAUCCUGGUACCGGAACGUGGCACCCGAUCCAUAUACUAUCCUGGUGUCGGAACGUGACACUCCGAUCCUCAUAUACUAUCUUGGUACCGGAACGUGGCACCCGAUCCCCUAAUCUCACUACUUUCGUUCAUCAAGCCUUAUUUUAUACCAAGGCAUCAUCAUUAACAAAGUAUAUUAGGGUUUCUUUUUCAAGAUUUAGGAUUCAAUAGCUUCAUCAUGCUUAUUUUAUCUCAAUCAUAUAAUCACAACAUGCAAACACAUAAUUAAGCAUAAAGAAGGGUUUACAACACUACCCAAUACAUAUCAUUCGCUAUUAAGAGUUUACUACGAAUAGUAUAAAAACCAUAACCUACCUCCACCGAAGAUUAGAAAUCAAGCAAGCAAGUUCCCAAAGCUUUGUUCUUCUUCUCGUUUCUCCUCUUUCUCGUUCGAUUCUCCCUCUCUUUCUGUUCUUUUCUUUUUCUUAUUCAAGCCCUCUUUCUUUUACCCUAAUUAACAUAUAAUUAAGUAUAAAAGAUGAUGAAUUAACCCAUUAAUUAAUUCAAGGUUAUCUCCUUUAACCCUCAAGAAAUUGGAUUAUUAAUAUUCACCCACUAAAUUUAUAAAUAUAGCAGGAAUAGUCCAAAACGCACCCUUAAAACAUUUAAAGAAAUCCGACUCAGCCUAGGAUUACGCAGUCUGUGACGGGCCGUCGUGCCUGCGACGGUCCGUCCUGCUGCUCCGUCACAGAGUUCAGAGACUCAAUUCCCUUAAGGAGCAUGUGACGGUCCGUCCUGCCAUUCCGUUACGAAGUUUAGAGAGUCGAUUUCAGUACCCAUUUUUCAGAAUUUCUAAGUGUUUUGAAACGAGACCCCCUCGACGGUCCGUCGUGGGUUCCAUCGUCUCAGCCAAUUUUUCCAAAAAUAAAAUAUGCUGCUCAAAACGACUAAACAGGUCGUUACAUUAACACACAUCAGCACAAUCUAUAAUAAUGCAUUUGAGUUUAACCGCUAACUAAGAGUUUGGGGCUCAGAAAAACCAAUUUUUUAAUGUUGAAUUAUGAUUUAAAUUGCUAAGCUGCAAAUAAUUCCAACUCCGAACACAAGAAUAACGAGCAAAAAGUAACAAAUGCAAAAAUAUAGGAAACUUAAAGUGUCGGUGAGAUUGUAUGAAUUUAAAAGUGAGGGAAUGUGAAAGAGUUUGAAAUUGGAAACCUUUGGCCUUUUACAAACUGUCCAGUUCGCACCCUUUUAGCGAUAUUAGUUUACUUUUCAGAACCACUGAGUCACACGCCGAGUAGUUACUUGCCUAUCCAAGUUUUACUGGACCUCCAAUUAACUUGGGGGUCCAAACGGUGGACAAAGUCGGGUUCGCCGACCUAUUUGGUGAUUCGCCGACAAGUCCACAGGGCUGCCAAGUUUUAUAGACUCUCUCCUGAUAUUUUUGUGAGUACAACAGCAGUUCAAGUCGUUCUUGCCGACUUCUUCAGCAUUCGUUGACUAGACUCUCUGGUGCGCCCUGCAUAGUUCAAACACAUUUCACAUGCAUAAUCAACACACUUUAUUUCACAAACUCAAAUAAAGCUAUAAAAACUUGGGUUGCCUCCCGAGAAGCUACUUAGUUAACGUCGUGGCAUGACGCAAGUAUACACUUAAGCUUAUUUUUUGGGUGUACCAUAGUGCCACUUUGAUCAAGUAUCUUAAUAGAUAUAGAAUAAGAAACAGUCAUUAUUUAUCAUUAAGACAUUCUCUUUUAUAUCUUUUAACACUCUGUCGUGUUCUUCAACUUUGUGGAGAAUGAGUGAGAGUAUCUUUUCUAUCUGUCCAUCCUCAUAGUCCUUGGGCUUCUUACGCUCUUGAGGGGAAUGUACCUAUUUUUUUGUAAAGUACUUCAAAUUCCAUGAUCUUUUUGGCCAAGGAAUCCAAUUGGUCAACCAUUUGGCCAUAUUCUAGUUCCUGUCUUACUCUUUGUUAGUCAUACUCAUGCGAUCGAGGAGCUGGGAUGCUAUUGCAUAGAGUUGGUGUAUCAAACCACAGGAAAAAAAAGUUAAUCAACCACUCCUCUGUUCUCAGUACCAUGACCUCUAUAGAAAUAGUCCAAUAGAAUCUUAUGUGGUAUUCAAUGAGAUGGGCACUCAAGCAAUAGUGUCUUAAAUCUCAAUCACAACUCAUGGAUUGUCUCAACCUCUGAGUGUUGGAAAUAUAGGAUGUUAUCUUUGAGAAUCAUGAUCUUUGACGGAUGAUGGUUCACUUGGUUACCGUUUCUACCAUUAGCACUCAUUUUCUUUGUUUUAAUCAACAACACAAAAGCCAAAACAAAAAUUAAGUAGAUUCAACUAUGACUAAAAGAACAAAAUUCAACUUCACCAAAAUAAUUUCAAACACCACUCCCCAGCAGCGGCAUCAUUUUGUAAUAAAGGUAAAAAGACACUUCAUCUAAUUAUAAGCUCAACGAUCACAAAUCAAUAUAAAUCUAACUAAAUGGGUCAGGGUCAAAUCCCACAUGGAGCAGUACGUAUUUCAUAUCCAAUGGGGAAGUCUGAACAUGUUUAAAUUAGUCAUAGGAAUAAAAGUUAUCGAAUAAAGACAUUAUUCAAAUUAAGGGGUGACAUGAAUGUCAAAUGAGGGCUUUUUGUUUUAAUUAUCAUUUAAAAGCAGUCACAAACAAUACAAAUUUACUAAUGAGACGGGUUCUUGAGAUGUGAUCGAUUAGGCUAAAAUAGACAAACAGGUAAUUCCAACUAUUAGUAAAUAGCUAGGUAUUUAAUGAGUAGGCUACGUUAUAGUGCAGGUAAACUUUCUCAUGAAAACUUUACACUAAAUUAAGUGAUUUCUCUCCAACAUCAUCAAGCAUGCAACAUAAGAGCAGCUCACACCUUAAUCCAUUCAAUCUCUCGAGCUGAUUGUGUGAGAUUGGGCUUAGGAUUCACCCUCUCGAGCUGAACCCAGGUCAACCCAAUACCCAUAAACCAUCAAUCAGUAAUUUUAGUUCUAAAACCUCUCUUGAGCAAGCCAAGAGAACAAGCCUAGAACUGCAUUUGCAACUACAAUUCUUAAAUUAAAACAGAAUCAUUAAUUAAACUCACUUCUAAAUAGUUUUUGAACUAACAAUAAUCAAUACCGAUAAACUAAAUCAUCCCAUAAUCACAUAACCAUACCCCAAGAAUUAGUUUUAGCUAGACAUCAUAAAAAGAUUUAAAAAAUAUUACCAAAUUGAUUAUUCAUCAACUGGGUAAGUGUAGAUUCAUUUACAAUGCUCUAAAUCGAAGAACCUCAAAGAUCCACAAUAUCUCAACAGUGAAAUUUUUUAAUUUUUCAAAGAUAAACAAAAAACUAGAGAAACUAUCUCUAGAUGCUAAAAACUUGAUAAGAGAAGCAAAGAUUAAGAAAUUUCCACCAAAGAUAUUAAACUAAAUGUUCAAAAAUGUAUUUAUAGUCGUCAAAAAUGUGCUGCAAAAAGUCAUUUGGUGAAGUAAGUCGGGCUUGCCAAACCACUCGAUGAGCCGCCCUUUGGUCUAUUUCAUCGCCCUUUUACCUUUGGUACUGAACAUCCUUCAAGUCUGUAACUUGGGCCGAUCUAUCUUGGCUUCACAAAAUCAUUUGGCGAUCCACCGAAUGCUCCUUUACAUCACCAACUUGGUUCUUUCCUUCAUGCCUUGGCACACUGGAACUUUAGGCAGUCAGAUGUGUCACUCGAUAACAUGCCGAGUAUUCUUGGCAAUCCUCGCGUUCGCCCAUAUUUAUUUCAAAAUAAGUAUUUAAGGACAAUAAAUCUAUAUAAGCUAAACCCUAAAUGAUUAACAAUCUCGACUCAUCACGGAGUUUAGGUUGCUAUCCAAUUGUUGGCUCCAACCUUGACGACACAAGGCAAUAGAGAGGUUGUAACUCUUGUGAACCCAAUAAAGGGGAUGUCUACUUCUAAAGUGAGGGAGUUUUUGAGAAUAUACCCUCCGGAGUUUUAUGGCUCCAAGGUGGAGUCUCAAGACUUUUUAUAAUAGGUAUCUAAGGUGUUAUACUUUAUGAGGGUGACUCAAAGGGGUGGCACAAAUAUGGUAUGAUCAAUGGAAAGAGACUAGACCGGUACAAUUGGGCCCUAUAGAGUGGGAAGGAUUCAAGAGUGCUUUUCUAGAUAGGUUCUUCCAUUUAUAGAUGAGAGAAGCUUUAGUUCUUAAGUUCUUCAACCUUAUACAAGGGAGAUAUAAGUGUUAAGGAAUAUGUAUGGAGUUUCACCCAGUUGUGUACGUAUGUUCCAAUUCUAGUGUCCGAUCCCAAAUCGAAAAUGAGUAAGUUUGUGUUGGGAUUGUCCGAUUUAGUGGUAAAAAAUAUCGUAUAGACAUGUUUGAGCAUGAUAUAAAUAUAUCUUGUCUUAUAGUUUAUGUCUAUUAAAUUUAGCAAAAGAAACUUGAAGAAAGGUUGAGAGAGAAAAAGAUAAUUAGGAUUGAUGAUGAUAGCUCUACUCUUGGAAGGUUCUCCGAACAAGGUCCUUAUAGUUCCCUCCCCCUUCCCCCCCCCCCCCUCCCUCCAAGAUGUAGUGAAGAGAGGGUGUCUAACCCCAAGCCUCGUAGAAGGAGAGGUAGUAAAUCAUUGUUGACAAUACCUACUUGUGCUAGGUGUGUAAAGAGACAUGAGGAUAGAUGUUUAGGGGGUACGGAGGGUUGUUAUGGUUGUGGUGAUAAUGGCUACAAGAUGAGAUAUUGUCCGGUACUUAGGGCUAGGGGAAGAGAGAGGAAUCAACUAGAGUCCUAUUUUCUCCAAGCCAAAAAUGAUCAAGUGUGACCUCCUUAUGUGACUAUCGACAUGUAUUUUAAACCUUAUCUACAUUCCAGUGUUUCUUGUCUUUUAUGACUUGAUAGAUUUGAUAUGAUAGACUUUGAAGUUGUCCUUAGUAUGAAUGAUAUUUAGAAGAAUAUGUAUAGGUUUACUCCCAAGGGGAGAUGGUGUGUCUAUCUAGCAAGGUUAUUGUGUGUUUAUGUGUUUCCAUGAUUUCCUUAUAUACAUGUUCAUGAAAAAGUUUAGGUCUUUAUAUUAAUAACUUAUAUGCAUUGUUUUUCCUCAUGUUUUAAUGUAUUUGAGUAGCGUUGCAUAUAGACUUUAUGAGAUGAAUUGAUGAGCAUGCCUUAGUUUUUAGUCGAAAGAUUCCUCCUUGAAUAAAUGCUUUUUGAGUGUAAAUUGCAUUUAGGCUCAUGAGUGUAUGUUGAACAUGUUUUAGUAAGGAGAUUGUAGUUCCUCCUUGAAAAUGAGUAAAUAUAGAUUUCAUGCAUUUUGGUUGUUAGAUGUAGUUCCUACUCCCUUGUGUUGCAUUGAAUAUGUUUAGUUUGGAAUUGACGUUUUCCUACUUUGUUCAUGUGCAUUUAGAUGUGUUGCAUGCAUGAUGGGCUGCUAGUCUAGGGUCAUCCCUACUUUGUUCAUGUGCAUUUAGAUGUGUUGCAUGCAUGAUAGGAUGCUAGUCUAUGGUCAUUCCUACUUUUUUCAUGAGCAUUUAGAUGUGUUGCAUGCAUGAUGGGAUGCUAAUCUAGGGUUGUGUCUUUAAAGUUUUUAGAGUCGUCAUUUGAGCACGAAUGAUUCCAAGGAGGACAUAUUUGUAACACCCGCAAACUAGUAGACUAAACUAGAGCCUUAAGUUAGGGUUCUAGAGUUUGAUGUGAGUGUUAAAGUCGUAGAUAAGACCUCCUGUACUUAGAAUGAAGGGUUUAGGGGUCUAACGUCAAAGUACAACUCCCAAGGACCAACCAAGGGUCCUUGAGGAGGACCCUAAGUCAAACCCCCAAGUUGUCCAAAAAUAGCCUACCACGAGGGGCAUCCACAGAUCUUGGAUGGUUCCACGCCCCGUGGGAAGGGGUCGUGGGUCAAGGCCCCAGCUUGCCCUAUUUUUUUAGCCUCAUACCCCACUCACGAAAGACCAGUAUGGUCUGUGGGUCUAUCCAAACUUCAUAAGGGGGAUCAUGGAUGGGGUGUUGCAUGAUGUCCGGUUUCAGCCAAAGGAAGGGUAGUUAGUAUUAAGUGAGGUCGUUUUGUAUAUUUAUUAUAUUCACCUAUAUAAGUACUUUUAAGACAUUGAACAACUCUUUUACACUUCAUAAAUUCCAAACCUAAAAUCAUAACAAACUUUUCUCCAAAUAUUUCUCUCUAAAACUCCAUAGAAGAAAAAGAAGAUGAAGUCUAAUUUACAAACCAAAUAAAAUAGUAUAGCCAAUUUUGUAAUUGUAUGCAUAAUAUAUAAGGUUAAUUUAUAUACUCUUCAUAUUAAUAACAUGUAAUCUUAAUAAUAGAAUAUAAAUUUUAUUCGGAGUAAUCAAUUACUUCUUCUUCUUUUUUUACCUAUUUUUACUAUGUUGUACAAAUUAUUAGUAUUUUAUCUAAUAAUUUAAUAAAUAAAACUUGUUCAAAAGUAUUUUCUACGAAAAUAUAAAAAAAAAUGUGCAUGAUAUAAUGUUUGUGCGCGUAAUCAAACUUUAGUUUAUUCUCAUUUUUAAGUAUGAGAAUUGUAUAUAGUAUAAUAAUACAUAAAUUUAAAUUUAAGGAAAUUGACUUCCCCUUCAAAAUUAAGAAAAAUCUUUUUCAAAACUCUACUUCAUCCUUUAAAUUUUUUUCCUACCCUACCCACCCGUAUCCGAUCCUCCCCAUUCAAAAACAGAUGAAUUAAAUUUUUCUUAUUUUUAAAAUUUCAAAUCUAUUUUUAUCUCUAUUACUAGCAAAACAGCCCCCCUCCCCUCCCUCCCCUCCCCCCCCCCCCCCAAAAAAAAAUUAUUUUUGAAAAAUAUUUCAAAUUUUAAGGUUUUUUUAGGCGGCUAACUUGCAUCAUUUCAUAUCAAACCGAUUUGAAGGUAGUAUAUAUUUAUGUUAGCACUAACUAAUCAUAUUCUAUGCAGAAAAGUUAAUAAUUGAAUAAAUUUUAUCCUUUUAUCCCAAAGUAAUUAUAAAAAUUUAGUCUCCAGAGAGAGAGAAAAAAUCAGUAAAAUCAUAUUGGAAAAUUUGAUAAACAUAAUGAAAUAUUCUUAUGUGCAAUCAAAAAUUUAAUUAUUCUUAUUUUUAAGAAUGAGUUAUAUACGGUUCACUUAAACAAUAUUUAAAACUAGACAAACAAAUUUAAAUAGAGAAAAUUCUAUUAUACUCAUAAAAUUUGAAGACUUAAAUUAAAAUCUUUUUUUAUCAAAACCUCAAAAAUAACUAAGCUCAUAUUUAAAGGAACAACUUCGUCAAUAGAAAAACUAUAUAGAGAUUAACAUUAUAGAUAAUAUUAGAAGAAUUAAACUCUAAUUUAAAAAGUGAUGCAUAAGUUAGUAAUGCAACAAUACUUAAAUUUUUUCUUAACUUACCUGAUUUACGAGAGAAAAAAUCAAAUGUACCUUAAAAUUAAGAAUGAUUUUUAUACACUUCCAUCAAAUUUAGUCAUAUAAGAUUUUUGAGAAGAAAGAGCGGAAGUAUUUACUAUAUAUAUAAUUUAUUUUAGAUAAAAAUAAAAUAAAUUAUUUAACCAAAAUUACUUUAAAUAAUCAAAGUUAAUGAUAACAAUCAAAGUUAAUAAUUAUAUAUAUAUAUAUAUAUAUAUAUAUAUAUAUAUAUAUAUAUAUAUAUAUAUAUAUCUUAAAUUAAGAAUGAUUGUUAUACACUUCCAUCAAAUUUAGUCACAUAAGAUUUUUGAGAAGAAAGAGUGAAAGUAUUUACUAUAUAUAAAAUUUAUUUUAGAUAAAAAUAAAAUAAAUUAUUUAACCAAAAUUACUUAAAAUAAUCAAAGUUAAUAAUAAUAAUCAAAGUUAAUAAUAAUAAUAAUAUAUAUAUAUAUAUAUAUAUAUAUUCAUGUAUCAUUACCCUAAUGACAUAACAAAAUAAAAGCUUUCCUAUCCCGCAUGAUAAAGCACAAAGAAAAGAAAGAUAAAGAAUCGAAAAAAUAUAGAAUUGAACAUUCGUAAAUGCAUAUUUUGUGCAUACGACUCUAAAAGAAAAUAACCCCCCACCCCCGCCCCACUCUCCUUUCUAUUGAAGAAAAGGAAAAAUAGAAUCUAUCAGACUCGCAUGGAUAAAUAAUGCAAUUUUCAUCCUUUCUUUUGGAGGAGUUCAAAAAUAUUAUGAUGGCUCCAUUGCUUUGUAUGUUUUUUGUGUAUGUGUGAUUCAGCAAUCCCAAUAUACACUUUUGAACAAAGUUUAUUUAAUAUAUAUUAGAUAACAUACUAAAAAUUUAUACAAUAUUGUAAAAAUAUGCUUUUAAAAAAGUAAUCGAUUACUUCGAAUAAAAUUUAUGUUCUAUUAUUAAGAUUAUAUGUUAUUAAUACGAAGAUAAUAUAAAUUAACCUUAUAUAUUCUGAAUACAAUUAUAAAAUUGAUUAUACUAUUUUAUUUUAUUAGUAGAGUUAUUUUUUUCUUUUCACUUUGGAAGAAUGGAUUGAAGUACGUAGUUGAGUCCACUUCAUGCUUAAAUCAAUUCCAACAAAAGAUUAAGGAACAAUGAAAAAGGCUUCAAUACCUAGCACGUGAGGAGGCCCCACACUUACACGUGAAACAUACAAACAAAUUAACACUAAUUAACAUUGUCAUCAUUUUGUCAAAUUAGAAAAAAGCAUAGUCUUGAAUAGGAUAAUUAGAAAUUAUCAAUAUUUCCACUAUUAUGCCAAGAAGGUAUGUUGACAGAGAGGAGUAUGCUUUGAGCAAAAUCCCUCUUAUAUAAUAGUAGAAUAUUAAGAGGUCUAAACUAGUUGGUCUGGUUGCUUGAAAUUCGUUAAAUGAAUAAUAACUAGGAUUAGUCAUAAUCUAGUUAUGACAUCUGCAAAAGGAAAAAAACCAAUAAUUUCACAAAUAUGAGGUCACGAUUAAAAAGAAAUUGUGACCGACGCUAAGAGGAAAGAAUCCCAAAAGCAAGUAUUAACAUAAUUUACAGAAAAUUGUGAAGAGUUUCCUUUAUUUUUAAACAUAUUCAGUUAUUCCUUGUCUUAGAAAUCAGCAAUACAACUAAAAAUUUUGCUAACGCAUGACCCAAUAUUUAAUAACAAUUCAAUCGCCACACAAUUAUUUCAAUUCUUCUCCAAUUACAAAAAAAAAAGAAGUAUAAAACUAAUCACUUGAAUACAAUAGGAAGAAAUAAUCAUGACUCUGAUAACAAAUUGAAUAGUCUAAAAGUUUUAAAAAAUAUAUAUAGCAAUUCGAUAAAUCUCUUGCCACGCAAAGCAAUGUGGGGCUCACCAGAUGCUACCAAAUCGCAAAGCAAUGUGGGGCUCACCAGAUGCUACCAAAUCACACCCUCUGUAUAAACAUUUAUCAAGGAGUGAAACACUGGCUCAGUGAAUAAUAAUACUUAGGGCCCGUUUGGAUGAGCUUAAUAAAAGCAGCUUUAAAAAAGUACUUUUGAAAGUACUGAAACUUAUUUUUAAAAUAAGCAGUUAUGCGUUUGGAUAAAAGUGCUGAAGUUGUUGUGCCAAACAUGAAAAGAGGAAAAUGGAAGAAAGAGAUGUUAGGGUUAUAUGGGUAAUUUUGAGAUUGUAUAAAAAUAUUAAGGGCAAAAAGAUAAAAAUGUGGUCAACUUAAAACAGCUUAUAAGCUAAAAAAAAAAAAGCACCCCUACCCCCAGCUUUUAACUUUUGGCUUAAAAUAAGUUUUUUUUUAACUUAAAAUAAGUUAUUUUGAGUAUUGCCAAACAGUUAAAUAAGUCAAAAAUCAGCUUUUAAGUCAGUUUAACCAGCUUUUAAGCUGAGCCAAACAGGCUGUUAACCACUGUCGUUUUAAUAAGGGACAAGUCAGAAAAUAUAUUAGUAUGAUAAUCAAAAUUUUGAAAUAAAUUGCCUUUCAUAAACAAUACAAUAUUCAAAUCUUAUUUGCCUCAUGUAAGUAAUAUUUAUAUAAAUACUUAGUAGUAAAAUGAGAAAAGCACUUUCAUAUCAAAUCUUAUAUUUUGGGAGGUUUCUAUGUAAUUAGUGUGGUCUUCUUUAAGAAGUAACCAAUACAGUGAACCCCUCAUAAAAUUGUUAAAUAUCCAUAUUGGUAGAUCCCUACUCAAGGUAUAUCAGUAACGAUAUGCUAGUUCUACCUUUCCACUUGCAAGGGCUAUAUCGGUAAUCUGUAACUACAAGAUAUACAUUUCUAACGAACCUGUCAUUAUCUGCCUGAUUCAUCAAGGUCUACUUCCAAUUACACUUUUCUUUGCAAUUAGUAGAAACAUUUCAAAUUGUUAUUAGGCAAGUGCUUGUCAAAUCAUAGUAUAUAAAACUUACACUGAAAUCAUGUCAAAAUAUUUUUUUCAUAAUUUUUUUUACCCUUUACAACAUAUUAUUUAAUCACACUCAAACUUUCUACCCAUCAACUACUUUCGUUUCUUUGUCUCCUUCCAGGUUUGGUUGUUUCUUCUUCCUCUUUCUUCUUCUUGGAAUGACAUUGAAAUCUACCAUGUUUAACUCAACAAAGUCAAUCAUGCUCUUGUGAUUGACGAAAAUGGUACAAUCACGAUAAAUACUCUCUGCUAGAACAGAUUCACCAAUAGGUGAAGAAACACUAAAGGGCUCAAGAAGUUGCUCAGGAAGAAUAUUAAAAUUCAUGAAAUAUAAGGAGUCACAAAAGAUAGACCCGCUCCUGAAUUUAACAAAGCAUAAACAUCAAAAGUAAAGACUUUGAUCAUACUAGUGACAUGUGGAGAAUUCUCUUGCUCUUGGCGACUAGUGAUAGCAUAAAGACGAUUCUCUCUUCUGCUUUUCCUUAAAUAGCUCAUCUAGGUACAACUCUGUCUGGUGGAGCAACUAAAGAAGAUUCGACUCCAUUGCCCAUAUUCUCAUUGCUCUGGCUGUUCUUAAGACACUCUUUCAUGGAGUGACCUUUUUUACCACACUUGAAACAUCCAGUGGAGCCAUUGUGACAUGCUUUUGGGUGGUUCCUAAUAUAGUUAACAUUUGUAGGAGUUCAAUUUCCUCUUUGUCCCACACUACCUUGGAAUUGAGCAGGUCUAGAUAUGAAAUUUUAUGAAUUUUGAUCAUUAAACUCAUCUUUGUUCCUUGGUGCAGGUGCACUAGUUGAUGACGGAUCGAGUCCAUUAUAUUUCUAUUGGAAAUGAUGUAAAAAUGUUUUUGAGGGGUAAUUGGAUCUUUAAUCACGCUGAUACAUAUACUGGAUCCAUUUGCAUUACUAAUACCUAGAAAUUCAUUGUAUUGAUAAUACACUCCUCAAUGCACAAUCACGUAGUUAAUGCAUGUAUUAAUUUUGCUAAUGCACUCAAAAAACAAUCCCUUAGUGUAGAUGUCCACGAUUAUAAUAUUUAACUCUCAUACCUCCAUAGCCUCCCUCAUGAUCUUCUUCCAUAGCUUUGAUGAUUAAUGUCAUACUUAGGACAACUUUUUUCAUGGUUCUAUGUAACACUACAAAUGGUAGCAUAAAUGAUGAAGGUCAAAUACAUAAGCAGAUCCCUAAACUUAUUGGGUUUUUUCCCUCAGGUACUUCAACUACGUCAUUUUUCUAUUGAAUCAUUGAAUCCCCAUAAUUUGUUCUGUUUAAAUAAACAUAGUUGUCUGAUGUGGAACGAGAUUUAUGAGGGGUAUUAAUAGAGGAUACAUAUGUUGUUCCACAACUCAUUAGUCCAAUUGACACUGAAAAUGUUCGAGAAUAAUUGUGUUUUGCUUAAGUCAUUUGAACACAUUAGAAUACAAAUGAGACUAACACGGUUUGUCUUCAUUCCUUCAAUCAAAAUUAUUACAAUUCAAACACAGUUGAAGACAUUUAAAAUAGAAAAGCCAAUCAAAAUCAAUCAAUAAUGUUUUAAAGGAACAAAUUAUGGGUGGUUCAAUGAUUCAACAGAAAAAUGACAUAGUUGAGCUACCCGAGGAAAAAAAACCAAGUUUAGAGAUCUGUUUAUAUAUUUGGCCAAUAAUGAACAUACUUAUUGGAAAAAUAACAAAGCUCUCCCAUUUUGAUCUCUUAUUUCUUGUCUAUUUUUUUGCUCCAUAUUAUUACUAUUUUAGCUUAAUCUUGCUACAUAUUUAUAUUAGAAAAAUACAUUUAAACAACUAAAUAUUAUUUGGAAAAUUAUAUGUAAACACAACUCGAUUUUCGAAUCCAGUUCCGAAACAAUUUUGUUUGGCAAAAAAGAAGAACGUAAAUGGGAAAGCACUUCAAUACCGAGAAUGAAACAAAGCUCCAAUUAAACUAAAAAUAUAAACUACCAUAACCUCCUGUCUUUCCACUUGAGCCAUGUGAGUCUCCCAUGGCUUCUCCAUUUGCUUGUAAACAUUCCAUUACCUCCCCACUUCACUUCUCUCCAUAAUCUCCCCUCUCUCUCCGUGUUGUAUAAUUGUCUCCCCGUUCGAUCCGACAAUGCCCGACACAAAUGGAGCUCCAAAUUCCAAAACCAAUCCAAGCCCUAACAUGCCGGAGAGACCUCCGUUGCUCAAGAAAUCCAAAAUCAAUGCCGACAACACACUCGCCGGACAACUUUUCCCCGCUGUUCUUCGUGUCUCUUCUACUUCACCAUCCUACUCUGAAUCUCAUACCACUUCCGCGACUAAUGAUGCAAAUUUUGGAUUUGGCGAUCGUGACUACGUUUACCCCUCUUUUCUUGGACCGCAUACUACUAGGAGUAGAGUUAACGUCAAGUCAACUUCGAAAUCACAGAGGAAUCAGCUCGAAUUACCAGCUCGUAGCGAGUCUAUGCCUUCCAAUUUGAGUUGUGAAGCUAAGGUGGAGUCAAAGAUGAAGCUCAAGCCCAAGCUGAAAGCUGAGAAAGAUUUGAAUGCUUUGUCAAUUCAAGUCUCAACUUCAGCUUCUUCGGCUUUGUCAGGGUCCAGUUCAGCUAACAUCUCCAAUGCGCGAAGACCUUCUGCUCAUAGAUAUUCGUGGAUUCUCUUUUUGGUUGGUGUCUUUAUGCUUUUCCAAUUCUGAUUCGCGUUUCUAUCUCUGUUCGAUUUGAAAACCAAAAAGACAUGCAGAAAAUGUGAAAUUUGCAAUUGAUUGCUUUUGGGUAAAAUUUUCAGGGAGCUAAUAAAAUGUUACAUAGUGGUACAAUACUCUCUCCGUCCCCUUUUUAUACCCAUGUGUUUGACUGGAUACAGAUUUUGAAAUGUUAAUUUUGAGUUCUAUAUGUUAUGUUAGCCAUGCCGGAAAAACAAUUAGAGUAAUUGUUGACAAGUUGGUUUGGUAAAGAUUACCUCGAGGUUUAAAAUUUGAAUAGUUUAAAGUAUUUGAAUUUUUAAAGUAUGAAAUUUAUAGAAAUGAAUGAUGUCAAACAUUUUGAGACUUCCCAAAGAGGAAAGAAUGUUAUAUAAAUUGGACAGUGAGAGUACAUAGUAGGAUAGUACUAUGUUUUACUUUUUUGGUGAAUGGGAAUUUGUUGCCCAUCCAAUCUCUCUCUCUCUCCUUUUUUUUGGAUAAUAUCCAAUCUCUGUUUCUUAUAAACCCUUCUGAUCUCGAUGCAUUGGUUUUUCGGUUCUUCCUGAUAUGUUGAUCAAUUAUUUACUUUUAUUGCAGCUUAAGUUUCUUUGUACAUUAUCUGUAUCCCACACAUUAUAUUUGCGGAAUGAAGUCUCUAAACUUCAGGUAUGCUCUCUAUGAACACUGUUCAAAUCGGGAAUUCUUUUCACUCUAGUCUUUGUCUACAUAUAGUUUUCAGUUGCUGCUUUUUAAAAGAAAAGCCGAAUACUAUGUUGCCCCAAAAAAGUAAAAUAAGAAGAACCACUGCUUAUUGGAAGAAACAGGCAUAUUAAACGCUCAACUUGUACUCAAAUUUUGAUCUCUGUUGUAACUAAAUAGUUGGUUCUCAAUACAUUAGUUGAAGGUGAGGAUUGAUUUAUUUGCAGGAGGAGAAUAGUAGUCUUCGUAGAGCUUGUAGCCAUGUUGAUCUUGCCAGCGCUGGUAUCAUGGAGCUUGAAGAAGUUAAUUCAUUUGUGUAUUUUGGUAAUGCCGACAGCAGAACAGUUGCUCUGUACAUGGUGGUGUUUAUCCUCGUUAUUCCUUUUGCAUUGUACAGAUAUCUUGACUAUCUUCCGAGAAUAAUUGAUCUCUUGAAGAGGAAAUAUACCAUAAAGGAGGAGGUUCCACUGAAGAAAAGGAUUGCAUAUGUGGUGGAUGUGUGUUUCUCAGUUUACCCUUAUGCAAAGCUUCUUGCACUUCUUUUUUCCACUCUCUUUCUAAUUGUAUAUGGAGGAUUGGCACUUUAUGCUGUUGGUGAUGGCAGCUUUAUUGAAGCUAUUUGGCUUUCUUGGAGCUUUGUAGCAGACUCUGGAAACCAUGCUGAUAUGGUUGGUGCAGGGCCAAGGAUAGUUUCAGUUCUGAUAAGCUCUGGAGGCAUGCUCAUAUUUGCUAUGAUGCUGGGGCUUGUUUCAGAUGCUAUUUCAGAAAAAGUGGAUUCUUUAAGGAAAGGAAAGAGUGAGGUGAUUGAAAGUAAUCACAUUCUUGUUCUUGGAUGGAGUGAUAAAUUGGUAAGUCUAUCGAUAUUGCUUAAAAUGUUUCGACUUUUUGACGUAUUAUCUGAAUUUUGCUAUAUAUUUGGGCAGAAAAAGUAGAUUUGGAUGGACAUACGUUAGAUAUGGGGUGUGGAUAAUCUAUAAUCCAUUCGAUCAAUAUGAUCCAUAAGAAAGUUUAGUCCAGAUCCACCUACAGUCCAUUUGAUCCAAACAUAUUGGACAGUAAUGAAUCGUUGGAUUUAAAUAUAGACAGCCACAGAUUGACCUACAUGGCUGUGCAACAAGGUUGUACUGUUGGACUUGAAUCUUCCCUUGACUUGUCAAUAAUAUAAUCUAAGUUGUUAGUGAGAGUUAUUCUUCAUUGAUGAUAAUUUGAUUCCAGGAAUUUAGGGCACUUUCAGCUGCUAACAGAGCUUUCUGUUUUCUGUCUGCUUGAUUCUUUUCCUACAUGACAAGUAGAAUGAAAUACUUGAGUAAUGGUGAUUUUGGCUAGGUAAAUAGGCUUGAUAUAGGUUUGACUUAUAAAAUUAUUCUACUUUAUAUUAAAAAGGCUUGAUAUAGUUUUGGUUCGUUAUUAUUAAUUGUUCAAGAGAUGAAGAGAGGAAAUAAAAUAGCAUAACUACUCUAUAUAGGAAAGAGCAAUUUUCAAAUUUUCAUUACCUUCUCAAUUAUCCAGUAGAGUGGAAAUCUGCAAAUUGUUUUCAAUAGGCAUUGCAAGUAAGAUAGUACCAUUGGUUCUUGAGAGAUCUUGUUGGAGAAAAACAAAGACAGACAUACUUCUAGAAUAGCUUUCAGGUCAUACUGUUUGUUUCUGUUAGCUGCAAACAUCACUUGGCAGUCUUCGCUCGAUGGAAGGAAUUAUCUGAUUUUUUCAUGGCUUUUGAGACUGGUUAUGACAUGUAGGAGUAAAAGUAUUUUCUUAUUACAGGGGUCACUUUUGAAGCAGUUAGCGAUAGCAAACAAGAGCAUUGGUGGUGGUGUUGUCGUUGUUCUUGCGGAAAGAGACAAGGAGGAGAUGGAGCUGGACAUAGCAAAGUUAGAAUUUGAUUUCAUGGGAACUUCAGUUAUCUGCAGAAGUGGCAGUCCACUGAUACUUGCUGAUCUAAAAAAGGUGUGACUUGUGAGUGUAUCUUUUUUCUUUCCCUUGUUGACCUUGAUUCUCCGUCUUAUCCUUUAGUCAGUUUUCCUUUCGUCAUUAUCCUAAUAUUCUAAUUUAUUCUGUGAAGUAAAAGUAACUAUUAUCUUUGGAUUCAACUUGAUCUUAUACGCUUCUUGAAUUCUCUUUACCCUGCCUUAUUCUUUUUUAUCAUAGUUUUUUCUUUUCGUUUUUGUUCUUCUAUGACGCAUGCAGGUAUCAGUCUCUAAAGCACGUGCAAUCAUUGUCUUAGCAUCUGAUGAGAAUGCUGAUCAGGUGCUUUUUUCACAAAUGAAUCUUCAAUCUCUGAACAACCAGAUAAUUCCACUAAUUAUUCUAAUGUUUUUCUUCUUAUUAGAGUGAUGCGCGUGCUCUAAGGGUUGUACUUAGCCUAACUGGAGUAAGAGAGGGGUUGAGAGGUCAUGUUGUUGUGGAGAUGAGUGAUCUUGACAACGAACCGUUAGUGAAACUUGUUGGUGGUGAACUUAUUGAAACAGUUGUUGCGCAUGAUGUGAUUGGGAGGUUGAUGAUACAAUGUGCUUUGCAGCCUGGCCUUGCUCAGGUAAGUUAUACAUAGUUCUGUUGCAUUAUUUUUUCAUUUGUCUUUCUCUUCCUUGUUUUGGCAGCUUUUUACUACUUAUGUUGUCGUCUGGACAUAAUGUGGUCCAUCUGGUUCCUCUUAUAUCUAUUGGCUAUAAUCAUUAGUUUUAAAUUCAAUGAGUGCGUUUAUCAAGAGACUGUAUACUUGUGCCUUACAUGUCCGGAAAACCUUGCAAGUUUGGACCAGAAAAAUUAUCUUCCUUUUGAGUUCCUUCUUGAUGAUAUAACAACAAACAAUGCCUUUCAAACUACUUCCGGUCUCUUGUAAUCCUCAAUACCCAUUUUGCUCCUUUUAAUACCUGUUCAACUCCAAUACAACUUCAGUGUUAUGAAAAUUCAUAAGUUAGCUUGUUUAUUGCUGGCCUUCAACCUUCCGUAACCCUCUUUGGACCAGCAUCCAGCCAUGUAUGCUCAUAGUGGCGAAGUUGACGUCCUUUUUAAUCUUUACCUAUAUUUACCCAAAAAAUGUGUGGAGAGAAUUUCAAGAUUGAUUUUGAUGUGAACAUUUUGAUCCAUUACAUGUGAUCAUAAUCUCAUAGAUAAACAAUUCUGUUGCUAUUUAAUACUGCUCUGCAGUUGAUACUCCUGAAACUGAUGCACAAUCUGUUUUGGACUGAAGAUCCAGUAUAAGGUUAAGACUCAUCUUUCCUUGAGGGAUUUAUUUGGGCACAUGCUUUCCCAAGCUGUAUUGAAUGAUAAUCUGAUCUUAGUUGAUACACAAGAUUCAGAUGGAAUAUAAAAUGAAAGGCAAUUUUAACCAUUUACCAAAUUGUACUUGAAACCAUAAUGAUACCCACAUGAUGGAUGAGCGAACUCAUUGUAGACAACAAUAAUAUCGAGGUACCUACUGAUUGAAUAUCGAAAUAGUAUGGAUUACAAUAAUAUCGAGGUACCUACUGAUUGAAUGUCGAAAUAGUAUAGAUUUCUCAAUUUGUGCUUGAUCCUGUUUUUGGUAGCUGUCAGUUUCUGGGUAGUAGUAAUAUCUAUUUUCUUGUUAAUACCCUGUCUGGUCCAAUAUGACAGAUUUGGGAAGACAUUUUGGGGUUUGAAAAUGCAGAAUUUUAUAUCAAACGGUGGCCUCAACUGGAUGGUGUACCCUUUGAAGAUGUACUGGUAUCAUUUCCGGAGGCUAUUCCUUGCGGUGUUAAGGUUGCUGCUUAUGGGGGCAAGAUUAUCAUAAAUCCUGAUGAUAGAUAUGUUCUAAAAGAAGGUGAUGAAGUCCUUGUUAUAGCUGAGGAUGAUGAUACCUAUGCGCCAGGUCUCUUACCAGAGGUCAAUUUUCUUCUCUGUAUUGGUUUUAUUUUUGCUAGUAUUGGUUUUUUUUCUGUUAAGGUAUUUUUACUAGUGUAGGUUAUUGUAGCUUUUAGCAUCAAAUUAGGGUGCUCUCCAGUAUUCUAUUUCCUUUUUUGAACUUAAGGCAUUUAUCUUGUGUGAGAAAGAGAAUGGUAAAACAUUAGUUCUAUUCUCCGUCACUGGCAGGCAAUAUAGUUGAUAGUUCUUCGAAAUAAUCAAACAAAGACAGAAAUUGAGUCUGAGUCGUGUAUCACCAUUACUUGUAUAUUUGAAUUUUGUGAAUCUACUUCCAUAGGUCAAUAUUUCUGAUCCUUGUCUGGUGAUAUUUCAACUAAUGCAUGGUGGAUAUUGCCUCAGUUUCUGUAUUUGCUUAAAUAGUGGCUUGCUUAUUGCAGGUAAAUAAAGGCCUAUUCCCUAGGAUAACUGAUCCUCCAAAAUAUCCAGAAAGAAUCUUAUUCUGUGGCUGGAGACGUGAUAUUGAUGAUAUGAUUAUGGUACUGUACAUCUGUAUCACCUAUUUCUCCUUUCAAUCUGUGUGUGUUUGCAUGUCUGUGUCUGAAUAUGUGACUAAUAAAGAAACCACCCCAGCUCCCUGCCCUGCCUGAGACCAUGCCUGAGAACCUGUGUUGUUUAAGCGUGCUUAAGCCCUGAACCGAUGCUCAAAAUGUGUUGAGAGCUUCACCUUGCUUAAGAUGUGCUUCAACAGCUUCAGUGUCAUCCUCUUCUCGAUAAUUUAACUAGCUCUAUGGAGUUCCCUGUUAACGACCCUAUGUUCCUAGAUCACAUUCUUAGCCUUGAAGCUCAUAUAACCCACUUCCCACCACUGCACCUGCCUGAGACCACGCCCGAGAAGCACUAUUAUUUAAGCGUACUUAAGCUCUGAAGCGAGUCUCAAAUGUGUUGAGCGCUUCACCUUGCUUAAUAUAUGCUUCAGUGUUGUCCUCUUGUUGAUAAUCUUCAGUAGCUCUAUGGAUUUUCCAGUUAACGACCUUAUGUUCCAAGAUCCCACUCUUAGCGUUCCAGCUUCCAUAACCCACUUACCACCCCUGCUCCUAGCUCCUGCCUGAGACCACGCCCCGAGAACCAGUGUUAUUUAAUCGUGCUUGAGCCCUAAAGCAAGGGUCAAAAUGUGUAGAGCGCUUGCCUUGCUUAAUAUGUGUUUUCCAUGGUGUCAUUCCAAGGCAUACUUCUACUUGCCAAUGAGUCUCUUCUGAAGAGCCUACACUAAACAAUAUAUUUGUUCAUAUAUUUGUCUUUCAUGCUUAUAAUUACUAGUCUCUUCCUUUUUUUUCUCUUUUUUAUUCCAGUUAUAAUGUGAUCUUCUUUAAAAAUCCUUGUGUUGAAAUUUUUGUGUUCAAAGCUUUUUAAGAAUGAAAUACAGUGUCAAUUCUAAAAUGUUGAAUGUUUGCUUCUGUUACUGCUAAAUUACUAGAAUAAUUAGUAGUUUAGUUGCAGUAGAAGUCUCUGUUUAAAUUUGAAUUUUGUUAGAUUAGUCUAGUUGAUCUAAUUUAGUUUUUUUUUUUGAAUUUUGUUCUCCAGAUUCUGUUUUCAGGUUGACUAUAUAUAAGUCUUUUAUGCUUAACAAAUUAUUGAGAAAUAUUUUCAAUCUUUCUUCCAACCUCUUUUUGCUGUACCAUCAUUUCAGAAACCUACAAUAACGAUGAGAAUAUAUACUAUUCAUAUUCAUGUGUUUCAGAGGCUUCUUCACGUCUUGUUUGUUAGGUACUGGAGGCAUUAUUGGCUCCAGGGUCUGAAUUGUGGAUGUUUAAUGAGGUGCCCGAGAAAGAUAGAGAAAAAAAGUUGACUGAUGGGGGUCUUGAUAUAUCAGGACUAGAUAACAUAAAACUUGUCCAUCGUGUGGGAAAUGCAGUGAUUAGACGUCAUUUAGAGGGUCUUCCUUUGGAGACAUUUGAUUCGGUAAGUUCAAGUUGUGCUCAUACUUUGAUAUCUUUAAUACUCUCCUAAAAGAAAACUGAAAAUAAAUGAAGUCAUAUCUCAACAAGGUUUGGAGAAAAAUAUGGUCAUGUUUGUUUGCACGGAAGAUGCUUAUUUAUUUUAAAGUUCCUGUGGGCAAAACAAAUGAUUUCUGGAUAUGUUGUUAGCAUAGCGCUAGGUAGCUGGUGAAUCCUUUUGGUAAUUUUUUCACGCUUCUGAAUUCAGGAAAAAUGUUUUAUCUUUGUCUUGCUACUAAAGGAUCUGAAUGCAGUGGGCUAGUUGCUCUUGAUUUUCCUGAGAGUAGAAUUAAGCAAAGACGAGAAUCAUUAUGAUUUAAAAGUUAAAACUGUAUAACAGAGGAUAGUAUUUUAUCAUGUCAAUUCAUAUUUUUGUUGAUGCACUGUUUACUAACUCUAAGAGAAUAGAUUUUGAUUCUUGCAGAUGAAUCCGUCGAAGACUCCAUUGUUCACUCUGAUUCACGCUCUCUUGCCACCCUCCUUCUCAUCCGAGAUAUCCAGGUCAUUUUUGCUAACUUCCGAUUGAGGCAUAUAAACGAAGUUUUUCACUGGAAUACUUGUUUCUGAGAAGCAUUUCUUGUUUGAAGAAGUCUGCAACUUUUCAUUUUUGCCCUCAAUUUCUUUUCACUUCAUUUUACCUUUUCCUCCCUUCCAGUACUAAUGAUCUCACUUCCUCUCCCUCUGGCCUGCCUUUUUAAUUUCGCAAGUCACAAUGGUAAAAUGGAUGUCAUUAAUCCUCCAAUAGUGAUUGAAAUUGCUGAAUUGUUAUUUAAUGCAGUCGAAGCGUCUUCCUAAUAAAGACUCUAGGUCGGUUUCUCUACGGCAUUCAGUGUUUUCUCAGAGCUCCUGGAUUCGUGAAAUGCAGCAGGCUUCAGACAGAUCAAUAAUAAUAAGUGAGAUAUUGGACUCUAGGACAAGAAAUCUUGUGUCAGUGUCUAGGAUAAGUGAUUACGUGCUGUCAAAUGAACUGGUGAGCAUGGCACUUGCAAUGGUAGCAGAAGACAAACAGAUUAAUCGUGUUCUAGAAGAACUGUUUGCGGAAGAGGUAUUGGUUUUUCCUUAUUUACUUAUAUACUGAGUGCAAUGUGUGAUAUGUUUAGACGACUGUAGAUGAGUUUAAUGCGAGAGCAUGAAAUACAGGGAAAUGAAUUAUGCAUCAAGCCGGCAGAGUUUUAUCUGUAUGAUCAGGAAGAAGUGUGCUUCUAUGAUAUCAUGAGAAGGGGUCGUCAAAGACGGGAGAUAGUGAUUGGAUACCGCAUUGCAGCUGCAGAACGUGCUGUGAUUAACCCAGCAGGCAAGUCAAAGCAAAGAAAGUGGUCCCUUGAUGAUGUUUUUGUGGUUAUUUCCUCAGGUGACUGAAGACCUUUAUAUUAAUCAUCACAAACUCUGUCCCGACAAGCAACACUCACAGGGUCACUACAAAAGAGGCAAAUGAGGUAAACUUUAACCAGCAGAUUAGGUAGAAAAUAAUAGCAAGAGAGAGGUAAGAACUGGUCUGCGUAGUAGGAAAGGAGGGGAGAGCUAGCUGUUAAUUCCCUUUUUUGUCUUUUUUCUUUUUUCAUUUUUCAUUUUUCACAUUUUGCAAUACAAAUCGGGGAAAUGAAGAAUGAAAAUUUACCAUCAUUAGACAAUCAGUUUUUUUUGUUUCAUUGGCAUCCUCUCUUGGAGCAGUUUAGUUAUCAAAUAGUGCUUUAAUUCAAAGAUUUCUUAUACAUUGCAUACACAUUAUCAAAUAAUGCAUUCAUCAUAUGUUACUAAAAGCAUGAACCAAAAAAAGUUAAAAGUUGAAUUAUUAUUUUACUCCUUCUAUAAAUUAAAUUGUUAUAAAAUAUUUAAAUAUUUGAUUGUAUAAAUUUAAUUAAAAUGUUAAUGACUUUUAGAUUUUUUAAGAUUAAUUUCUAAUUAAAUAUCUAAUUAAUUAAUAUUUAUCAUUUAUAAUCUAUAUGUAUAUAAUAAUUAUAAUUUUUUUUAAAAAUGGUUUCUACCUAAAUUGCUUUAUUUUUCCUCUUCUCAUAAUUUUUUCCUUAACCCCUCUCAUGAAUAAUAUAAUUCAUGUGGAUAAAGUAUUAUCCUUAAUGAUAAAUAACGAAAUUCAAUAAUUUAAAGGUUGUAAAUCUGCAAAAUGGAGACACACAUUGAUACUGUCCUCUUGAUUAUUAUUAAAGAAUGACUCUAUCUUCACAAAUUUAAAUUCAUUAACACUUAUUACGUGAUAAGAACUUUAAUUGUUCUUUCUACAUGGUUUGCUAAUUUUAAUUUUCUUUUUCAUAUUCUUCAUUUAUUUAUUAUUAUUUGUUAAUUACUUAUUCACUUUUAUACUCUUAAUAUUCAUAACUAUCAUUUUUUCAUAUUCAUAACCUUCAAAUAUUUAAACUAAAACUUUAAGAUUUCUUUUGAUAUUCCUUCUAUUCUAUCUAUAUAAAUUCAACAUCUUUAUCUCAUUAAACUCCUACCAAGAUUAUUAGGCUGUCAUUUUUAUUCUAUAGUUAAAGUAGAUGAAGAAGCCUCUUGAAUUUUGAUAGGAUAUGGAAGGAGUCGAUAAAAACUUAGAGAGUUAUGUACUGAUUUUUUCAUGUCUACAUUAUAUUUUUUCUUAAAUCUGUUUCUUUUUAUCUUUUUUUUUCUCCUUUAUACUUCUUUAUUUAGUUUUCUAUGGAUGUUAUAUUGCGUAAGUUUUUAUUCUUAUUUUGUAAUUGUUACAUUUUAUUAUUCAUUAAAUUUACAUAUAUAUUUCCAUUAAACUUUAGUCAUUCAAACGUAUCUACAAAAAUUCACAUGGAACACACGUCAGAAACUAGUUUAUAAAAUAAAAGGAAAAAGAAAAACAAAUAAGGUUCCUUAAAAUAAUGAAGGUAAAUCUUAUUUAGCAAACAAAGAAGCGAUAAUUACAUUACAAUGCUUCAAUUUCGUGUCUUCCUCUAAUAAAAUUUCACCUAUGCUAACAAUAGAUUCUUAUUAAUUUUUCUUACACAGAUCCACAUCAAACACUUUAUUCUUGCUAUCUUCCUAAUAUGAAAAUCUAAUAGACCCAGUUAAGUAAUUUCAAUGGUACAGAAUUAUAUCCCAAAAAUCAUCUUAGUAAUUCACAUUCGAUCUCCAUCUCAACAGACUUAAUCAUCUUAGUAAAUCACAUUCGAUUUUCAUACCGAUCGACUUAUCAAACUAUGCAUGUAAUACAUUGGCUCAAAUCGACAUUUUAACAUCAAAUCCUCAUCUCAUUUUUGGAAGAAAAAAUUAUGCGGCUAAGCAAACUUAUACUAUUUAAUUACUCAUCAUAGUCAUAGUUUACUAUAGUUAUCACUCGCGACUAAUAUUAUACAUUAAUUACGUGGGGUGACUUCGAGUUGUAUAACUAGUCACGUUUGUAUAUGUAUAAUUCGCCAGGAUAUACAAAUACAUAUGUAUAAUAUACAAUUAUUUAACCUAUAUACAUAUACAAUUCAACUCUUUCCCACUCUCUGCCCUCUCUCCCUCAACUCUCUCCUCCCUCUCUCAAUAUCGCUCACCUCUCUCCUCCCUCUCCCAAUCUUGCUUGCCAUAUAUACAAAUGCAUAUGUAUAAUAUACAAUUAUAUACAAUUAUAUGCAUAUACAAUUCACCUCUCUCCCACUCUCUAUCCUCUCUCGCUUACCUCUCUCCUUCCUCUCUUGAUCUAGCUCGCGUCUCUCCUCCCUCUCUCAAUCUCGCUCGCCUCUCUCCUCCCUCUCCCAAUCUCUACAUACAAAUACAUAUAUAUAAUAUAAAUUAUCUAACCAAUAUACAUAUACAAUUCACCUUUCUCCCACUCUUUUCCCCCUCUCUCUCGCCUCUCUCCUCUCUCUCGCCUCUCUCUCGCUCGCCUCUCUCCUCCAUAUAACACGUAGUUACAAAUUGUAAUUAUCAAACUAUAGCUAUAGAGAGUAAUUAAUUAUUUUUAAGUGGCUAUAUGUGAAAGUUACCCUUUUUGGAACCCCAUGCACAAAAACAAACUAUGUUACCACAUCAAAGUUAACAUUCUAAACUCAACGGAAUUGACAAAACAAUCAACCGAAGGUCAUUUGAUAAAAUGUUGACCCAGAUCAACUCACACAAAAACAACUAAAACAAGUACUUUGCAAACACCACAAAAUCAUCUGAUGACCUUCGAAUCCAAAUACAGGUCAUUCUAGACCAAACUCAACAUUUCAAAGCUAAGACACUGACCAAAAUCUCAUCCGAGCCCAUUUAUCAAAAAUAUUGACUGAAGUCAACCCUUAUCUAAAUUUUCCGACAUCUUGCCUAGUUGCUUAAACUCACAUUUAAGGCUUGGAGCACGAGUAACAAUGCUACUAAAUCAUGGACAUUCUGAAGCUGAUGGAACUGACAUAAAUUUAAUAUGACAACAAAUUCUCUAAGUGUUGACCAAAGUUAACUUUUUCAACAUGACCACCUUAGGAAGUGUGACACAACCAAAACACUAAACACACAACAUGCAAGCUACACUAAGGGACAAAAUAGUGAAAACACACAAAAAGCAAGGAAAUGACCAAGAGGGUCAUUACCACAUCUACUACUAAAAGCACUUUCUUCCUUGUAAGUUUAAGAAAUGAAGGCACCUAAGCUAAAAAAAAAGGCGAGGUUGUGAUGAAGGAUAGAUUUUCACUCAUUUAAGGUCUGUUUAGGUUAAUAAUUGGUGUCCUCAAUGCCUAAUAUUGUUAUAUUCAAAUUAAAUGUUGCUAUGAAGGAAAUUGGACAAGGCGGGGAUUGAUGUUUGAAAAAGCCAAAAGUGCAAAAAGAAGUGCAAAUCAUAUAUUGUGGGUAACCUAGCAGGAAGAGCAGAUUGUCGAUUGAGCAUGAUGUCACCCAAAAUGACAGUGCAUAACACUUGAGUCUAUCAAAUCAGAUCGGCGAUUUCUAGUGGAGAAGGCGAUGCGUCGAACGAGAAAGACAACCUUGAUGAGCAUCACCCAAAAUGACAAUAUUGAAAGAAAAGAUUAAAUGCUAAAUAGGCGAACCAAGAUAGUACUCACCGAUUCGAUGAAAAAGAAAGGUUGACUCAAUCAAGUUCACCAACUGAGGUUUAAAACAACUGAAGCCUAGAGCAUUAAAAGGCGAGUUGUGGAGCAAGAGGUGACGCGACAAACAUGUUUAGCGAACCCGACUAAUGUCGUUUAUUGAGACAUAAAGUGAAAUUUAGGGCCUAAUUUUGGGAAAAUAUAAAUAGUCCAAAGGAGAGAGAAAUAAUAUAUAAGAUGACAUAGAGUAGAAAAUAUCACAGUGUGUGAAGAUUUUAGAGAGAGAAAAUACUUUACCUUUGAAGAACACUUUUCUAGCUUUGGAGUUUUAUAACUUUGAGCUUGAAAUUGAAGAAUUGAAGUUGAAUCCUAAGUGAAUUUACUUGUAAUUAAUUAAUUUGAUGAUACCCAUGGUUGCUUUCAUGGAAGGUAUAAUCUUUUCACUUUUGUGAUGGGUGGCUAAAACCCCAAGAUCUAAGGGUGCAAUUAUGGGAUUGGGUGUUGAUUUAAUUUAGUGGAGAUUGUGCUAUGAUUUGUUUUGUUGUUGUUCAUAUAUGAAUUUGGUAUAAUUAGCAUGGAUUUAAUUUAUAGGUUAGGGUUGCAGACUCAAUUCCUACUUUCGAUCACCAAUUGAUGCUUAAAAGAAUUGAUUGGAAUGGGUAAUUUGAUACUAGCAAUUUAGAUUUGAUGUCUGAAACUUGAUUGAAAAUAGAGGUUAUGGGUCUGAUAUAGUUUGUCACGCCCCAAACUCAAGGGGUGCAACUAGCUCAUAAUGCCAAAAGUCAGGGCCGAGCCAACCUUACUGAACCAUUUGCUACUAGCGCAUAGAAGCCGCAUGCAAUCAAGAAAACAAACAAGUAUAUCUCGGCUUAAAAUUAAGCACUCUAUCGACAAGGCCCCUGUUAAUAGAUCCAUAGAAAAAACAACUACUCCUAAGAGUCCAUAUGCGUAAAUAGCACACUAGCAGAAAAAGUCAUGAUUGGGCCGUCGAGGCCACCAUGAUAUCUAUACCAAAACAUAAAACAUGUAUAUAUCAAGAAAAUACACCAAAAACCUCACAAACUUCAGCAAACCAACAAACUAGGCUAGAAUGGCCAUAAUGUAGCUAUACAUCCCACACACUAGUCUGCAAGCCUCUUAGAGUAGAAAAGAUUGGCAGGACAGGGCCCCGGUCUAUCCAUAAAGAUAUAUACAACUAAAGCUCACAAACCUCCCAAUUCUGGCAGGUUUGGAGGAAAUGGGUUAUCCAAUCAGAUAGCUGUCAAUCCUGCUCUAGAGGAGGUAUACUGGGUAGUCUGUCAGGACCUGCACUUACUAAAGCAACACCCUCAGGCAAUGGGGCAUCAAUAAGAAAUAAUGUUCAGAGUAUGAAAGGCAAUAGAGUAUGAUCAAGUAUCCAAAUAUACUAAAAUAAUCCGACGAAUAAAUCAAGGAUAAGAUUCGUGUACUAACCUGCUCCUAAAUCUAAGCUUAUAAAAAAUAAUAAGACAACAACCUAACCAAGCCCCCAUAAGCUUGGUAGGUACAAACAACACACAAGACCACUUACUCAGCCCCCAUAAGCCCAGAAGGUGCCAAUUAGUCUAUAUACCUAUAUCGGUAGUCCCCUAGCUCCGUAGGUAGUCAGAUAGAUCUCUUAGGCAUUAAUAUAGCCCAAUAGGAAGCACAUAUCUCUCUUAGGCAUAAAAAUAGCUUAUAGACAAUCCAUAGCCCUCUUAGGCAACAACAUGGCCCUGUAGGAAGCACAUAGCCUUCUUAGGCGUUAAUAUAGUCAUGUAGGCAACUCGUAGUCCUUCUAGGCAUCAAUAUAGUCCUGUAGGCAAAUCAUAGCCCUUUUAGGCAUCCAUAUAGCCCCGUAGGCAGAACAUAGCCCUUCUAGGCUUAAAUCAGAUUCCAGCAGUUAACCACAAUAGUCCCAAGGGCAACAAUAACAAUCCAAUCGCUGAAAGCGAGCAAUGUAGUUAUAAGCAACCUAUACAAAUAGUCUCUAAGUCGUGUCCAAUAAAAGGAAUCUACUAAAUGAAUAAGAAUCCAGUCAAGGUAGGAUUAUAUCAACUCGAGCAGCCAACAAUCAACAAUAAUGGCUACAAGUUUAACAAGGAUAACUAAUCGCACAGAAGGUUUCUCCGAUUAGAUCCAAGAAUCGAAUGUGGCUUCACGCCUGAAGACCAAAAUUGGUGACUUCAAGUUUAGUAUAAAUAGGGUUCUAUUUUAGUUUUAUUAUUGUUCUAUUUCUAACUUUCGAACGGGGAGAAACAAGAGACACUUUGAAGUUUUAGUUAUACUCUUUCUCUUCAUCUUUCAAUUUUCUUUGAAUGAUUCAUAUACAUUGGAAGAUUGACUGGAUGAUUAUGAGUACCUAAAUACCCUAGUUCUAGGGUUGUGGCUAUAGGAUGAAUGGAAUAUGUUGAGUUUGUUAAGGGUUUUAUUAUGAGUUAUCUAUGACUCGUUCUUAUGUUCUUGCUCUUUGUAUCUCAUGCUUGAUCACCAUAAAAAUAAAUAUAUUGUCCAAAUAAUACUCGAGAGAGGAAUAAGGGGAUAGAACAUGGAAUAUAAGAAGUUUUAUUACCUCUAAAUAGCUAGGGUUGAUUCGUUUCUGGGAUAGAGAUAUACCUAGAAACCUUGCUUGGACCAUCAUACAGGAAGAUAUCUUAAUGCUCAAUUUUUAUUCACUCUAUCCCCGCUCAGUGAUGUAGUUAGGGCGAUAUCUAUUGGAGGCGAUAAGAGGUCGAGAGACCCUGAUCAUACAUCUAACCCUGUGGUUCAGCGAUGAGUUAUUUUCAAGAAAACCUUUAUCAAAAGAUAUUGAUUACAUAAUUCCUCUAAAAGUCGCAAUCCUAGAUCUUUCCCUCUUCAUUGUUUGAGACUUAUGGAAUCAAACCACAAUAGUUACAUUUUAGUUUACAUAGAAUUAAGUAGUUUACAACUGUUAUAAAAUCUGGAAAUUGAACUUAUGUUGAGUUACAAAUUGGAGAAAUUGAUAGAGUCCAGACUUAAGUCUAUGUGGGUACGAUACCGGACUCUCUAACAAUAGCCACUUUAUUGCUUAUACGAUCACGUGCAGUUGCGUGUUCUAUUUGAAUGCAACAAUAACAAACCAAUUACAUUGUUCCGAAGCUCUAAGCAAACAUGCCAUAAGUAGGGACUAUCCCUAACAUACCUUUUUCGCUGAAUUCACGUGGCUUAGAAACUUUACUCCCCUCCAUGAUACUGCAACAAGGAAGGACCUUAAUCAACACAAAAGAAUAGAAGAUACCAUAACAAUGCGAUAAAAGAUAUAUAUUUAUCAUAAAUUUCUAUUUUCGACUUAUCAAAGUUAGAGUCGAUGAAACAAGGGUCUUACCUUGACUAUAAGUUCAUAAUAAACCUCAAAAUAUUAUAAUAUGCCCAAACCCCUACUAUCUACACAUCAAAGUACGAUAUGCUAGAAAUUCGAUAAAACAAAUUAUAACAUGUAGACGAGAUCAACGCAUAGAACAACUUUUGUUAAGGACUUAAGUCCCGAAAGUUUGUAACUUGUCUGAUCCUAGAAAUGGGUUUUGUGAGUUUUCUGUCUAUUCAUUAAGAAAAAUGAAGAAAAAUGAAGAAAAGUCGAAAAAGAUGGUAUUUAUAAAGUUCCACAGACCUAGGGGACCCACCUCAUCUGAUUGCUUGCGGCGUCUGGUUGAUGCGUUGGAAACUAGACUUGUACACCUUCGAUUUCAAAGGUUGUGGGAACUAUAACUUAUUAUAUAUUUGGGAGAAAACCUCUGAGACAUUUUACCCAAAUUUCAGAAAAUCAUAAAAAAGGAAUUUGCGGUAACUUUCACCAACUUUAAUUUUGCCACUUACCUAGCUUCAAAAACUGAGAUACAACCCUUGAAAACUUAAAAUAUCACAUAAAAAAUCAUCCUUAAUUUAUUACUCACCCUCCUGGUCUUUCCACGAAGAUAUGAAUUAACUUAGACGUUUCGAAAAGUCGGGGUGUUACAUCCUUCCCCUUUUAGAAACAUUCAUCCUCAAAUGAAAAAUCCGAGUCACGCGGUUAAGUCCUUAGGAGUAUAAUAUAUAAGGUAGAAUAUCUUUUGUAAAUGUGACUAUCCAGGAACAUGAAAUGCAAAAAUUCUAACCUAGGCGUCUCACAGGAUGACAUAAAUAGCAAAGCACUAUAGCUCUGCAAUAACAGUGCGAGCAAAUAUACAUUUACAACAACAAUAAUAAGCAACAAUGUAUAUGCAUAUAUAUAUAUAUGUAUGUGUAUAUAUAUAUACAACAAAAGCUGACAAACCUCCCAACUCUGGCAGCUUCGGAGAAAAGGGGCUAGCCAAUCAAGUAGAUAUCGAUCCUGCUCCUAAGGAGGUCUACUGGGUCGUCUGCCGGGACCUACAUUAUCACGACUUGAGAGCACCCCCUUUUCUUAACUGGCGUCGUCAACCUCGAAGAGGUAUUAAACAAGGCCUUAGCAAUCAUCAUUGCAUAUUGGAUAGAACAAAAACAGAAAAAUUUAAAACUUUUUAUUUGAAGUUACUUCACAUAUCAAAAUAGAAACUAACUUGUAUCACAUUUGCAUUUAGAUAUAAGAGUAUGAAAAUUGGGACAUAGACUUUACAUCGGCAACAAGUCUUAUAAUAUGAAUUGCAACAUAGUUUUUCAAUAAGGAAAGUGGAACUAGAAUUAGAAUGAAGCAUCUCUAUCCUCGGACUUGAGGACUCACCAACUUGGGAAUAUCAAUCCAUGUUUCUUCAAGAAAGGAGUAGAAUUACCUCAAUGGCACUAACCUACAGUUUGUGUUGAAAAUAAGAGAAAUAUGGGUUAGUACAAACCACAUGUACUAAGUAUGGAAACAUAUGCAAGUAAAACAUUUGAAAACAUGCAAAAAGGGACAUUUUGUUUAUAAGCAUACUAUAUUUAUUUUUAAAGACUUUAUGCACAUUCCAAGAAUAAUAUACAAGUUCAUACCAUAAGUAACCUCAUGAUAAAUCCAUAACCAACAUUCCAUAUUUAGAGUUCAUUUGAUACAUACAUCACAAGACUGUACUCAUAACCCUGAUUCAAGUCUACUAGUGCGAUAUUUACGUGAAGCCCCAUAAACCCACACAAAUCAAGCAAACAACAAGGUCACAAGCAUUGCUAUUUAACUCAUACGUCAUCAUAACAAGUAUAGUCAACCACAUGCAUACAGAGUGAGACCAAUAUCAUGUAUAUCAAGUGACACCAACAUCAUGCAUAUCAUAUGAGACCAACUUCAUGCAUAUCAUUCAUAGUAUAUAUAUAUAUAUAUAUAAAGAAUCCACCCUAUAAUUUCCCUCAAGGUCAACUUGUUCAAUGUAUAGGUAAAGUCUCAAACCCUUGCCUACACUAAGUAACACCUCUUAAGUAGUCCUAGUUAGUGUUCAUCUUCUUACUUACAUUCAUUUUAACAUUCGUGAAACUUUGCCAUAACCGAUAUAGACCAUAUGAGCUACAUGGAAUCCAGUGCCAUCCCCUCACACCGACAGGUGGGUGUCUUACUUGCCAAGUUAAGACAUAAACAAUCGUAUAGCAUCUAGGUGGAUCCACCAGCUAAGGUUCCUAUGGGGGCACAUAGUUAAGGAACUAGGAGGUUGUUACUAGAAACCUUCUUUAUGAUAAUUAGCACUGUAGUUUCCACCUCAUGAGAGAACAUAGUGUGAACCUUUCUUCCUUUGUGAAGGAACACCUCUCAUUGUCAAGUUCACUCGAUGCUAAGCUAAGUUCCUUUUUUGCAGUGUCUUUAAGCCUUUAUUAACAUUAAUUCAUAACAUAAGUCUUAGGAGUGUAACCACUCAUAUAAAAUGUACAUAACUAAUAGGUUUUAGGAUGAGAAAAUUGUUUCAUCACAAACCUAACAUCAUGUGAGAACAUUACUUCAUAACAUAGUCAUAGGAUGUGUAUAGAAGUUACCUUCAAUUACACAUAGUAAUACCCCCAUUAUCGCUCAAUCUUCACAUUCAUACCAUGAUGAAACAUUCAUAAAACUUAUCAUUCAUACUUCAAGUAAUCAACACUACUAAGGAUAAACCAACAAUACUAAAAUCGAUUGUUCAUAGCCUUGAAAGUCUUACUAAUGGUCUUCAAGAUACCAUUUCAAGACUUUAUCACAAAUCCAUAACAUUAAUCCAUCAAAUCCAUUAUCAUAAUCCCAAAAUAGUCAAUUAUACAAGAGCAUGCUCAAUUAAACCACCUCUAAUAAUUAUUCAACAUAAUUCAAGAGUUAGGGUUAAGAGAAUAGGGACAAUCGUGGGUCUUUAGGGAAUUAGGUCAAAAACCUAAGAUACUACAUCACAUCAUUCAUAAACAUUCAUAAUCAAUUAUUAUUAAUCAAUUCUAGAUCAAAUAACUCAUGUUUAAAGGUGACUCACGAUAUUGAGUGAAAUCUAGAAAUUUGGAAGAACAUUAAAAAUCAAUUUGAAGGAACCUCUUGGGGAAAUGAGUCCCAAGAGUGAAGAGUUCUCAUACAUUGUCAAUCCUUAAGGAUUAAUGGAGAAAAGUCUUGUUCUUGAACCCUACUUGAAGCUUGUUCUUUCUCUUUAAUGGAGUCUUGAGUUGAGAGAGUUUAUGUUUUGAUCUUUUUGUGUCUUGAGUUAGAAUGAGUUGGGCUAAUGGGGGUCUUAUAGUUAGGUUAUUAACCCAUCAAUCACAAACCUUAACCCCUAAUAAAACGACCAACUAAAAAUAAGACCCUUGACUUAAACUAAAAGUCGACUUACCUAGCACCAUUGACGAAACCCAUCUAUGUACCGUAGGUGGUGUGACACCCCGUCCCGCAAGUAUUCUUGUUAUAGAUGAAUGUUUAGAUGAACUACACCUCUUAUUGUCCUUUGAUUUAGAAAGUGGUAUUGGAUGGAUUUGGUGAGGAGAAUAAUUCUCAACUAACGAAUCCCACCCACGCCCCGUCAAUCCAUUGACGUCAAUGGGUCUCGUUGGUGGUUGCUUUAAAUUGCAAAUUCAUGCUCCAAAGAUUUGGUCCUCCUCAAGGACCUCUAGGAUUGUACUUGAGGGGUCGUACCAGAUUUUUUUAUCCUAAACAUAGUGUUUUAUCUACUUAAAAGUAUUUCUACAAGAUUUAACCAUCAUACGACACUCCCAAGCCUUCACUAGACCCUAGAACAUCUACUAAUUCAAUUUCACUAUUUUUCGGAUGUCACGAUCAUUUCUCGACGGUUAGGUACUAACACUUCAAAACCAAGUUAAUCACAUUAGUUUUGGUCUAGAAACAUCAUUUUAGCCAUUUUUUAGUCAUUAUUCAUAAUAUGAGGCUCUAGCUUAGGUCAUUGGAUUUCUUGGGUGUUUCAAUACUCCCCCGGGAACAUUCAUCCUCGAAUAGCACUAAGACCUUUCUCUAAGGACGCUAAUUGACCCAAGACUACCAGCUAGACAACAAAAAACAUCAAUACAACAUCAACACAUCAUAUUACAUAGUAAUUUAAUCCACAACAUCAUUAUGCUCAAAACUCAUUACUUCAUAUAAGUAUAGGAAAAACUACCUUCUCAAUAUUCAAUGACCAUCAAUAUGUACAUUAAGCACCCAACAUGACAUUUAUUUAUCAAGACAACAUCAAGCAUGCUCAUUACAACUUUAAUGAAGAAACUAUAACACAAUACAUAUAAGUGCAAGUCAACCAUGAGAUACAUAAUUCAUGAAAACUCAAAUACAAUUUAAACAUGAAUUUCCACAAGAAUAUGCACAUCUUAGAAAACCAUGAUAAGUUCAACAUUAUUCAUAACUCCCAUUAAGAGGAACUACUAACCUCAACUUUGGCUAGGACUAAGAACAAAAAGUUGAGGAUAACGGGACAUUAUCUCGGCCUCGGCCUCCCAUGUUGCACCCUCAACUAGAUGGAUUCUUCAUAGGAAUUUUACGGAGGCAACCUCUUUAUUCCUCACUUUAUUAAAUUGACGAUGAUCUCAACCGGAACCUCUUCAUAAAAAAGGUUCUCAUUCACCUCUAAACCUUCUAAAGGGAGAAUAGACACCGGGUUACCUAUACAUUUUUUGAGCAUUGAUACAUGGAACACCAGAUGCACCGGAGAGACAACUAUAUAGGUAAUUUCAACUCAUAGGAAACACUUCUGAUGCGUUUUAAAAUCUCAUAUGUCCCCACAUAAUGGGUGCUUAGUUUUCCAUUUUUUACCAAAUCUCAUCACCCCUUUCAUGGGUGAUAUCUUCAAAUAGACCAAGUCACCUAACAUAAACUCAAGGUCCUUCUCUAUUGUCGGCAUAAGAUUUUUGCCGAAUUUGGGCCGUCUUCAAUCUAUCCCUUAUGAUUCGUACUUUCUCCACGGCCUCAUAAAUUACUUCGGGAUCUAUUAGAGCAAACUCACCUAUCUCAAGCCAACCAAUCAAAGAUCUACAUCUUCUCCCGUAGAGAGCCUGAAAUGGAGCCAUGACGAUACUUGAGUGAUAGCUAUUAUUGUAGGCAAACUCAAUCAAUGGUAGAUGGUCAUCCCAAUUACCCUUGAAGUCAAUUACAAAUGCCCUCAACAUAUCAUCUAUGAUUUGGAUGGUACGUUCCGCCAAACCAUCCGUUUGUAGAUGAAAUGCGAUACUAAGUUUCACCUUGGUACCAAAUCCAAUUUGGAACGCCUUCCAAAAAUGAGAAGUAAAUUGAGUACCCUUAUCCGGAAUGAUAGACAAGGGAACUCCAUGCAUACUCAGAAUUUUAUUCAGAUACAAUUUAGCAUAAUCCUCCACUGAAUAUAUAGUCUUGAAAGGAAUAAAAUGGGCUGAUUUGGUCAUCCUAUAAAUAAUAACCCAAAUCGAAACAUGUUGCCUUCACCUACGAGGCAAACCAACAACGAAAUCCAUAUUGACAUCUUCCCACUUCCAAGCGGGGAUAGAUAUAUCUUGAGAAAAACCUCCAGUAUUUGAUGCCGGCCUUGACUUAUAGACAGUUAGGACAUUUGACCACAAACUCCGCUAUAUCCCUCUUCAAACCAUUCCACCAAAAGAUUUCUUGUAGAUCACGAUACAUUUUGGUGGCACGGAUAAAUGGAAUAUCGGGAACCAUGAGACUCUUCCAAUUUUUCUCCCUUAAGCCAUCUAUAUCCGACACACACACACACACACACACACACUAUACCUUGGUACCUAAGUACCCAAUAUCCCCCUUGGGAGAAAUCUUCAACAGAUUUCUUAAGUACGAAUUUUUUCAACUCCAUCAAAAUAGGAUCAAGGUGUUGCUUGGAUUUCACAUGAAUAACUAACGAGGACUCGGAGCCAUGUUGGAUCAUGACACCACCCUUAGGAGAAUCUACUAAUUGAACUCCCAACCGAGCCAAUCUAUGUACAUCGUGGACUAACUCCUUUUUCUCAUAUUCUACAUGAGUAACACUACCCAUGGACAUACGACUCAAGGCAUCUGCAGCUAUAUUGGCCUUGCUGGGAUGGUAGAGGACACUCAUAUCAUAUUCUUUCAAAAGCUCUAUCCACCUUCUUCGUCGGAGGUUUAAUGCUUUUUGGGUGAACACAUAUUGGAUACUCUUUUGAGGAAUGAACACAUCUCCAUAUCUUCAAAGAAAGCACCACAACAGCUAGAUCAAGGUCAUAAGUUGGAUAAUUCUUUUCGUGUACCUUAGUUGCCUGGAGGCAUGAGCUAUAACUUACCAUGUUGCAUGAGAACACAACCGUCACAGUAUACCACAAACCCUUCAAUAUCCUUCGGUAAGGUCAAUACCAGAGUGGAGGUAAGAUUAUCCUUCAACUUUUGAAAGCCUUUCUCACAAGCUUUUGUCCCUUCAAAAAUAACUUUCUUUUGGUUUAGAUUAGUCAAUGGGAAAGCAAUAGAUGAAAAACCAUCUACAAACCUCCUGUAAUACCUGGCUAAACACAAAAAGCUUCGAAUGUUGGUAGGACUUAGGGGUCUAGUCCAAUUCUUAACCACUUUCUUCUUAUUAGGUUUGACCUCUAUACCCUCACUUAAAAUAAUGUGACUAAGAAAAGCCACCGAGCUUAGCCAAAACUCACACUUAUUGAACUUAGCAAAAAUAGUUGGUUAUCCUUGUGGACUUGAAAAGCUAUCCUCAAGUGGUUCAUAUGGUCAUUUUCACUUCUUGAACAUACCAAGUUUUCAUCUAUAAUUACAAUUACAAACAAAUCAAAAUAAUUAUGAAAUAACCUAUUCAUAAGGUCCAUAAAAGUCGUCGGCACAUUAGUUAGACCAAAGGACAUAACUAGGAACUUGUAAUGACCAUACCUUGUUCGAAAAGCCGUUUUAGGAAUUUCAACUCCUCAACUCUAAGUUGGUGAUACCCCAACCUCAAAUCAGUUUUCGAGAAGUAACUCACCCCUUGGAGUUGGUGAAACAAAUCAUCAAUCCUAGGGAGAGUAUCUAAGAGGCCCAUCUUUAUUUUUCACAAAUAAUUCUGGAGCUCUCCAUGGAGAUAUUCUUGGUUGAAUAUAACCCUUAUAUAGCAAAUACUUGAGUUGAGCUUUCAAUUCUUUCAACUCGGUCAGAGCCAUCUGGUAAGGAGGAAAUGAUAUGGGUUGAGUAUCCGACAACAAAUCUAUGACAAAAUCUAUUUCCCAUUCAGGAGGAAUUCCGGGUAAGUCAUCGGGGAAGACUUCCAGAAAAUCCUUCACUAUGGGAACCGACUCUAAAGGAGGAGACUUAGACCCAAGGUCCUUGACCCUCAGAAUAUGAUAGUGACAUCCCUUAGAAAUCAUCUUACAAGAUUUUAGACAUGAAAUAAUUUGACCUCUAGGAAUUGAGUUCACCCCUUCCAUUCUAAAACGGGUUCAUUAGGAAAUUGGAUAUUAACUACCCUUUCUCUACAAUCAAUUGAAGAAAAAUAUGUAUAUAAACAUCCAUCCCCAAAAUGAUAUCAAAGUCCAACAUAUCAUGUUUAAACAAGUCAACCAAUGUGACUCCAUUGGACAUUAUAUGGGACAAAUCCUAUAAACUCUUUUAGCAACCACGCAAUCACCCACCAAGGUAGAAACCGAAAAGGGUUCAUCUAAGACAUCAGAGAGAACAUCAAACUUCAUGACCACAAAAGGAGUUACAGAACAUAAAGUUGCAUCGUGAUCUAGUAAGGCAUAAACAUUAAUUGAAAAAACUUGCAAUAUACCAGUAACAACAUCGGGAGAAUCCUCUUGAUCACCCCUAUAUUUGAGAGCAUAGAAACGGUUCUUCUUAAGAGCAUCAGAAUUAAGACCACUUUCUUGUGUUUGGUUACUCUCCCUUAUUUGAGUCUUGUCCAUGGGGCAAUCCCUCACCAUGUACCACUCUUUCCACAACCAAAACGAUUGUUCGUGCCCACUAGACAUUGACCCAUGUGCUUUUUGCCACAUUUGACACAAUUAGGUUUCUCACUUUGUGAACCACCACCUUUUUCCCCUUGAGGCUUAGGGUUAGGUACCCCAUCCUUUUUAGCCCUUGAGAAAUGAGAAGAAACUUGGUUGGAGAAUCUCUUCUUAAACACACAUAGUGAACCCAUCCUAGAAUUCCCAUCAAGGUCCACUUGUGCAAUGUAUAGGUAAAUUCACAUACCCUUACCUACACUAAGUAACACCUCUUAAGUAGUCCUUGAGAAAAGUAUUAUUUUUUAACCCAACUUGAAGCUUGUUUUUCCUCUUUAAUGGAGUCUUGAGUUUAGAGAGUUUAUGUUUUGAUUGUUUUUUUGAGUUGAGUAAGAAUGAGUUGGUUAAUGGGGUUGGGGUCUUAAAGUUAGUUUUAGUUAGAUAAUUAACCACUAACCACCCCUUAACCCCUACUACCCACUAAAAAUAAGACCCUUGACUUAAACUAAAAGUCUACAUACCUGGCACCAUUGACAGACACCAUCUACGGACUGUAGAUGGUGUGACGCCCGGUCUUGAAGGUUGUCCUUUGAUUUAGAGAGUGGUCUUGGAAAGGCUUUGGUAAGGAGACUACGUAUCAACUCACGAACCCCACCCAAGCCCCGUCAAUCCAUUGACGAACCAUCAAUGGGUCUCGUGGGUGGCUGCUGCAAAUUACAACUUUGUACUCAAAAGUUUUGGUCCUCCUCAAGGACCCCUAGGGUGUUCAUUGGGGGUCGUACCCAUAUGUUCAAAUCCUAAACAUAGUGUUUUACCUGUUUAAAGUAUUUCUACAAGAUUUAACCAUCGUACACUCCCAAGCUUCACUAGACCCUAGAACACCUAUUAGUUCAAUUUCACUAUUUUCGGGACGCUAUGGUCGUUUCUUGAUGUUUAGGUAAUAACACUUCCAAACCAAGUUAAUCACAUUAGUUUAGGUCUAGAAACAUCGUUUUAACCAUUUUGAGUCAUUAUUCAUAAUAUGAGGCUCUAGAUUAGGUCAUUGGAUUUUAGGGGUGCUUCAUGCGUGCAUGAAUGCAGCACCCCCAUGUAAUGGGUCAUCAAUAUGAAAUAAUGUACAGAGUAUGAAAGGUAAUAGACUAUGAUCAAGUAUCUUAAUAUACUAGAAUAAUCCGACGAAUAAAUCAAGGAUAAGAUAAGUGUACUAACCUGCUCCUAAAUCUAAACUUAUCAAUAAUAAUAAAACAACAACCUAACCAAGCUCCCAUAAGCUCGGUCGGUACAAACAACACACAAGACCACCUACUCAAGCCCCUAUAAGCUCAGAAGGUUAUAUACUUCUAUCGGUAGUCCCCAUAGAUUCGUAGGCAGUCAAAUAGCCCUAUUAGGCAUUAAUAUAGCCCCAUAGGUAGCACAUAUCUCUCUUAGGCAUUAUUAUAGACAACCCAUAGCCCUCUUAGGCAACAACAUGGCCCUGUAUGAAGCACAUAGUCUUCUUAGUCAUCAAUAUGGCCCUGUGGAAAACCCAUUGCUCUUCUAGACAUCAAUAUAGCCCUAUAGGCAACUCAUAGAUCUUUUAGGCAUCCAUAUAGCCCUGUUGGCUGAACAUAGACCUUCUAGGCAUAGAUCACAUUCAAACAGCUAACCACAAUAGCCCACAUUCAAACAGCUAACCACAAUAGCCCCAAGGACAACAAUAAUAAUCUAAUCGCUAAAAGCGAGCAAUGUAGUUAUAAGCAGCCUAUACAAAUAGCCUCUCAGUUGUGUCCAACAUAAGGACACUACAAACUGAAUAGGAAUCUCGACAAGGGAUGAUUAAACCAACUCGAGCAUCCAACAAUCAAGAAUAUGGCUACAAGUAUAACAAAGAUAACAACCCGAUUACAUUGUUUUGAAGCUUUAAGGAAAUAUGUCAUAAGCAGGGAAUAACCUUAACAUACCUUUUUUCUAAAUUCGUGUUGCCUAACGGCUUUACUCAAAACCCAUCUCGAUACUAAAAUAAGGCGAGACCAUAAUCAACAAAAAGAAUAGAAUAUACCAUAAUAAUCUGAUGAAAGAUAUGUAUUUUCAUCAUAAAUUGCUAUUUGUGACUUAUCAAAGAUGAAAAAAUGGUUUUACCUUGACUAUAAGUUUGUACACCUCAAAAUUUUACAAUAUGUGCAAAUCCCCAUUUUUCACACAGAGAAGUAUGAUAUUCUAGGAAAUUGAUAAAACAAAUUAUACCAUAUUGACGAGCUCAACACGUAGAACAACUUUUGUCAAGGACUUAAGUCAUGAAAAUAUUUAACUUGGUUGAUUUUAGAAGUGGGUUUUGUCAGUUUUCUGGUUAUUCAUUGAGAAAAAUAAAGAAAAAAUAAAGAGAAGUCGAAGAAUAUGACAUAUAUAAAGUUCUACGAACCAAGGGGACCCACCUUACCUACCUGCUUGCGCAGUCUUGCGAUAACGCAAAUAUCUAUCCAUUCUGAAGUCGUAUGAACGAACGGGGUGAUGCAUUGAAAACUAGACUCGUAGACCUACAGCUUAAUAGGAACUGGGGAUCUUAAAUCAUUAUAUAUUGUAUAAAAACUCUAAGACAUUUUACUUAAAUUUCAGACAAAUCUUAAAAUGGAAUUUACGGUAACUUUCACCAACUUCUAUUUUGGCACCUUCCUAACUUCAAACCUUGAGAUACAACCCUUAAAAACGUAAAAUAUCACAUAAAACAUCAUCCUUACUUUAUUAACCAUCCUCGUGGACUUUCCACGAAGAUACGAGUCAACUUAGACGUUUUGAAAAGUUAGGGUGUUACAUAUUUUCCAUGUUUUUAAACGAUAUAAUAGAGUAAGGUAUUGAGUUGUUUUGAUUGAUUUAUAUGAUACAUAAAGAAGAUUAUAUGCUUAGAUGUUUUGAGAUUGAAAUAUAAUCAGUGUCAAUGAAGAUAACUUAGUCUAUUCAUGAAUGUUCAUCAUCAUAAAGUAAAACAAUUACCCCUAUGUGACAUCGAUUUGCAAUCCCCACACCUCUUGAUUGCUUGUUAACUCUUGAAUUUUAGACAUUUUAGUUUUGUGAUAAUUAAUAACCAAUUUUUUUACAUAAACUUGGUGGAAGUGUCCACCCACUUGUUAUUACUAUUGCAAAUGAAUGAUCUUAAAAUCCAAAUCUCUUGAUAGAAAUUCUCCAUGAUAUACCUUUAUCUAUGGGAAUUGAUCCAGAAUACUCAUUGAAUAUUUAUUGACUAUAAUAUCUCACUCAUUUGAUUAGUUUACCAGAGUGAUUCGAGAGUUAUCAAAAAUGGUGUCGGUGCAGGGGAAUGUUAGAUGAAAAUUCCAAUUGAGAAAUUAGAAUUUAAUUUUGUUUAUUUUUAGUAGAUUUGUUGUUUGGUAAGUUGUCUGAUUUGUAGGUUUAUGUAAUGAGUGACCAUGGAAGUGAACAACAAUAGUCAUUAUGGUCAAAACAAUAAUAUAAGUUAUUUGAACUAUAUUAACAUUAAUGUCAUUCAAAUCACGGGAGGAUUUCAGAUACCUCUCACUAUCGGCAGGCUUAUGUUUCACAUCACCGGAACUAUGAUACGAUUUCUCAAGAUGAAAGGAAAUUUUGGGGGCCUAGCUCAUAAGGAUCAUCAUGAAUAUCUUAGGAAAUUUAUGGAGUUAUGUGAACCCUUCGUGUUCAAGAAUAUAUAUCGAAAUUCCAUAAGGUUGAAAUUAUUCUCGUUUUCUUUAACGGGAGAGUCUACAAGACGGUUGGAAGAGUAGAUAGAUGAUUCAAUCACUUCAUGGGAAGAGAUAAAUGAUGCCUUCUUAGAAAGAUUCUUUCCACCCUUGAAGAUGGUUAAACUUUAAACCCGGAUCUCAAAUUUCAAACACAUUAGAGGUGAACCUUUACAUAAGACGUGGUUGAGGUUUAAGAAGUUGGUUCUGCAAUGUACAAAUGCAUGAGGUUUUAGACAAUUACAUGUUGCAAUACUUAUAUUGAAACCUUGAUUCGGUCAAUAAAGUGUGGCUUAUUAGUUAGUCCAAGGUAGAUUUAUGAGACAAUCGUAUGAUCUACUUUGUUACUUGAUGACAUGAUUAAGGUUAACUAAGCAUAGCAUACAAGAGAGGAACAAGUUCCCACUUUACAAGUGAGCUUAAGCAAAGGAAAAGUUUAAAAGGACCAUAAAAGAGAUUAAAGGAAAGAAAAAGUCUACCAAAAAUAAUGCACAUCCAAGGAAAGGAAAAAAAAAACAAUAACUGACAUUAGUUAAUAAUCAAGAGUAAUAGUAGUGAUAUAAGAAUGCAAGUCCCUUUCAUUGUUAUGGAACAACUCUAUUGCUUUCUUUAGACGUUUAAUUUUGUUAUUUUUUAUUUUCCAUUUUAAUUUUUUGUCUUAUAUUUUUUUUUUAUAAAUUUGCGAAUACACAAAUUGUAACACCUCAAAACUUAUCAGGCUAGAACACUAGAAAAAUGGGUGAACCACGACAGGGUUCGCGAAUUGUGAAUGGAACCACAGUCCAUCGAACUUUUAGAGGUUCACACCCAACCCAAGAAAGGUGGACCAAGGGACCCUUCACGGGCCGUGCACCACUACACGAGCCCUACAGGUUCUCGUGGUAGCAGGAUAGAAUGUCACAUCUGGGGAGCACCCCCUAGACAUAAUUGGCGUCAUCGUCCUCGGAGACGACUAAGACUAGCAUCUUAGCAUUCAUCAUUACAUUCAAUGGUUAAAAGUGCAGAAAAUUUAAAAUUUUUCAUCUACAUCUAGUUUAUGAGGUUUACAUAGGCGUAUCGCUUACACAAAAUAUAUUCGUAGCAAGUUUACAUAGACUCCUCGUAUAAGAAGAUUACAUAGUCUUCUACUUUUAUGGAACACACACACACACACACACACACAUAUAAGAUACACAAUAUAGUCUUAAAAGGAAUGUCUCAUAUUAAACCAUCUACGGAAUAGCACAAUAUGAGCAUAGCCCUUACACAAUGUAUAAAUGACACUUAGGGCUUACAAUAAUAUCUUGAAACAACAAGAGUGAAUGAUCUUCAUUAGACUAUAACAAUGCUACAUAGAUAGAGUAAGAAAUGACAUCAUCCUCGGAACUUGAGGACAUACUCACACUUGGAGAAAUGAUCCAAGCCUUCCUUCAAAAAUUGUCACGGACCCUUCAAAGAUCGGAACCUAAAAUGUUGGGGAAAAAGGGAGAAAUAGGGUUAGCACAUCAUUCGUACAAAUUAUGGAAACAUAUGCGCACACAACGUAGAAAUCAUGCUAAAAAGGGACAUUUGAUAAAACCAUGCCAUUUUACUUUUAAAAGCCUUAUGCACAACCCAAGAUCACAUAUAAGACAAUAAUAACAUAUUCCUUAUGAUACAAACAUAUUCAACACAAGAACAACCUAUUCAAGUUAAGCCAAGUCAUCAUGUACAUAGCAUAAUAGAAUUCAUAACCAAAGUAACUCUAACAUCAUGUCAUAACGACUAAGUAUAUUCAUGAGUCCAUAACAUUACAACAUAAGUAAAACCAUUAUACAUAAACCUUCACCAAUUCUACUUGUGUAAUGGUCAAGUGAAGCCCCAUAACCUCACUCAACCAAGCAAACUAGCCAAAGGAUCAUGAAUAAUAUCCAACUUCACAUAUCAUAUCAUUAUAAGUAUUCUUCCUCACAUUUAGCAAUAUAGAUCAUUAACAUGAAGAAUAAACAUAAGCAUAACAUUUAUCUCUUAAGAGCAUAACACAUAAGAAUCAAUUCCUAGGAUUUCCCUCAAGGGCAACUAGUGCAAUGUAUAGGUAGAGUCUCAUACCUCUACCUAGACUAAGUUAAACCCCUUAAGUCCUCCUAGUUAUAGUUCACUUUAUUACUUCAUUUUACAUUUGGGAACAUCUUUCCUUAAUCGACAUAGACCACAUGAGCUAAUGUGGAAUUCGUGUCAUGGAACCCCACACCGAAUGAAGGUGGACUACUUCCAAGGUAGUACCAAAAGAUGAAAAUAGCAUCGAUGUGGAUCCACUAGCUUGUAUUCCUAUGGGGACAACAUAGUUCAAAAACUAGGAGAUAUUUUUGGGACCCUCUUUAUGAUACAUGCAUUAUAGUCUCCAAUCUCAUAAGUUCAAUAGUGAACCUACCUUCCUUACUUCGGAUAGGACACUCCUCACUACUAUUUCAGUUAGUGCUAAUCUAGAGUCCCUUUUGAAAUAUCUUUUUUUUUAACAAUCAUAACUUAGUUUAAGUCAUAGGAGAAUAGCUUCUUAUAUAGUCAUGUCGUUAACUCAAUAAGAAUUGUAAGAGAAAUCUUUUCAAUACAACCCUUCACAUUUGAGAUUAGCACAUUAACAUCACCAUAAUAUAAUAAGGCACAUAGGUACUUCAUAACCAACCUUAUAUCAUUUCAUCUUAAGCAUAAUCUCAUAAUCAUAUAAUCAAUACAUUUCAAUUUCAUCAUCAUACCAAACCUACUUAAUCUAAUCACAAGAUAUACUUCAAUUGAACUUCAUCACCAAGUACAACCAUCAUAAUUGAAGUAGAGGUUUAGGAUAAUAAAGACUUACCUCAUCUCCUUUAAAAGCAAUCAUCAUGGUCUUACCAUCAACCAACCAACUUCAUCCAAUAAUAGGUAGUAACAUCAUCCAAUAAUAAUUAAUGCACUAACUAGGUCAAUUGCAUCAUCACUAUCCCAAUUAACUUCAAUUCAUAACCUAUGGUUAAGGGGAAAGGGUUCAUCCCAAAUUCUUCAAGAAAUAGAUCUAGUCCAAACAAUACAUUACCCUAGGCCGUCCAUGAACGAAUUAGAUAGAUUAAACAAGUCUAUUAAUCAAUACAUUCAUCAAUUCCCACCAAUUUAUGAGAAAGAUCCAAGAUUUGGGGGCAUUGGGGAAAGGACAUGAAUCAAACGAAAUCACCAUUAAUCAACAUCAAUUACUCAACAAUCUAUACUUAAUUAGUCAUAGGAAAUCGCGAUUAAUCAUAAUCAAUAAUCAAUUUCAAGUUUAGAAGAAGAUCCAUUUACUGAAGUUGUGGUUCGCCUUGAAAGAUUUAAGUCAGGGGUUGUUUGGUCUUUUUCACUAUGCGUUGAACACUUAAACAACAUCGUUUAACCCCUAAACUACAUAAUUUUGAUCAGUUUGAGCCUAGUAACUUAGUCAGAACUUACCCUAAGCGAUUCAUUCACCAAAAAAUCAUCAGACUUAAAGCAAAAAGGAAAAUUCAGGUGACAGCUUUCUCAAGAACACACCAACGUUUCUCCAAUUCCAGACCCAAAAUCAAAAGAUUUCUCCAUGAAUAUUGUCACUAGGUAUGUGGGACUUUACUAAUGGAUUCCUUUCAUCCACUAAGUUUCUAGAUUUCAGUCAGAAUCUUGAUUCCCUGAAUAUUGCUUAGACAUAGGGCUUCUAGAAUUUCAUGUAAUUGUUAUAGUGUAUUCUUAAUCAGAUUAUCAUGUUCUCUCAACAAUGUUGCUUAGUUCCUUGCAUGAAAUUUAAAACCCUAGUGAUGUAGAUUUGUUUAGUUCAUGAAUUACACUAGCUAGGACAGAUAAACAGAUAAACAUGUCUCAGUUUUCAAAUGUUUAAUUAUCAACACUUUAAUGUUGCAUUUCUAGUUAGCAUGUCAGAAUAUUGAGCUAUCCAAUAUAUUUCAGUUAUUUUGAAUUGAAAACAAUUCCUAUUGAGAGUAGGCUUAACACCGAGUUGGACUAGGGUCAGUCACUCUUAUACUCCAAAAAAUACGUGCCCCCGUAGGUUUAUAAGUCCUUUAUGUUGGGAAUCAUUUUAGUAUUCAUGCUAGUCAUGCAUGUAUAUCCCUAGCAAGGUAUAUUGGGUCCUUUCAAUGGGGCGUAUACAUUCGACUCCACGUUUAGCUCACGUGAUUUAAGGUCGGUUAAUAGUAGCUCUCACAGUGAGAUUCUAGUGUAUUUAUCAGGUUACCAAUUACAUUUUCAUUAGCUAGUCUCAGCAUGUUAUGCACUUGGUCAUUGCAUUCAGUUUAGCUCAUUUUCAGUAUAUCUCAGUAUCUUUAUCAUGUUCAGAUUAUACUAUUGAACAAUAUGCUUUGUUCAAUUAUAUGUUUGUUCAACAUUAUCCUAUCAUGCAUGCUCAAUACCUUUCAAGUAUUGAUGCAUACUCAAUGCUAUAUCUUUUCGUAAUGUAGGUUCAGGUCCUCAACGUUCAUAUCACGUGUACAUUGGUCCCCGAUCCAUAUUCAACAGUAUUAAUGGCGAUUUCUCAUUCUUUGAUGAUGAUAGACAUGUUCUUUUACAUUCAGACUUUUCAUUUUAAUUUCAGUUUUGCUAGAGUUAGCUGGGGCAUGUUCCAAAAUCUUUAGUCAGAUAGAGGCUUAUAUCAGACAUAGAUAUAAUCAACUUUGUUGUUUAAGUUAUAGUUCAGUAUCUCAAACUCUUGCUCAAUAUUUAUAUAUUCAAACUUAUUGUGUAUCCCCCAUUGGUUCAGCUUAUCUCAUGUUUUAAGCUUCAACAUAGUAUCUUUUGUUCAGUUGUGUAAGUAUGCUUAUGAUAUGUCAACUCAGGGUUAGCUUGGGGUAACUCGUGAUCCUAGGUCCCGUGCUUAUGUUCAGGGGAUAGCCACUGGGCUUGACUUAAAUAAUACUACAAAUUACAAUAAUUGAUAAUUUGAAAUAUUUAAUAGACAUAAAAAUCUAGUUGAUUCUCAAAAUUCUAUCAUGCCUCAAAUAACAUAAAUAACAUAUGUUAUUUGAAAAUGAAAUAAACUUACUAUAAAUCUCAAAAAUUGACAACUUAAAAAUAUUUUAAAGACAUAUAAAAAGAUCGAGAACCCUUAAAAUUCUGUCAACGUCAUAUAAAUUGGAAUAUGAAAAAUAACAUAUGUUAUUUAAGAAUUACAUAACAAGUACAAUAAAUUACAAUAAUUAAUAACUUAAAAUAUCUAUCCAACCAAAAAAAAAAAAAGAGGCUAAAAAAUAAAGUCUAAUUGACAUGAAAAAGAUAAAAAAAACUUAUCAAAUACCUUUAGUAAUUAAUUUUAUAAAAUAAGUUUUUUUUAUAUAAGUGGUACUACACUGGAUGCUAUAAUAAGAAAUAGAUUACCAACACAUACAAGUUUAAGAUUUUUUUUUUUUUUUUAACCAUUAUAAUUUAUGCAACUUAAGUGAAAGGUUAACUUUCUUUUGACCCUUUAACCUCUAGAUAGUAAUUUUGACCAAUAAAAUUAUGACCAUUUUAAUAAUGAAAUAAAUUUAUAUUUUACAUAUUUAACAAAAUAUUGUUGGCCCCUUUACUGGUUACUAGUAAUUGAUACGGGGGAAAUUGUUAAUUUGACGGUAUAUUUUUUUAUAUUAGUAAGUUUUAUAAUAUAAUUAUACAAGGUAAAAUUGGUCUUGUAGUUAUAUAUAUAUAUAUAUACAUAUAUAUAUAUAUAUAUAACAAAACUUGCAAAUGGUUGGUGAGAUCAGUUGGGGACUUGUCUCGUGUGAUUGGAAAGCAUGGGCCCAUUAGUGGAGAGAGUUCAAAACCAGUCAAAGCAAGCGUUGGUGCAGUGGGUGAACGGCGUAAGAGAAGCUUGCUGUCUCCAUCGUGUGAUCAUCUACUCUCUCAGGUACGAUCCCUUUUCAAUUACUCAAUCGUAUCUAUUCAUUGUUUUGAUUUUCCUUGUGCUUAUUUUGUAGGUCAAAACAGCUUGCCAUCCGUACCGGUCAGUGUUUUUUGUUGAAUGGAUUCAUCUUCUUAGGAAGGUUCUUUCUCGCUCUCUCUCAAAUUGUACUCUUGUUUUGGGUUGGGAAUCGGUUAUUAAUUCAAUGCUAGCUUUCUAGUGGUCUAUCAAUAAGGAAGACCAAGGGAGAUUCUGAUUCAGACCCCCCACAGAGACCAAAAAGUUUGGUGACUGUUAGCAAAGGCAGGGCCAUGCUUGCCCAAGGGUACACUAUUAGCCGGAAAAUUACAUAGGUCAAAUUUUGGUUUAAUAUAUAUACAUACAUAUAUAUAUAUACACAAAUAUUGACAUCUGUUGACACAAAGGCUUAGUCUAGUAAUUAAGGUGUUGUGAAAAUUCUUUAAGUGACGUGUUCAAGCCUUGCUAGCCUCAUAAUUAUAUUUGUUACUACAACCAUUGACACCCCUUAUGAAAAUUCUAGCUCCACCAUUGACUGUGAGGUACCCGUGGAAUACCCCGACACCAUUAUUAUUGAAAAACCAAAAAGUUGGGUUUCCUGAUAAUAAUUAUACAAUGAUUUUAUGCAAGUUUCUAAAGAGCUUCACUAUUGACUAUUCAUUAAAAGUAUUAUGCAUGUCCAUACGUGAGUUUUAGUAAAAUAUAUUAGUAGUUUGCUACCAGGGUUUAUAUUAUAAUGAAGUUGAUUUCGAUCGAUACACUCUAUUUGAAUAGCCCACUCAAUCUAAUUUGCUGAUUGACUGAAAUAUGAUGCUCACAAACAUGAUAAUGAUAAAAAAAGGUUUCCUCUUAGAAAAGUUGUGUGCUUGCAAUGUACAAAUGCAAGGGGAGAAAUCAAAAGGUCUUGAUGAUUCUAUGUGGUGACAAUACUAUAUAUUAGGUUUCAAAUGCACUUAUGUCACCUAGAUAUUUGAAAAUAUUAUAAACAUUGCAUGACGACAGGUAAACUGUUUCUCAAGUACUUAAUUGUUCAGUGGAAUUAUCUUUGAGAAUCAUAAUUUUGUUAUAUGGAAGGAAGUUGGGUUGCAAAGAAGGGAUCUGUAAAUGUAAGGGGCCUUAAUGUUAGUAAUAAGUGCAGAGUUAUCAAAUUAAUCAUGCAUAAAUUGAAGGCGGAUAUCUGGUGUUUUCAACAGGCAUACGUGGAAAGAAUCGACAGAAACAAUAAUAAAAAAUAUAUGCGGGAACAAAUGGGCAGAUUGAGCUUGUGUAGUUAAGGUUACACUCUAGUAUUACAGGAAAAAGUUCAUGGAAGGGCGUCGACUAUUAGUAUGCCGCCUAUUCUGUUUGAUGUGUGUAGUACUGGAAGGCUUUAUGGAGAAAAAUUUUCACUGGUAUUUAUGGUCCACAUAAUAACAAUAAGCGAAGGACUUAUGGAUUUCAAUUUACCAGCGGUGAAAAGCUUAUGGGAUAUCCCAUGGGUAAUAGGUGGAGAUUUUAAUGUAACAAGGUCUGGAGGUGAAGGAAAAAUUGCAGUUGUAGGUCAUGGGUAAUGUUGAUGUUCUGUAAUCUAAUACGAGCCAUCCUUGGUAGACUCACCAUAGUAAGGGGCAAGAUACAUGUGGUCAAGGGAUGGGAACAUUGACCAAGCCUCUCGCAUUGACAAAUUUCUCAGAUCAGGGGAGUGGAGUGAAGCCUUCAGAAGAAUAAAACUAAUCACCCUGCUCUAAGUUUUAUUAGAUCACAGGCCCAUCUUGCUGAAUAUAAAUUGGGAGACAAUCACAUCAUCUUUCAAAUUUACAAUAUGUGUUAACAAGUAGAUGGUUUUAUUGAUAAAGUAGAAUACUAGAGUUAUAAUGUAAAAUGGCAGUCUUGACUACAUUUUAGUGCAGAAUGUUUAAAAAGGGAUAUCAAGGCUUGGGGAAUAAGGAGAUAUUUGGUAGAAUUGAAAAAAGAAUGGAUUAUGAACCUGUUCGGAUUGACUUAUUUUAGAUGCUUUUAAGCAGUUUUUAGUGUUUGAAUAACAUAAAAUAAGUUUUUAUAAGCACUUGUAGUUGAGACAAAAUAAGAAAAAAUAAGCCAGUUCUAAAUUAUGACUUUUGGCUUAUAAGUCAAUCCAAACAGGCUUUUAUGUUUGGUAAUUUUCUGGAACUGUAAAUAUGGGUUCACUACUACCCUUGUGCUAAAAGAUUAAUAGUAUAUCGUACCUCUCCCAAAACUAAAUAAAUAAUAAUUUUGGGGAGCUUUGCUGUAAUUGACAGUAUUGCUGAAAAUAGGCCUCUAACACAGCAGGAGAAACAUGAGAAAAUCACACUUCCCUUUGAACUUCAAGAAUUAGGCAAAAGAAGAAGAAAAUCAUGGAGACAAAAGUUUACAUGCCUUUAGUUGAAAGAAGGGGAUAAGGUCAUGGAGUUCUGAAGAAAUUCACGUGGGAGGUUCGAAUAUCACCUCUCUGAAGUAACAAAACAGCUUGUACGCUGGAUCUUGGAAUAUACACUUGUCAAAUGGUAUCAUUCAAUAUUAUAUAUGUUUCCCCCACGAAUUAUGUACAUAGGUACAUUUGAUGAAAUUUUCGACAAAGCGGUGUCGGACGACACCACUUAACUCAAUGUGCAUCAACCCUGACAUUUUGAGUAUGCUCUGAUAUGAGAAUGAAUGACAUUGUUUUCUUUCAUCAUGUUAUAGUUUUUAUGCUGGCUUAUAAAAAUCAAUUUAAGAUGCACAAUUUAGUGUUAACCUUGGGAUAUAUAAUAUAUUUUCCAUUUGCAGUAUCUUUGUUCUGAAAUCAGUUAUCAUCCCUGCAUUGGAAUGGAUAUUACCUGGUCAUAGCCGACUAAUCAAUUCACAACAGCCAUGUUCAUUUAGCAGUAUUUUGGAGUUUUAUCGAUUCUUACGCGUUGGACUUGUACAACUUAUAUAUGUGAGUAUACUCUUCUCAAUGUGAGCCUAGUGACCUCUUCAUUAAUCACGUGAUCAACAUGGAUUCUUUUUCCGUUUUAGAUCAUUUUUUCUAUGAAAAAAUUGAAAAUGUAGUUGCCUACUUUUGUUAACUAUGUUGCUCGGACUCUUCAAAUAUGCCAACCGGUACGUGUCGGAUUCGCCAAAAGUAGUGUAUCUUUGAAGAAUCCGAGACGGGUGUGGCAUCAAAAGUCAAGAGUCCACGCAACUAGUUGUGUAGACAUGCUAAUUAAAUUUACCAGAAGCUUAACAAAACCCAAAUCUGUGCUUAGAGGAAUGAAGAACUCUUUACUGAUAUCUGUGCUACCCAAGUGUGAACUGGAUUAGAUUAAAUUGACAUCCUUUACGUACUAAAUUUCACUACAGAAUUUAGAUGGAUGCGGUUUGAGUUCAAAGACGAAAUUUACGGUGUAUUUUCUUUGGGAAAUCUAAACAUUUUAAUAGCAGUAUAUUGUUGGAGCUCCACUCCAGUGAAGGAAGACUGAAUCCGGAUACAAGUCUUGAUCAGUCCUCUAAUGGCUUAUAGCAGCUGCGGAGGUGUAAAUAUUUUUUGUUAUAUUAAAAGCAUGAACUACCUACUUAGAAGUUAUAUUACCUAAACACCCUUAUAAAUAAUUAAAUACCUUAAUCGUCCCAAAUAUUCUAAUUAAAACCCCAAGAAAAUUACCAUCACAAAUCACAACUCUUCAUGAUUAACCAAACCUGUUAGGCUCUCCAGAGGUUUGGUACGUCGUCACAACCACACCAUACGGAUAAUUCAAAGACAUGAAAAAGUGCCCUUUCUUGGAAAAAAAAAUACAUAGACAAAUAGGACUCAAAUUUCUUCCAGAUGGAGGAUCUAUUUAGUAUAAUAAAAUUUAAACCCUCUAGAUAUUAAUAUGUUGAGAGAAACAGGAUUUACAAAGCAAAUUAUAUUAAAUCCAUGAUCUGUGCAAACAAAAGAAGAAAAUGAAGAGGCACAAACACUUCAAUGCAUUAACCAUCACAUACAUGUUAAAAAUAAGAAUUUUUAAGUUUUCAUGCUGAUUUUGCGUGAUAUUGGUGGAAUAUCAUUUAUCAUAAUAAUAAUAUUGACUACAGGUUGGCAGAAUACAAUACCAAAGCCAUAUCAAUGAGAAAGUGACACUAAAUUGGAGUCUACUUUUUCUACUCAUUCUUUAAUUUUUCUGCACUAUGUGAUUUAUAAAAUGAGAAACUACAUUUAUUAUGGUAUAUACUUAUUGUUUGAUGAUCUCAUAUUGUAUAUAUUAAAUUAUAUCCAUGAUUAGGAGUAACAUAUGCUUGAGGAUACUUUUUUAUUCGUUUGACCAAAUAAAAACAUUCAAUUGAUAUAAAAACAUUCAGUUGAUAUACAAUUUGGUAGCUUAACGGAUGUGAAAUUAUUUUCAAGGUUAUAAAAACAUGAAAUAGACUUACAUUAAUACUUGUCAAUUAUCUUAAGAUCACGAAAAUGAUAUAUAUGAGUACUUUUCAUGAAUGGAAAAAUGGAUUAGAAAGUUUUUUUUAGUAAUUUGAGAUACAUGAAAAUACUUCUUAUUAUUAGUAUAUUAUUUAGAAUUUUAUUGAAGGUUGAUAGACCUUUUACAUGUACUUGAUGUUCUCUAAUGAGAAGAAUAACAUGUUAUUAUUAUCAACAUUAUACGUAGCAACAAUAAAACAAAGAGUUACCCAUGUACAUAUAUGACACUUGAAUAUUUUAAAAUAUGGGGUGUUUGACUUAUGAUUAAUUAUGUGUUCGGUAUGAUGGAAUAUAUAUGCUUUGCCAUGAAAAAUGAUUUCUUGAAAAAUAUUGUGUUUGGUAAGUAAAAAAUAUUAUUUUCAAAAUAUUUGUAUACAAUCUAAACAAUUAUUAUGGGAUGUAGGGAUGAAGAUGAGGUGUGUUUGAGGGAGGGGAAGACACCUAACUUAUAUUUUUGUUCUUUUUUUGGGUUUAGGCGUAAAUUAUUUGAACAAAAAUUAUCCCUAUUUGAAACUGACUAUGCUUUGAGAAAUUGACAUAUGUCGAGUUAGAACAGAAAAAUGGAUUUUUCCCUUAAAAAUAUAAAUAAUUAGGGUGAGUCGUGUUAUUCUAUUUUUUUCUUUACUAAUUUGAUAGAUAUUUAAAAUAUUGCAGUUUUCUGACAUGGGAUUGAGUUCCCACAUCUUCCUUAUUUGCACACCUUUUGUAGUCAUUCAUUAAAAAUUUCACGCUUCAGAAUUGAUCUAUGGGCAAUAACAUUUACUUGUACUCUGAAUAGCCUAAAUAGAAUAUGUUAUAAUGAUUAUAAAUAGAUUGAAAAAAAUAAAUUAACAUGAUAGUGGGGAAUAAAGGUGAAAAUUAGAAGUCAAUAUCAAAUGAGUUAACUCAGGUGUGUUACUUUUCCAUUUUCAAGUGUUCAUCUCUACAUGCUGAGGGUGGGUAAGGGGUGGUGGUGGGGUGGGGGGCGUAAAACCAAAGUUAAUGCUAAUAUGCUAAUAAUCAUGACAAGCUGCUGAAGAAGACGAAGGUCUCAUUACUCACUGGUGUUUGCCUAAUAUGGCUAGCUAAUUUAUACAAAAAAUCGUGUUCAGUGUUUCAUCUGUAUUAUGCACUGGUGUUUGCCUAAUAUCUCUGUUUCAUCGUAACUUUCAGGUUUUGUGGUUUUACCCCUUGUACAUAUUCAGCCUUAUUCUCAGCAAUAUCUGGUAAUAGUUUCCUUUACCUUUUCAUAUAUAUAUAUAUAUAUAUAUAUAGCCUUCUCAUUUUGGGUCAAUACUACCAAAAUAUUUAGAGAACGUAUAUCACAUUGAGAUUUAUCUUAGGCGUAUUUAGCCUUCAAUAGAGGCAGAGCCAGGAUAUUACAUUGAGUUUGUGGGUUCUUGAUUCUAGAAAAGACGGUUCACUAGGUUCUUGAUAAAUUAUUCAUAUAUAUUAAGUGAUUUUUAAAUACAAAUACACAGAAACUAUAGACGCCCCUGCAUGUCAAGGUCUCUAAAGUUGCACUUAAGAUUGCCUUAGUGUCUGGGAGGGGUUAUAGUAGUGUCAAUAAUCAAUCUAUCUUCAAUUCAAGAUAGUGGAGUCAGUUAUAUGAACCCUCUGUGUCCAUCAUAUUCUAUUUAAAUCCAAUUUAUUUCAAUAGUAAAUAAUUUGUGUUGCGACACAAAUAGGAUUUCUAUAAACUCACCGUUGAUAGCUACAUGAAAAUACUAGUAUCUAACCUAAAAUAAAGGACUCUUGAAGGGUAAGCGAUCAAUAUGUAGAAUAUCCUUUAGCAAAAAAGAACAAACCAAGAUUCGUGAUUGAGCAUGUAAAGGUAUAAAAAUAUGCGAUCACGACCAUGGUAAGCAUACAUGAACAUCCAUGUUUACUAUGCAUACAUUCUUACUUGAGCAUGUAAAGGUAUAAAUAUGUGAUCACGACCAAGGUUAGCGUACAUCAACAUCCAUGUUUACAAUGCAUACAUUCUUACUUAGGACACUGUCUAGAUCUUCUAUGUUUGAAACGAUUUAUUCCUCCGGUGUUUUAACUCAGGUACAAUGAUAUUGCUAAAUAUGGGUUUUUUGCUUUGGAGAAUUAUGGGGAUCAUGAUACAAAGUUAUCUGAUCAAAAGGAGCCCCAAACUUCGCAAAACACCGUUCAAAGGGAAAAAUCAACUGAUCUUGAAGGGUAUUGUUCUGUUUUUCUCUGGUUAAUGUUGUACACUACAGCAAUAUUUUCUUGCUUAAAACAAUAUGUUCCAUACAGAGCUAUGUGUCUUCACAGUUGUGAGAGUUCUAUUUUGCUGUUUAUCUUAUGCAGGGUUAUGAUCAGUAUAGCGGAGCAGCUUUAUUCGGUCCUCUUGCUGACUUUCUUCUUGAUGGAGGUGAUCCUUUUUUUUUCUCUUUUCGAAUGAGGUGAACUGCUUUACAUGUCCUUGCUUAUCCGUCUCCUCAAUUUCUAACUUCAAAGUCCAUUGGUUCUCAAUACUGUGCAGGUUUAUGUUACUGGAUUUAUCCCCUACAUAGGAAAAGCUCUAAAUUUUAUGCUUCUGUCAUGGUUGUAUGCAUACUAUUGUUUUGAGUAAGUGCUUCUUUUUAGCUUGAUAUUGCUAGUAAGUUGAUAUGGAUGUUCAUUAAAAAUUGCAUAUCUUUCCAGGUAUAAGUGGAAUCUGUCUGGACUAAGCUUAGACAAGAGGCUGGACUUCUUUGAAUCAAACUGGGCAUUUUUUGCUGGUUUUGGUACUAUAUUUCUUUAUAUCGAUUUCUAUUCUUUGCAAUGGUUUGUUUUAUCAGUUUAUGUUCAAAGAUAUGAUGUAGUUGUCUUAGUCUCUUAGAAACCUCAUGAGCGCUCUUUGUCAUUCCCAAAUUUUUACAUUAUUUUCCUGAGAUUGGUAUCUGGGACUUAAUUGCUUGUGAACUCAUUAACACAAAAUUGACCUUUUGGUGUCGAAUAACAUUCUGAUAGUUGUCAGCUCCUGUUUAUAUCAUUAGUAAACAUUUAAAAAGAGAAGUUCUCCUGAGUCAAAUCAACAAUUUGAGUGGUCCUGCUGUCACAUUGUCGUUUAGAGUUUCUAUUUUUUUCUUAGAUCUUCUGUGACAUUUUUCCGUUUCAACACCAAGUAGUGCUGAACAUUUUCAGAAUUUUCUUUUAAGUUACAUGGAUCAUCUUUCUUGCAAAAGUUAAUAUAUCUUUUAACUAUCCAGGAAAUCCAUGUGUACUGGCAAUGUUUCUUUUCUCUCCACUAGUGAGCUGUGGGUUUCUGGCUAUACUGUUUCCACUGGUAAAUACAAGUUCCAAUUCCUGUUAUUUCUUGUCUAAUUCUUUUGCUUAUAACAAGGUUUGCAUGAUGAUGAUUAAAAUUGUAAGCUGUUAUUUGUUAUUUUUACUCUUUCUGUAUCUGCUCGCAACUUUCUACCUUUUUGCAUGAAUCUUACUGCAUCAUGUCAUCAUAGGAGGUGAUGAACGCAAAAUCCUUGUGUGCUUUACUUUUGACUGGGAAAGGAAUAAAAAAUGGAAAUUUUGAAGAACUGCUAGAGAACUCCCAACACACAGGAAAAAGUGCAUCCAAAAUUGCUUCUUAUAGUACUUGUUGAGGGUCAUAGCUUUUGGUUAGCUGUCUGAAGAUAGUUUCAAUUGCGAAACAUGCAGAAAUAUGGAUCAUAUGACAAGUUCUAGUUUUGGAAUAAUUUCUUAAAUUAGGUUUUGAACUCUACAAUUUCUUAAAUGGAGAAGAGUAGAGAGGCAGGCCCAUUAACCAUCGGGUUUCAAACUGUACGCCACUGCUCUUUGAUGAUUUCUCAGUUAUCCGAAUUUUUCUAAUUAUGUGCCCCAACUUUUGCUAACAUAAUCGUUGGCUAGAUGAGCGGCUAUAUGAGUUAUAACCUCCCAUCAGCUGCUGGAACUUUUUUUUAAAAAAAAAUUCUCUACCAAGAUCAUAGUCUCUGUUGCCAUAUGAGAAUUAUAAGAGAAAUAGUAUUAUAUACUAUCACAUUGAUACGCUAUUUAUAGACACUACAGUAGACUCCUUUUCCAACUAGGACACUACAUUACAUUCCAUUUACAAAUAGGACAUUCCCUUCCCUUCCCUUCCCUUCCCUAGUAGGAUUUCAUAUACUAUUCUUGUCACUACUCCUAUUCUAACAGAUUUCUCGAAUAGGUUGAAGAGGUAUCUUCCUAGUCUUCGACACAAGAAAGGGGUGUAGAAAAAUCCUUUUUUCUUGUGUCGAAACGAAAGAGUAAUGAUUCUUGAUCCUGUUUGUUAAAAAUUCCUAGUCUUGGUUUCAAUUUUUCCAGAUGUAUCAGAAACCCUACACCUACCCCCUUACAUAUAAUAUAUGAAUUGGUGGACAAACAAAACAAAAAAGAGAGGAAAUUUUAUUAAUUAAAUAAAACUUCUUCAAUCAACUUAUCUUAUAAAAAAUUUGAUGAUGAAAUAGGAAAACAAUAAAAAAUCAAUAGAGUAAUGUAAUAUAGAGAGUAAGGUUCUACAUUAGAUUAGUAUAGAAAGGAUUUGCACGCUAUCUAAUAUAUGAUAGCAGCCAAGAAAUUGAGUUCUUCCUUCUUUCUUCCAACUUUGAAAGUACCGAUAGAUACUAUCAUAUAAAAAGAAGAGGUGGUCUGACUAACUCAAUGAAGUGAAUUUGGGCCUUUUUUAUUUAAUUCCGGAAUUAUUCAAUGUUCUGUUUAAAAUCGAAAUGUUAGCUCUUGACACUUUUGAGCUGGAUGUGAUGUACUGCAUAGGAAGAAAGGAAACCUUUUUGAGUCACCUAAUAAAUUUUGCUUAGGAACAUACCUCUGCAAUUCUUAAAAGUGUUUCUUAACAUGAAGUUGAUGUAAAUGUUUUCUUUUAAGCUUCUUUUUCAAGUAUUUUUCUUGUCUCAUAGUGCAUUAAAUUCAUGCUCAUUAUAAGCCUGUUGUAUCCCAACAGGCUAGAUUUAGAUAAAUGGUCGAAGCUUUGUUGCAUCCCCUUUCCUAAUAAUGCGUUUUUCCUCUUUCCAAUAGUGAUACGGGAGAGACUGGUUCCAAAAUAUACUUAAACACUUGGGAGGGGGUAUUCAUUUUAUGAUUCUAACUGAGCCACAAAUUAUCUUGCAUAUGUACAUGCUUGAGAAAACUCUCUGUUACUAGUUUCAUGUUUCUUUGAUACAUAUGAUUUAAGUUAGUAUCAGCUAUGAUGGUUAUGCUUGUGUUUUGGCUUUCACUAUGCUUGAAUUCUCUUGCCGUCUGUAUAUGAAUGUAGCUUAUAGAAGGAUGCAAUACUUCAGGGCUAAUAUGAAUAUAAUUCAUGUUAUGAUUCUAAAUCGCCACAAAUUAGCUUGCAUAUGUACAUUCUUGAGAAAAUUAUCUGCUCAUGGUUUCAUGUUUCUUUGAUUCAUACAAUUUAAGUUAGUAUCAGCUAUGAUGGUUAUGCUUGUCCCUGUAGGUUCUUGUCUCAUGCUAACUGUUAUCUCCCGUAGUUUGUUUUGACCGCAACAGGCUCGGAAGCUGACAAAAUUGUUGCCUUACCUAGAAGAAAAUGGAGAGGUGCUGAAUUAGGAAGGGUACCAAUAUUUUUCAUUGCCGAUUACAUGUCGUAAGUUUUCUGGAUUUUGCCUUUUGGAUGUUUUGGAUAUUCUUGUUAGUAUUGAUGUUGUAACUUUUAAACUAUAAUAUAUGUCGAUUGGGUGUCAUUAUUGAAUUUUGGUAAUCUUGUCAUCAUCAUCUUGUUGGAAGACAUUCCAUACCAAUAUUUCUCAAAUCACCAAUACCAAUGCCAGAGCUCCAUAUAAUUAAGCUCCUAAAUCAGUUACAGCAGUAUUGUUGCAGUCAAGGUGGGUUUAUAGUGGUUGAAGGCCAGUGGUCCUGAGGAAAAGGUAAAAUGUUGUAGGAAAGUUAAAGGCGUCAGAGGGAUUGCCUGAAUGGGGUGGUUUGUAUGGAAAAGUUUUCUCUGUUUCUUUUUGUGAGUUUUUUUUUUACUAACAAUUUUAUUCAUCUUCCAAAACACACCAUAACAGUUGAUUUGAGGCAGAAGAAACACAGUCCAAUUCUUCCCUCCGUGUGGAAUAUGGGAUGAUCUACCUAUUACAGUUGAGAUGAAAAGGUAAAUGCCUAAGGUAGGUAUUUAGUGUGACUAAUCCCAUUAUACACAUAUAUGGGAGGAUCCUAUAUAUGAAUUUGUCACGGCGGAUUGAAAGUAAAAUCCUUCUUCAUUCUGUUGGAGACUCUUAUAAUCGGAAGACUCCAACAAUCAGUUGUUAUGAGCCCUUUGAUUUGGGAGGGGAGUUCACCACUCUUAGAGUAUAAAAUGUUGGUGUUGUACUUGUGACUGAGAGAAGCUAGCUUGUCGGCCACUUGAUUAAUCUCCCUAUAGCAAUGUGUUAUAGAGUAUUCACUUGGAUUUAAUAGGUCCUGCAGCCUUUUGACUUCAUUUGCUAUUGUCCAAGGUGGUGUAGACUUCUUCUUGAUGCAAUCCACCAACAACUUGGUAUCACUCUCUGCCUGCACAUUUUGGUAGCCAUUGUUUUUGCACCACGACAUUCCAAAGUGUAAAGCUACUGCUUCCGCCCAGUUGUUAGUGCCUUGUCCUAAUUCCAAUGAGAAAGCUAUGAUGAGUUUGCCUUCGUGGUCUCUCACAAUACCUCCUCCUCCACAGCUACCGUUCCUGCAACUACCAUCAGUGUUAAGUUUAACAAAAAAGAGAGAAGGUUUGUUCCACUUGAUGAAAGUAAUUUCUUAAAAGUAAACAUUGCUUGAAAUGAUUUUUAAGACCUCCUCCCAACUAGCUUUCAUCUUAUUAGAGCCUAAGAAGUGGUUUACUAGUUGGGAAAUAUUGAAAGCAAUCUGAGAAAUGGAUUUGUUCACAUUUAUCUUUUGUGAGCCAUACUUGGCCUCACAUCUUGAUUUCCAAAUCUCCCAUAUGGUAAGAGCAGGGAGAUAUUUGACAAUGAUACUAUACACUGGAUUAGACGUAUUUUGUCUCCACCAAUUGAUUAAGAGUUGUCUGAGGAGUAUGUCCUUGGAAGGAAUUCCAAAUGUACCACAAAUGACUUUCCAGACAUCUAGAGCAUAAUUUCCCCUGCAAAAAAGAUGGUCAGUAGAUUCAAAAGUAGAGAUCCUACAGCAACAAGUAGUUUUAAUAGUGAUUCCCAUUUUAACUACUCUAGCAUCAGUGGGGAGCCCAUCUCUCAAAGCCCUCCAAACGAUAAAGUUCAUUUUGAGGGGACAGCUUUUUGCCAAGUCAUUGAAUCAAUCCAAUUUUUUUGCUUUUUUUGGCUUAAAAGUUGCCAAGCAGAAGCAAUAGUGAAAAUUCCUCUUGUGUUCAUAGUCCAAAUUGCUCUAUAAAGGAUAUUUUCCCUAAUAACAAUUAUCAUGGAGUUGAUCUUGAUUCUAACAUAAUCAGGUAGAUAAAUAUCCCAGCCAUCCCAAUUUCUAUGGUUGUCUAGAAUAGCAUCUUUGAGCUUUAGCAUUCUUGGUUUACUACCAGGAGGAAGAUAUUUCCACAAUGGGCCUAAUUCUGACCAAUUAUCAUACCCAGCAUCGAUAUCACCCUUACCAAUCUUCCAAAAGAUACACGUAUCUACUUGGCUCUUGAUUUUACAAAUUGCAUUCCAAGCUUGAGAUUGACCAGAACACCAUACCUUGAUCUUACUGGUUUUAUUCUUUGGCAAUAUUUCGCCCAAAAGAAAUCUUUCCAUUGAGAGUUUCCGACCUUGAUGUUCCACCAUUGCUUAGUAGUGAAGGCAUUGCACGUAUCUUGAAGGCAUUGUUUAGUAGUGUAUUCUUGUGAGUAUUGUGAGAGUGAGAAUUGGUGGAUGAAGUAGCAGGCUGAGACAUGGUUACAAUGUUUGACCAAAAAUCCUGCAAUCCACAUUUCUGCCCUUUUUUCUUCUUCUGCAAGGGCAGGAUGCUCCCUAUCUUCCAUCUCUGAAGAGUUGAUCUGAAAGUGAAUACUCGAACCUUCUUCUUUCUGGAAUUCGAGAAACAACUGUACUUACAAGUUACAAGCAAGCAUAGGAACGCUAGAGUCAUAAUUUUCUCAUGCCAGCUAUUCUGCUUUCAGCCCGAGUCAUACUGGUUACCUCUUUAUGUGUUAAAACUAAUUCUGUUUGUUGUCUUCUUUUGCAGAAUGCGAGUCUUAAAAUUAUUUUCUUCAAAAUCGCACCAGCAAAUUAAUGUGAACAAGGCACUCUAAAAUAGAAUGAACAUGUCUGAUCUACUCCCAACGCUCCAUAUCCAUGCAUAACCUCUGUAUCUUAUUUAUGAAAUUUAUAUUUGUAUGGGUCAACGAUGUUCCUAAUUUAUCCACGAUCACAAUAUGAACAUGUGCUCGUAAUUUAUCAUUUUUUUGGGAAGAGAGGAAGAAGUAAAUCCAGAUUUGCUGCUAUCACAAAUGGAAGAUAGCAACUUAUGGUGAUUCCUUCUGUAUCUUAUGUACAGAGUAAUUUGUAACUGGUUUGGUCAUUCUUUCAUAUGAACAUAUCUCUAUGUAUUAAGUUAUUAAUUUUGUCAUAGCUGAUUAAUUUUUUGUCACACGAACACUUUAAUUUAUGGUUUAAUCAUAUUAUUCUCAUAUAUUACUUAUCCUCAAGUAGGGUGUACAUGACCAGGUUGAUUAAGUUUUUAUAUCAAACCAAACUAAUAAAAUUCGGAUUUUUCAACCUUGGGUUGGUCGGGUUUUUCAAAUACCAAAUCAAACCAUUUUGUCGAACUUUUAAAUUUAUAAAUCAAAUCAAACUAAUAAACCUCUAAUUUUUUCAGAUUUUUGGAUUUUUUCGGUUAAGUUUGCAUACUAACAUAUAAUUAAUUUGUGCUCCAAAUAUUUCUUUAGUCCAACCAAAAUACAAUUAUCUAAUGUGUUUUUUUUAAGUAAAUAACAAUAUGAGAUGAGUAUUGAUGAUACAAAAAUAUUUAUCAAAAAAUAAUAAUGAAAUUAUCAUAGAAAAUAAAUGUUGUAAAGUCAUAACUAAAAUAACCAUAACUUAAAAGUACUAAGUCAUACUAAAAUAAGUUUAAUAAAUAUUGAUUACAUUACUAAAUAUUCAAGGAAAAUUAAAAUUAAAUGACAUAUUUUAAUCGUCUAAACCAAUGUAAAAUUAAAGAAUAUAUAUUCAAUAUUAUUGUCAUUAUUAGCGUUGAAUUGAUUUCAUUUUUACAGUAGUAUUAAUUUGAUUUUGAUUAAAGUUUUAUUAUAAUUAUCAAUAUGUAUGUACUAUAAUCUCUAUUAGAUCAUUUCGAAUUCUAAAUUUUAAACAUGAAAUAGUAUAAUAAAAGAUAAAAACUAUGAAAUCUAUAAGAAAUAUUCUAAAAUUAUAUCAAAUCAGAUAUUUUUAUGUAUACAAUAAAAUUUUAAAAUUGCAUAUAUAAUGUCGGGUUGAUUUGGUCUCGAAUUAUUUUUUUUUGUUAAAACCAAUUCAAUCCAUAUAUAGUCGGAUUUUUUUUUCCAAUAUCAAAUCAAGUCAAACUAAACUACUAGUCAACUUUUUCCAAUUUAACUCAAUUUUCGAUUCAAUUUUAUACACGCCUAUCUUCAAGUAUAUGUUAUUUAACACUAUUCCCUUUACAGAACUUCAAACCACACUCCAAAGUAGAGAUGGGGUCAUGAAUUCUUUUGCUGCUAUACUUAAAAAUAUUCAUCACGUAUUUAAAGAUUGUUAUUUUUUUUUUGUAAUUAAUAUAAUGAAAGAAGAAAAAUAAUCUCCCUGCUUAUGAGUGAAAAAUAAUUUCCUUACCGCAAUUAUACUUUCUAUUACUUGUUUCAAUUAAAACAUUAUUAUUUAUUUAUCUUUGGCAAUCAAGAAUUUCAACGACAUUUAUCAAGUUCAUGAUAUUGUUAUUAAUCUUUACAAUAUAUUUAUAUUACGUUUUAUAAAAGUCACAACUUUUUACAUAAGUAAAAAUUUUUGAUGUAAAAGUCACAACUCUUCUAUCACGCUCCGAGCCUACACCCUGGUCGUGGCCGGCACUAUGAUACUCGAGGUUUAAUGGAAUAGAUCCUUUCAAGAUGGACCGAUUUUUUUAUAUUGAUAGAGAAACAAUGGUUUCUGAGUCAUUCAACACGAGCAAAAUACUUGAAUAUUUAAUUGUGCAGAAAAAAAACAAGAAGUAGCAGUUCAGAAUUCUCGUUAUUUUAAAACGAGAGGAAAUCCCUCAAGAAAGGAUAGUGUGAAAGAAUACUCUUGUGCCUUAUCGAAAAGGUGAAAACUCAUCGAUAAGGCACAAAAGCAUUAUGGCCAAGUUCUAUAAGCAAUAUGAAAUUUCUAGAACGUUCACACUAUCCUUUCUAGAGUAUUCGUUCACAAAAGCAUUAUGGCCAUAUUCCUAGAAGUUGUAAUUCGUCAUAAAAAUUGUAACUCUUCAUAAAAGUCACAUCUUAUCAUGAAAAGAGAACUAUUUUUGAGUCACUAUUCAUAAAAAUCGCAACUCUUCAUAAAAGUCAUAGCUAUUCAUAAAAGCCACAUCUCUUCAUGAAAGGGGAAGAUUAUUUUUGAAAAUAAUCAAAAUUUAAAAGGAAAUUCUAGCUUGUGGUGACGCCACGUAGGCGGGCCUAGGAUUCCCUUUUAUAUAAAUAUAUGAUAUGAUUGCUUAAAUAUAAUUUUAAAAAAACUUUUUACUAUACAUAAAGAAAGACUUUUCUUCAUAAAAAAUUACUACUACUUAUAGAGGGGUGAAUAAAGUUCUUCAAAUUGGGAGAACUACUAUUCACCUCUCUAUUUCAUUAUUUACUAUAAAGAAAGACUUUUCUUCAUAAAAAAUUAUUACUACUUAUAGAGGGGUGAAUAAAGUUCUUCAAAUUGGGAGAACUACUAUUAAUCUCUCUAUUUCAUUAUUUAACAUUAUAUGUAUUAUUUUAUAAUGAGCAUAUUAUUCACAUAUAAUGCAAUUAAUUAAAUAUCUAAUAUUUAUAUUUCUUUUUAAAUAUAAUGUAAUAUUUUAAAAAAUAUAUUAUUCAAUAUUUUCACCUCAAAGUGAUGAUAUUUUAAUUUCUUUUAAAAAAGUUUUGCACUAAUAUAAUUGAAAAAUCUAUAAUCUGAACAAUUUUUAGCUGAACAUAAAAAAAAAGAAGAAGAAAAGGAACAAAAAUGCUCAUUUUUAUGCAUUAAUAGAGCAUUUAUGGAAGCAACAUCAUAAUCUUGAAAGUUGAUUAAUGUAAUUGUAUUUCAUUAAUGAUUUCUUUUAUUUCAAUUGUCCAAUAAUUUGUAUAUUAUAGAUCUAGAAAAUUCACACUAUAAAAGCCCUUUUAACCUUCCUCUACCAAAACACACAACUCUAGAAAUUUCUUUAAACAUUUGAGUUUAUCAAAUUCUAUAAGCAAUAUGGCCAAGUUUUUGAACUCUAUCAUUUUCUUCUUUCUCAUCAUUUCAGGUUUGUUUUUUUUCUUUUUAAAAAAAUUUAAUUAUUAUCCAAAUUGUUUUUUUAUUUUUAUGGUUGUGUUUAUGAUAAAAGAUAACAGUGCUAAUAUUUUUGAUAAAAUUUUUAAAAUGACAAUUUUUAGAAUUUAGUUGAAAAAUAGCAACAAAUUAAAAAAACCAUUAAAAAUAGUCUCUCUUUCUUUUGGGAAUUCAUGACUUUAUCAUAAAAAUAGAGAAAGUGAAAUUCCAUCAUAGUUUUUUGGAUGAAAUUUCAGAAUUUGCAAUGAAGUUUUACUCAUUGCUAUCAUGGAUUUCAAAAACCAUGACAUUAUAUGCAUAUAAAUCUUAAUUCUUCACUUGUAAGGUUGAAACAUUGUUAUGGUGUUUUCGCAUCAAAAGUUAUACCUAACACAUAAUUUUUAGUAUCUUUUUUUUUUUUUGAUGUAGUUGCAAUGACAAGUACACAAGUGAAAGCCCAACAAAGAUGUUCUGAAACUUUGAAGGCCAGUGAUUGCACCAUGGCUGAGUGUCAAAGUGAAUGUUUACAAAAACAUAAUGGAAAUGGAGUUUGCACUGGUGGAAAUCAAGGCCCAUUAAGUUGUGUUUGUGUUUACAAUUGUUAGCUUCAAUAUUUCGAACUCUCCCUUUUUAUAAAAAAUAUUGAGUUAUCAAUAAAAUAUCAAUCAAUCAUUUCCGUAAGAAUUGUUCCAUUCAUUCUUACAUCAUACCUUUCUUUCAAGUAUGUAUGCGUGUGUAUGUAUGUAUGUGUGUAUAUAUAUAGUUUUGUCUUGUUUAUUAUUUCGUCAAAUCUUAGUUGCAACUGAAAAGAACAUAAUUAACCAUAUUAAUUUUGAUCGACAAUUUUAAAUUGGGGAUGAAAAUUAGAUGAAGCUCAGGUAGAAUUGAAACUACAAAACAAAAAUGAAGGGAGACAGAACGCUAGGGCCAUAAUGAUGGAAAAAGAAGAAAAAUGGAUCCAAAAUCCUCCGAAAACACCUAGCAAUUUUUUCAUCCGUAUUGAAUGAUGCUCCUUGAGAAAACCAAUCCAAAUUUACUACUAUUUUAAUGUAAAUAGAUGAUAAGUCAACAAAUCCAGUAACUCCUGUGCUCAAACGCUUCAUCUGUCUGCGCAACAAAUAACCCAAGUUUCUAGAGGAACUCGAGAAAUGUGUUUAAAUGUGACAAAAAAAUUUCAAAACUAAGAAAACGUUGUACAAGUUAAUUAUUUGAGUAAAGGUAAAAAUUAGAAAAUUAAUGUUAAUAACACUAAUUUCAUUAUUUACACAAAGAUACUAUUUCUCAUACUUACCACCUCUCCCUCUCCCUCUCUGCCGCUACCAUUAUUCCUAUCCUUUUCUACUUACGCCAUCAUUGACACUACCAUCAUCUCCUCCUCCUCCACCACAUUUUUUCCUCUUCUACCACCGCCUCUUCCUCCUUCUCCUCCUUCACCAUAAGCAUAACAAUCAUUACCUCUUCUUCCACCAUUACCACCAAUCUUCUCCUCUGUCACAUGUACUAUCUCCUUCACAAGUUCCUAUUCCACCUUAUUUUCUAACAAAAAAAUAAAAUAAAACAAUUGUCGAAGUUCCAGCAGCAACUAUGCAGAAGUUGCUAUAAUAAAUCAAUUAUUGUUGCAACAGCUCAAGCAAUUGUUUAAGUUGUUCUAACAAUUUAAGCAAUUGCUUUAGAUGCUUAAACAACUAUUGUAAUUUCUCUAGAAAUUAUCAUAGUUGUUGCAACAACUAUCUAUCACAAAUAUUUUAAUAACUAUCUUCAUUUUCUAUAGAAUUUGUCUCACGAUUCAAACUAUACCCUAGAUGUGACAUGACAGAUAGGACCCCAUUAGGCUCUAAAUAAUCUAGUUGACAUAAGCAUGAUAUUAUGAAUAUCACAUAAAGAGAAUACAACAUAAGAACAAAAGAUAAGUCUCAAAAUUCUUUCCAACUCAUAGGGAACUCAACAAGAGAGUACAUGACUAAUAUAAUACGGAAAUCAACUAUGUAUGAUAAAAUCACCCGCACCUUGCAUAGGAAUUUAAUAUUACGAAAUUUAUAAAUAAUCCUUGGAGAAGGGAUAAAUAAAUUUUAAAAGACUGAAAAAAUGAACAAAUAUUCUAAUUUUAAUGUGUAGAAAGUUCUGCCAUGCCGUUUGCUUUACACAUAUAAUUUUAAAGUUUCCCAUUAAAAUGUAUCAUAAAUAAUUAUUAAAAUAAAAAAUUAAAGGGAGAAUGUAUCAUAUAGGAUAAUAACUCAACUUAUUAUUAUACUUGUUGGGAAAAUAUCACAUAAAACUAUUAAGUUUAUUCGGGUGCUUUUAAAAAAUCAACAUACCUGAGUGUGAUGAAGUUCAAUUUGAAACUACAAUUUCAGUAGAGAAAACAUGAAUAUUCAAUUAACGUGUGUUAUAAUUUGUACCAACAAAUACUUAUAACAAUAACUUUACAGAAACAUAAACAACAAAGUAUAAAACAUACAAGGAUUUGUAAUAAUAGAAUGAAACAUAAAGGAAAAAGUCGAGCUCGUCGAGUGUACAUUGUCCCCUUGAAAUUUUUUUCCCCAAUAGUACGCAAAGUUUAAAGGAAUAGAUCCUCUAAGGAUAUAAUUAAUGAUUCUAUUUAGCAUCAUAUUGAUAUAAAAAAUAUUAUUUAAUUGUGUAAAUGAAGAAGAAGUUCAGAAUUUUCGUUGUUUUAAAAUGAGAGAAGAUCCCUCUAUUUAUAGAAAACAAAGAAUGAACAAAUAUUUAUUGUGCCUUAUCGAAAAUGUCACAACUCUUUAAAAAAAUUAUUGUUAGUGUAAGUGACGUUUUAAUAUACUAAAAUGCUCUAAAAUAUUGCGGUUGGUUGACUUCUCAUCGAGUGCUAAUGUUCACGAGAAUAUUGAUUGCAACAUAUUACACCUAACGUUAGUGCAUAUUUAUUACUACUCUUUUUCUGGCAGAAUUGACAACAUGGUUUAGCCGUUUGUAUCCAUCACUUCUACCCCAUUCAAUCUUCGUUAUCUCACUCUUUAUUCCUCCAUUAAUCUUUGUAACCUAUGUAACAUAUGUAAUCUCUAGACUAUUUUUCUUCACUAUUUAUUACCCCAUUAUCUUUCUAUUCAUUGCUCAUAAGACUUCUUCUACUAUACAUAAUGAUGUUUUUCAUUUGGUUUACACAUAAGAAAAAUAUAGAGCGAAAGAAUUAGUCAAGAAAAGAGUUUUUAUUAGUUGAAGGGAGGUGUUCUUUUAUAAAAAUUUGGACUCAACUCUUCUUUCGAGAUGUUGAGUUACUUUGUGUUAAGGCUAUGGUAUCCUGGAGGGGACGAAUCAAGAAGGACUACAUGACCGAUGAAAAAUAUUUGCUGCAGUGGACUUGAAUUUUCGUAAAGAGAGUGAAAUAUCUGCGACUUAGUCUGAAGAGACUAUAUACUUUAUUUUAUUUUCAAUUGUAAUCUUGUAGCGUUGUUAUAUUUUAAUUUUUUAGUAACAAUUUUAAUGAGAUCACCAUGACUACAAUUGAAAAAUUCGCGAAUGUCAAGAUGAGAGACCUUAACAAGCCAUUCCGUUUCAAUGAUAACCAUUUCAAGAGAUGAAGGGUAAGUACUUUUCUACUUAAGUCUUCUUAAUGUCCUUAUGUGUAAACUAAAAAAAAAUUCUAAUAAAGAAGACAUCACCUCUAUUAAUGAUGAUGAAACUAUUUCUCAUUUAGAAAAAAUAAAAAAGUACGAUGAUGAUUCCUAUAAGUGCUAAUAUUAUAUUCUUAAUUGUCUAUCUUAUAAUUUUUAUGAUUAUUAUGAUAGAACUUACUAUAGUACAAAGAAAAUUUGAAAAUUAUUGCAGAGUAAGUAUGAUACCAAAGAGGUUGGAGCGAAAAAUUAUGCGGCUAGUAGAUUUUUAUAUUUUCAAAUGGUGGAUAACAAAUAAGUGGUAGACCAAACUCAAGAUUUUAUAAUGAUUGUUGGAGAGCUUAGGUAUGAGGAGAUAAAAAUUGGAGACAACCUUAUUGUUUGUGGUAUAUUAGAUAAACUUACACCUUCUUGGAAGGAAUUUAAAAAAAUUAUGCGUCACAAACAAAAAGAGACCUCCCUUGAAGCCUUGAUAAUGAAAUUUCACAUGGAAGAAGAGUCAAGGGGCCAAGAUGCAAUUUAACAAACAAAAGAGAUCAACAUCACAAUGAAGGUAAGUUUUAUUACUUCAAAUAUGCUACUCUUGAAUCUCACCAAAAUACUUCUUUGAAGACUAAGAAGAAAAAAUUCUAGAAAAUAAUAGUGAAGAUAACUAAGAACAAAAUGAACAAGUUCAAUAAAAUGGACUGUACUUUGUUUGUGACAAGAGUUUACAUAUUGCUCGAUUUUAUAGAUUUCGGAAACUUGGUCCUAAUCCUCAAACAAUCAUUACUGAAGAACCUUUUGUGGAGGUGAUUGCAGACAUAAACAUGUUUGAGAUUGUUGAUGGAUUGAGGAUUGAUUCUGCCGCAAACAUACAUGUUUGAUUUAAAAAAUGUACUCAUUUUGAGGAGCCCAAAACUAUCAUUCUUUGUGAUUCUUACAUAACUUAAAUGCUUGGAACGAGAGAUGUCGAAUUGUACUUUACUUCUGGAAGGGCAUUAACUUUGAAAGAUCUACUUUAUACUCCUCCCAUGAGAAAAAAAAUUGACCUCUAGUUUUUUUCUUAAUAAAGAAGUCUUUAAACAGAUUAUUGAAUCUAAUCAAUAUAUAAUUGUGAAGAAGUGUAUUUCUAUGGGAAAGUGGUAUGCUUGUGAUGAGAUGUAAAAAAAACAUGUCGAAAUCAAUAAAAUUUCCACUUCUUCGUAUAUGCUUUAACUACCAAUUUUUGACAUGCUUAUUUGUGUCAUAUUAACGAUCAUUAUUGGAACCAUGAGUAGAUUAGGAUUAAUCUCAAUAGUUAAAAAGAAUUUUGAAAAGUGUGAGACUUGUAGUAAAGCCAAAAUCACUAAAAGAUCUCAUUUUCAAGUUGAAAGAAAAAAUGAUUAGUUAAAAUUAAUUCAUACUGAUAUUUAUGAAUUUGGCGAAAUUUUAACUCGUGGAUAAUAGAUAUUUUAUCACUUUCUGAUAAUUUUUCAAAGUUUACAUACAUUUACUUGAUGAAAAAUAAAAGUGAUGCUUUUGAAAAUUUUAAAAUUAUCUCCAUGAGGUUGAAAAUCAGUUUGGAAGAAAAAUAAAAAGAAUUAGAAGUUAUAGAGACCGUAAAUAUAGUUAAAUGAGUUUAAUUAUUUUGUUAGAUCAUUCGGUGUAGUUCAUGAAACUAUUUCUCCUUAUUCUCCUUCAUCUAAUGGUGUAGAGGAAAGGAAAAUAGAGCUUUGAUUGAAUUGAGUAAUAUCAUGCUUGAGUCACAUGCACCAUUAAAUUUUUGGGGUUAAACUAUUUUAACUGCUUGUUAUGUGUUGAAUCUUUUGCCUUAGAAAAAGUCAAAACUGAUACCUUUUGAACUAUGAAAGGUUACAAUCCAAGUUUGGGAUAUCUAAGAGUUUGGGUUUGUCUAUCCUUUAUGAGGCUAAUGGAUCCCAAGAUUGUUUUCUUUGGUUAUGCUUCAAAUAGAACCUUUAAAUUUUUUAAUCUUGAAGAUAAUGUUAUAAUAGAAUCUGGUGACACUAUUUUUCAUGAAAAUAAAUUUUCAUUUGAUUUUAAAAAUAGUAGGGGUCAAAGGUUUGAACAAAAUAUUUUGUCACUAUCUAGUUAUUCUACUUCUACUUUGAAAGAUAAAGAAGUUUAGAAUUUUGAGUUAACAAGAAGCCAAAGAGCUAGAGUAGGAAAAGAUUUUGGUUUUGAUUUUUAUGUGUUUAGUAUUGGAGAUGACGCUCUCACUUUGAACGAAGUUUUGUCUUCACAUGACUUUAUUUUUUGGAAAGAGGUAGUAAAUGAUGAAAUUAAAUCUUUAAUUUCUAAUAAAAUUUGGAAGAGAGUUGAUUUACCACGGGUCGUAGCACAAUUGGUUGCAAAUGAGUGGUAUGAAAAAAUUGAAACCAAAUGGAUCCAUUGAUAAAUAUAAGUCUAUACUUGUUGUAUAAGAUUUUAAAUAACUAGAAAACGUAGAAUUCUUUGAUACUUUUUCACCGGUAACAAGAAUUACAUUUAUAAGACUUUAAAUUGCUAUGACUGCAAUUUUUCAUUUGCAAACUCAUCAAAUGAAUGUAAAACUGCUUUUUAAAAUGGAGACCGAAAUUUAAAACUUUACAUGGAUUAAUCCGAGUGUUUUGUUGAAGUAGACCAAGAAAGGAAAAUAUGUAAACUUACUAAAUACCUAUAUGGCUUGAAAUAUGCACCUAAGUAACGACAUGAAAGUUUGAUUCCUGCAUAAUUGAAAGUAGUUUUAAACAAAUGAGUGUGAUAAGUGCAUAUAUCAUAAGUCUUGGAAUAAUUCACAUGUGAUUAUCUGCCUAUAUGUUGAUGAUUUAUUGAUCUUUGGCUCUACCAUGAAUGUUAUUGAUGAAACUAAAAGUAUUCUUAGAAGCCAUUUUGAUAUGAAAAAUCUUGGUGAGACAAAUUUUAUUUUUGGACUAACAAGAACAUGUGAUGAAUGUUUCUUGACCAUUCACAUUAUGUUGAAUUUUUUUUUGAAAAAAUUAUAAAUUUCAUGAUUUCAAGCAUGUUAGAACUCCUUUUGAGUCUAGUGUUCACAUAUUUUCUGCUGAAAGUGAAAAUGGUGUAAUAAAUCAAAAGGAAUAUGCUAGCAUAAUCAAAAGUUUGAUAUAUAUGACUAAAUACACUAGCCUUGAUAUUGUUUACGUAGUAGGACUACUUGACAUGUUUACAAGAAAGCUAGGUUAUGAACAUUGGCAUGCUAUAAAAAUAUCCUGAUGUACAUGAAGACUUUUGUGAUGCGGAUUGGAACACUUUAUUACUUGAUUCCUAUUCUACCGUUGGUUAUGUUUUUUUCUUUGGUGGUGGUGCUAUUUGUAAGACAUCAAAAAAGCAAACCAUAAAUGCUAACUCUACCAUGAAGGCUGAACUAAUAGCUUUAGCUUUAGCUAGUGAGGAAACAAAUUGGUUAAGCGAUUUGUUAUUUCAAAUACCUUAUAUACUGAAAAAUCAAUUCCUCUUAUUUUAAUUCAUUGUGAUAGCACUGCUGCGAUUGGUAGAGUUCAAAACCGUUGUUACAACAGUAAAUUUAGACAUAUAAGGAGGAAACUGAUAGAAACCAAGAUGAAAAUAAAACAUUACUUGAUUAAAUUAAGUGCAAGAAUCUUAAACACUUCAUCAACCAAUAACUAAGUCUAUAUGGAGUGGAAAACUCUCCAAACAUAAGACAAAUGUAAUACUUUUCUUCUUCUUACAGAAUCUUUUCUAGAUACAUAUAUUUAUAGUAAACAUAAAGAUAGCUCCUAAUACAGAAGUAGUUAUUUUUGUAGAUAACUGCCUAAUAACUGUUGCCAAUAACUUUUAUAGAUAAAUACUGCUUAUAUAUUUUAUCCUCUUUAAAAAGAAACUAAUAUAAAUAGGUAGUUCGUAAUUUGUAUUAGUGCAUCCCCUCUGAAAAGUUGCCUUUUCCUUAAGGCAAAAAAAAAAGGAGCCUAAUCUACAAUGAGAUAAUAGAUCUCCCAACUAGCUUCUUCAAGGUGAUAGUAAACCCAUUGAACUAACCGAUGUCAUCCCUUGCAGCUUCUAACGUUUCUCCUUACAAUUGAGAUUAUGAACAUAUCCUUCCAAUUAGCUUGAAUAGCAUUGAGAGAAACUAAUUAGUUGAUAUCAAAAACAAAAUCAACCCCUUCUAGUGCAAAAUGAUAAUAAUCCCGAGUGAUGGUAAAACAUGGCAAUUGAAUUUGAAGAUUUUGGCAAACUUUAUUGCAGCGAAUAAUUUCUCAUUCCCUAUUUGCACGCCAAAUGUUUGACCUAUGUGUACUGGGAGCUUAUGCUUCUCUACAAUCGAUUCAACCUUAAAAUUAUGUGUAGGACCACUAUUCACAAGUACUAAAACCUUUUUUAUGGUUGAUUUCACCUUGAAGUUUCAUUGUAGAACCAACUGACUGACCUAAAAUGGAAUGGAAUGGAAUGAAAUUUCAACAAUGUCAGUUUCUUAAGAGUCGCCAAUAGUCUUUUGCAUUAACCCAAUCAACAUCUUCCAAUAGAUGUCCACAUGUAAGCUCCACGAGAGACAAUUUCACAAAUUUACCUUUAUGAUCGAGUGAAAAUUUGUCAUGGCAACGAUAACAAAGGGCUUGUGCUAUUAGAUUUCUUUUCUCAGUUUCCCAUGUUUGUAUUCAAAGAGGUUGGGAAGUGGAUGGAUUAGGAGAAGCAUUGUUCUGUUGAUUUUGAAGUGAAGAUUUAAUAUUGUUCUGGGUGUUAAUAGAAGAGUGCAAUGAGUUUUGUAUAGUAGAUCUACUGGUUAGGGUCCAAUUAGACUCUCCAUUGCUGCAAAUUAUGCCUAAUUUAUUUUCAAACUCGAGUACCAAACUUAUGGAUCUAUAAACUAUUUUGGGCUUGUCAAUCCUAACAUCAAAUUUAAUUUCCUCUUUCAGCCCAUUCAAGAACACCCCUAAAGAGAAUGAUCUGGCCAUUUUGUUACCCUAGAAGAAAAUUUGUCAAGUUCUUGACGAUACUCUUGUAUAGAACCUUUUUGUUGAAUACUACGAAGAUGCUCAUCAGGAUUUUGAAACUUUACAGGACCAUAAUUUUCCCGCAAUGCUUUAACAAUCUCUUCCCAAUAAAUCAAUGUACGCUCACAAUUUAUCCAAGAGAAGAGAUCAAGAACAUCACCUUCCAGAUAUAUCGUUGUGGUAUCAAAUUUGUGUUCCUCUGGAGUUUGAUAGUAGCAGAAAUAUUUUUAUGCUUUCAAAAUCCAUCUCCUGAGUCACCCACCUUCGAAUCUAGGAAAUUCCAUCUUUGUGUGUGGCCUCCAAGAAGGACCUUUUGGCCACAUUUAGUUAUAAAUGUCUUCUUCUUCUUUUCGCCAAACAUAUUAUUCUCCAAUACGAGUGUGGUGAAAGGUAUCCCCUUCUUGGGUGCAACCGUUUUGGGCUUUCAAUGUAGCCACUUCGGCUGGCAACAAACCAAUAAUAUUUAGUUUUGAUGCUAUGAUAAAUCACUGUUUGGCAAGAGUUUCAAUAUUGGAAGUUUUUUCUUGAGAAGUAGAAGAUCUAGUAUUGAGCACAUUGGAUCGAUUUGCUCUAAUACCUAACUCAUAGAAACCAAGAUGAAAAUAAAACUUUAAUAUUACUUUUCUUCUUCUUACAGAAUCUUUACUAGAUACAUAUAUUUAUACUAAACAUAAAGAUAGCUCCUAACACAGAAAUAGUUACUAUAGUAGAUAACUUCCUAAUAGUUGCUGCCAAUAGCUGUGAUAGAUAAACACUGCUUAUAUAUUUUAUCCUCUUUAAAAAGAAACUUAGAUAAACAGGUAGUUCGUAGUUCAUAUCAGAAACACUGUAAUAUAAGAUCGUAUUUGGAAAAUGUUAUCAUUAAUGUUGAAUAUGUCAAAUCUUGUGAUAAUCUUGCAGAUUCACUUACUAAGGUCUUAACAAGAGAAAAGGUUUGGAGCACAUCGAGGGGGAUGAGACCAAAAUCUAUAAAUCCUUGAGUCAUAUAUGAGGACACCCAACCUAGGGACUAAAGAUCCAAUAACUAGGUUUAAAAGGGAAAAACUAUUCAUAUGAUAACUUGUUAUGAAAAAUGCACUAUUUCUUUAUUUUCUCCCUAUGAUGUGAGUGCAUUAUUUCUUAUAGUUAUGUGUGAAGGUUGAGUUUACAAAACUCUUAAUGAAAAUUUAUAGCCCGUAUGAGUGGAAUGUUAAACUUACAAGAGCAUUCUCGAUAGAUAUCACAUAUGUGAGUGUGGAAAUAGGUUGCUUCCUAUGAGAAUUGGGCUUAUUAUCAAAAGCACUCAUAAAACCGAGAUAUCACAAGGCCAUAACGUGAUGACUUUAAAGCAUAUGUUAACACUUUGAUUAUUAUUGGUGAGAAGUAGUAUUUUAUUUAACUUAAGUAGUCAUAGUUCAAGUCUGAGAUCACUAGGAUUCUGCAAUAAAAGUUAUUGUUUCACUAAGUGGAGGAUUAAUGAAGUUCAUCUGAUAUACUCUUUUGUUUAAUAUUAAAUAAGUGGGGUAUUGAUAGUGUAAGUGACAUUUUGAUAUUCUAAAAUGUUGUUGUUGGUUGACUUUUCAUCAUGUGCUAAUUGGUUGACUUCUCAUCAUGUGCUAAUGUUAAUGAGAAUAUUUUUUGUCGCAUAUUACACCUAAAAUUAGUGCAUAUAUGUCACUACUCUUUUUGCCGUUGGUGGCCAAAACUUCUCCCCCAUUCAAUCUUCAUUAUAUCACUUUUUAAUCCUCCAUUAUUCUUUGUAACCUAUGUCACAUAUGUAACGUCUAGACCAUUUAUCUUUUAUCUAUUUGCUACCCCGUUAUCUUCCUAUUCAUUGCUUGGAAGACUUCUUCCAGUAUAAUUUAUGAUGGUCUUCAUUUGGUUUACUUUCAACAAAACUAUAGAGUAAAAAAGUUAGUAAAAAAAGAGUUCUAAUUAGUCGAAGGGAGGUGUUCUUUUUGUGAAUUUUUGGACUCAACUCUUGUCCAGGUUGUUGAAUUAUACUUUGUGUUAAGGUUGUUAUAUAAUGGAGGGGAAAAGUCAAGAAGAACUAGUGCUGAACCGGUAAAAAACAUUUGUUGCAGUAGGCUUAAAUCUCCUUAAAGAGAACGAGAUAUUCGCGCCUCAUCUUGAAGAGUUUUAUUUCUUCAUUUUAUAUUCAAUUGUAAUCUUGUAGCUUUGUUAUAUUGUAAUUUUUCACUAACAGUUACAACCCUUGGUAAAGGGAACACCUUUUCAUAAAAGUCACAAGUGUUCAUAAAAGUCACAACUUUUCAUAAAAAUCGCAACUUUCGGUAACCGUCAUAACUUUUCAUCAGUGCAACAUACUGAUAUAUAGUGGUUUCACGGUACUUCCAAUGUUUUUUUCUUAAGUUUAGUGCGCGUCUAGGGCCUUUUUGUAGUAAUUUUAAUGGUUUUUAUCUGUGUUUUGCAAGAAAGUAAUCCAAAAUAGAAAUGCAAAAGUUUGUGCAGAAGAGGUGACCCAAGAAGCCAUCGACGGCCCGUCUUUCCCUAAACCAAAGUUGAAGAAAAACUAAGUAUGGAACAACAGAGGCAUCGAUGGACCAUAGAUUUAUCGACAGAUCAUGAUGUUGGUUCGUUGAUUGGAUCAGAAAAUAUGCCAGGAUGAAGGCUGAAGAAGUUGCAAAGUAUGGAACGACGAUAUGCACCGAUGGACCAUAUAUACAUCAACGGACAGUGUUGUUGGUUCGUCGAUUAGAUCAGAGAAGGUGCGAUUUGGAGGCUUGAAGAAGAUGCUAAGUGUGAAACGAUGGAGGCAGUCGACAGUCCGUCGUUCCAUUGAUGGACAGUCAGUGGUGUCGUCGAUUGAAGACACGUUUCUGGACAGACUUUCCUUAUUUAGAACUCCUUUUAAUUUAGGACUUCAUUAUUAUAAAUAGGAUUAAAACCGUCAUUUUUAGGGUUAUACUUUUUAUUAUUUUUCAUACUUUUGUUAUUGAAAGUUGAACUUUUGAUUUUGGGAAUUACUUCAAGUUUCCGGAAUCAAUUCUCAAGAUAUUUUCAUUAAUUCAAAUGUUAUGUCUGGAUUUUCUUCAAACUUGUCAAAGUAAGUACAUGAAUUCUUGUUUAAUAACUAUGAAUUGUGUAUUUUUAAGCAUGGGUAACUAAAUCUACAACUAGGGACGUGGGGACCAUGAGUAAUUGACAAGGUAAAACUAGAUAAUAACAAUUCUAGAAUAGUUUCUUGCAUGUAUUUUUUUCGUUUAGAAGUCUUUUUAACGAGUGCACGCGUUAGAACUUUCCCUAUUUCUACUUGCCGGACCAAGGAGGUAGUUGAUAGGAAAAGAAUUAUCAUCAUAGAUUUAGUAUAAGCUAUCUAAUAGGUUAGUUUCAAUUGGUUCGAAGUAGUAACUUAGCCAUACAUCGAAUAUGAUGUUUAAUAUGAGGUAAAGGUAAGGUUAUGUAAAGUAGACACACGUAGCCAGACUAAGGUACAAAGUGAAAUUCUGUAGUUGCCGGACCAAGGAAUUAGGGAUACAUAACUUACCACUUUUCAUGCAAGACAGUAGGAAAAAAAUUGUUAUAGCUAGGAUUACCUCGUUAUGAACCUAUGGGGAACACUUACACCCCUAGUUUCUCUCAUCACUUGAUAAACACCAAAGUUAUAAACUUGCUAUUUGUCAUACUUAGAAAUAAUUAAGCAUUUUUGUUUUACAAACUCCCCCCCCCCCCCCCCCCCCCACCUUUAAUUAAUUGUUUUAGGAAAGGACUUGACUAAAUAGACGUAAUCGUAGCUUAAAGUUAAGUCUAAACCAGUUUCCUCGAGGGACCGACCCAAACCUAACAAUUGAGUUCUUUAGUUUAUACGACUGCUUAUACUUAUUUAGGAAAGUAUAAUUUGAGCGUAUCACAUACAUAAGCCAAUACUACAAUAUAUCACAUGUAUAUAUCAAACAUAUACAAUUUUAUCAACAUUUAUGAACAAGGUGCAAUUUCACAUUACUCAAGAUACACAAUUAUGUCAACUUAUUGGUCCUCUCAUGUAACUCAAACCCAAACAAUUAGCAUACCAAAAUGUGGUACCCGAUCCAAAUGUUUAUGCCAGAACAUGGAAAUUGAUUCCAUAAUUAUGUUUGUAUGUGGCAACCGAUCCAAGUUAGUGUGUCUGAAUUCAACACCGAUCAACUCAACAAGACACAAUCACAAUCACACAGUAUAUUCUCAUAAUCAUACAAUCAAGUGAUGGUUCAUGACUUUCAUCAUUUAUAUUUCCUCAUUUAAGUUAAUGUGAUCAAUAAUACAAUAUUCACAUACUUACAUGUAUCCUUAUGACGGAAGAUAAAUAAACAUCACACAAUCAUAGAAUCACAAUCAUCACCUACCUUGAGUCCAGCUUGAAACCUUAAUAAACUUGAUCCUCUCCUUUCCGAAUUUGGUUCUCUUGUUCUUGGUGUAAAAACAAUCAUAAUAACACGGGAAUCAAUAAAGAUCUCUAAUUACCCAAAUUACUAGCAAUUCUAUGAGCCCUAGACCAAACCCAUGAUACCAAUCUCCCAAUUAGGGAUGUUUCUAUCAUAAAUUCAAGAUCAAAACCCUCUCUCAUUGAUAAUUACCCAUUAGACUACGUUCUACGGAUCAAAAAAUGUAUUUACGGACUUAAAAUCUUACCUUUAGCCUUAAGAAAUAUGGAAAACUAUUAACAAAAGACAUAGGUUCGUUCCUUAGCUGUCAAAUUCAAAAAUUGCAGAAUAAAAUAUUUUAGAGAUUUAUUUAUGACAUUAAGUCGCGCCUGGUCUGCCAUAGCAGCCCCCUCCCCGCUACAACGGCCCUGCCCUGGAGACAGAAAUUACUGCCAAAACGACUUGCACGGAAAAGUGAGCUAUUAUGAUAAAUCCAAUGCCCUCAUUUCUCAACACAACUUCAACUAACAACACUCAGAAAAUACCCGUUCAUGCUAAGAUCAAUUCUGGGAGUUUUACUCGCCCAAAUUUAAACUCGUAAAGUCGUACCAGUUCCUUAAUGAUUUCUAUCUACUCAUGUAACAAAAAUCAUAAUUAAAUCACCCGAUUGUUUCCAAAUUCAUCUACACCUUAAUGACUCCGAUUUCAUCCAAAUAUGGACUAGGUUGGGAAAUUUCAAGUUUUUACUAAAAAGUCUUUCAACCCAAACUUUUUCCUAAUUGGCUUUUUUUAUAACGGCGGAACCCCGUCGUUACAUUUGAUUUUUUGGUUCUUCCAUUAAAGUAUUCAUACAAACAUAUAAUUACUUGUACUUCAAAUAUUUUGGUAAUCCUACCAAAAUACAACUAUCUAAGCGGUUUAUUAACAAAAUUACACAAAAUAUGAUAUGAUUAAUGACACUAAAAUAUCCAACAAAAAAAUAAUAAUGAAAUUGCAUAAAAAAUUAUUGCAAAUUAAUAAUUAAUGAUGCAAAUGAUCAUAAUUUAAAAGUACUAGCUACAUGACUAAAUUUUAAAGAAAAUUAAAAUUAGAUUUUAUAUUUUGAUUGUCUAAACUAAUGUAAAAAUAAAAAAAAUUCAAUAUUAUUUUCAUUAUUAGUGUUGAAUUGAUUUUUUUUGCAUUAGUAUUAAUUUGAUUAUGAUUUAAACUUUAUAAAAAUUACUAACAUCUAUGAACUAAAAACUUUAUUGGACCUUUCAGAAUUCUAAAUUUUAAGCUUGAUAAUAUAUUAAAAGAUAAAAACUAUGAAAAUGUAUAACAAAAUAUUUAAAAAUUAUAUGAAAAGUAAAUAUUUAUGUCCAUCACAGAAGUUUCUGACACGACAAUCUUUUAUGGGUUCAAAUUCAAUUGGAAAGUCAUGUAUUUUGUAAUGCUAGUUAUUACUUAAUAAUACAUUUAAGUUCAUACAUAAAGUUUAAUUUAGAACUAUGAUUAUAAUAAUAGUUUACAUAAUAAAUACCUAGGGUAAGUCAUUUGUGUUCCUUCAUAAAAAAAAUGAAAUAUUUCAUUUUGAAACAAUAUCAUUAAUAUUCAUGCCAUUUGCUAAAUUAUAACUCAAUUUCGUUCAAUGCAAGUAUAUCUUUUAUUUUAGUUAUGAUUAUAUAAAGUAACAUUCAUAGACAUUCAUGUGAAUUUACUUGAUUAUUUUUUUUCUAUAUUAGAAAAAUAUACCAUCUUACGCAUAAAAUUCUAGAGUGAAAUUUUCGAGUGAAUGGUACCAAUGUAGAGGAGAGGGCAUUAGGUUUUUAGUUAAGAGUGAUAAAACACAGAAAAUAAACCAACGGCUGCAAGAAAUACCAUAGUAAAAUUUUCAAGGGGAAUACAACUUUGUGAGUAAGGAGAAAACAUUAACAAGAAUAUUCAAAUAAUUAACAGUUCAAACAAUUUACGGAUAAAAUAAAAAUACACAAAUGCUUAGACAUGGAUAUUAUUGUCCUUGAAGCAUUAAGCAUAGUCCACCUCACUAGUUUCAUCAUCACAAAUGUGUCGUUUGAAUUUGAAUCAACAUGGAUCAUAUCAAUCGAAAAUAGGAAAUUAUCUCUCUUAUAUGUGGUCCUUCAAAUACACAUGAGGGGUUUCAUUUUGAUCAAUAACUAUUGAAUUCAAAUCUCGUUUGUAGUUCCUUAUUUUUGCUUGAAGUAUUUCGUUGUAACUGAUCGGCUUGCACGUCUAUGUUAUUAUCAUUUCCCAUGCGUGUGAGAGAACGAUAUGGUGGUAGCAGUGGUAGUAGUUGUUGAUUUUUCUUAACAUCUCUGUCAUAAUUGUUACGUCUUAUUGAGCCUACACGAUAUGAGGGUGGUGUUGGUAGCUGAAGAUUUUGAUGCAUUACUUUGUCAUCAUCAUUACCUCUAAUCAAGUGGGCACCAUCUGAGGAUGUGGAUGUAGACAUCAACAUGGUUUUUGAAUGUUGGAAUAAUUCUGAAGGUGUUUGUAAUGAUUCACUUAGGUUAUUUGAUCUUUGUACUACGUUUAUCUCCCUUUAAUCGUCAAGAGGAUGAGAAAGAAGAUGAUUCAUAAAUACUUGAUACCUGCAAACACUUUUAUCACGAAUAGGACAACGGACCAACGAUAGAUUACUUAACAUUCUGAAAAAAAUAGAAAAGGACGAAAGAUAGAAAAAAUCAAUAUUUGAGUUCAAACAAUAUAAAAUAUUUACUUGAAAAGAUUACAACUUCACCUAUCUGAUGAUAGUGGCUGUAACGGUAGCAACAGUGGUAGUUCUUUGUUUGCAUGCAAAUCUAUAGUUAGUUCUGUGUCAUCAAUGUUACGUCUUAUUGAGCCGGCACGAUAUGAGGGUGGUGUUGGUAGCUGAAGCUUUUUAUGCAUGACUUUGGCAUCAUCGUUACCUCUAAUCAAGUGGGCACCAUAUGACGAUGUGGGUGUAGACAUCAACAUGGUUGUUGAAUGUUGGACUAAUUUUGAAGGUGUUUGUAAUAAUUCACGAUGACUUUUUGAUCCUUGUACUGUGUUUAUCUCUAUUUCAUCAUCAAGAGGAUGAUAAAGAACAUGAUCCAUAAAUACUUGAUACCCGCGAAAACUUUUAUCACAUAUAGGACAAUGGACCAACGAUAGAUUAGUUGACAUUCUAAAAGAAAUAAAAAAGGUCGAAGAUAAAAAAAUAAUAGUUAAGUUCAAACAACAUAAAAAAUUUACUUAAAAAGAUUUCAACUCCAACUAUCUGAUGAUAGCGGCGGUAGCGGUAGCGGCUGUGGUAGUUCUUUGUUUGCAUGCAAAUUUGUAUAACUAUCAUUAGCGCCAGCCCACCUGGGAUGAAAUAACUGUGGAGAUUGUAUUGAUUGUGAAGCAACUUUUUUUCUUAUAUGUCUGAUUCGGAAGAUUUUGAUGAUUGAAUUCUAAGUAUGUCUGAACCUUCAACAUCGUACAUCUCAUUUGAUUGGUUGAUUUGACGAGAUUGAACAUAAUUGAAUAGUGAGUGGUAACCAUAAUAAUGAGUCAAUAGUUCUUGAUAGAGUUUUUGACCAAAAUGAGCUAUUUUUAAAAUCAAUUCACCAAAAUAUUACGUUUUAAAUUUUUUUCACAAAAUUAGUAUAAACGUACUUCAUGGUAACGUUUUAGGAUAUUUUCAUUAUAAAAAUUCAACGGACAAAAAGUUAACGGGUUGGCGACGUUAAACGCAUAAACGUAACUUUGAGUAACGUUUUAGGUGUAAAACGUUACUCAAGAGUACGUUUUGGAGAAUCCAAUCACGGGCCACUGACUCCAAUCCUGCAAAGGCAAAGUCAAAUCAUUCAACUGUAAAAUGUUACUAUGAGUAACGUUUUACACCUAAAAUGUUACUUUCAGUCCCGUUUCUUAAGAUUCCAAUAACGGGCCUCCGACUUCUGCAAAUUUAGAAUAUAUUUAGCUAUAAAACGUUACUCACAAUGACAUUUUACCUUAAAAACGUUGCUGUCAAUUACAACACUCUGUUAAAGUCAUAUUCCUCCAUUUUUCAAACUAACCAAAGUGACUAUAAAUAAAUGUUGUUGUAAUAUUUUGCAUGUUCAAAUAUAAUUCAGCAAAAUUUUUCCUUGUGUGGUCCAUUUUAAAAAUAAUAUUCACAAAAUUUCAUCAUGUAUGAGCGAGCUUGUGGAUUAUGAGUGAGCUACGAGGUUAGAUCUAUACACUGUCUGCCUGCAUAAUCCACAAGCUCGCUCAUACACUGUAGAACUACGAUCCAUUUCAUUAUGUAUUCUAGUUGUCCUUUGGCCGAUUAGGAUGAUGAUAGAAUUCUUUACUUCUCAUUGUAAAACUUGGAGAUGACCAAUAUGACUCAUGACCAAUUGGUGAGAAUGACCCAGAAUAUGUUGCAACAUAAUUCGCUAUUGUGAAAUGCUCGCUAACAAAAUUUCUAGCUAGCCUUCCCAUUAUAUUAGUUACCUUCAUGACAUGUGAACACGGGAAGUGCAGAUUAACCCAUUUUCCACAAUCACAUUUUCUUUCAUUUAGUGAAACACAAUGAGGAUUACCACCAGUACCAUCAACUUGUAUAGAUCUAACCUCGUAUACUCCUAUGGGUAUAUUCCAAUAAAAAACAAAGUGCCUCUUUGAACUUUCAUAAUUCUACUCCCACUUUAUUUUGAACCUCCCGGUCCAUAAUUCAUUUUGCUCUGCAAGUUGGUGUGCUAUUUGAGACCUACGGGUAUACCGUUCAAUAGUUUGCUCCAAUGAAAGUCUAAUCAUAGCAGUGACAGGCAAACCUCGUGCUUUUUUCAACACCCCAUUGAAUAACUCUGAAAGAUUUGUUGUCAACACUCCCCAUCCUUUUCCAUCAUCAUGGCUAACAGUCCAUUUAUCCAAGGAAAUUUCCAUGAGGUAUUCAUGUGCUUCGAUAUUUUCUUCUUUAAUUUUCCACAUCAUGGACUCAAACUUCCUUACUUGAUGGGCUGAAGCAGCCCUCCACAUCAAUCUGCUGAGGUCCUUGUUUGGAAAUUAGAUUGAAAGUUGCUCUUAAGAUGUCUUAUGCAAAAUCGAUGGAAGACUCGAGGCUCUUGAAAUCGCCGUAGCUCUCGCAAACUAGUUAAGAUUCCUUUUGCCCUAUCAGAUAUAACACAUACAUUUUGUCUACUUUUUAUCACAUGUGCACUCAAAUUUUUAAAAAAUCAUUUCCAUGCCUCUUUUGAUUCUUUGUCUAUAAUAUCAAACGCUAAAGGGAGAAUGUUGUCAUUUCCUUCAAUUCCAACAACAAUUUAUAAUUUGAUCUCAUAUUUUCCAUAAAUAUAAGUUCCAUCUACUGAAAUAACUGGGCGACAUGUUUGGAAUCCAUCAAUGCAUGGCUUGAAAUCUCAAAAUACAAAUUUAAAAGUUUUUACCUCCGAUGAACUCAUAGACUCUUCGUGUUUCCAUUCCACAAUUGUUCCAUGGUUAAAGUGUUGAAAAGCUAUAAAAAAUUUAGGUAGGUCACUAAAUGAUUUCUUAAAGUCACCAUACACCAAUUCAAAUGCGUGUUGGCGUCCAAGCCAUGCUUUUCUACAUGUCACUUGGUGACCAAAAUUUUCAUGAACCUUUGAAAUGACAUCUACCACCAAGAACUUAGGAUUUUUUCUAAUUUGAUUUAGAAGUAGUGAUGCAAUCAAAUUGGUAUUUAGGUUGGCGUGGCCGCUAGAAAGCCCCUCAGUCUCACAUCUAUGGUUUACAACAUAUUUUCCUAUCUUCUAAAAUUUAUCUCCAACUUGUCGUCCUCGAAGAAACCACAUGCAACCCAAUAAAUUAUAAAACUUACAUCUCACAACCCAUAGACUUUUGGUAGAUGUUACCACCUUGAACUCCUUAUUUUUGUGCAAACUCCAAAUCGUUACAGCCGUUUUCAACUUUUCUUUACUACUAAAAAGCAUACCUUUUUUUAAAUAUUUUUUUUGCUUGCUCAGACCAAACUGAACAACAUUCCAUCUU
Molecule: long non-coding RNA, 119309 nt
Filed under: Solanum melongena (eggplant)
Lineage: Eukaryota; Viridiplantae; Streptophyta; Magnoliopsida; Solanales; Solanaceae
Description: long non-coding RNA (SMEL_LNC000198)
Source: RNAcentral